RNAcentral lists this long non-coding RNA (94635 nucleotides) under Vitis vinifera (wine grape). RNAcentral describes it as "long non-coding RNA (VVIN_LNC006177)". The record is from RNAcentral. Lineage: Eukaryota; Viridiplantae; Streptophyta; Magnoliopsida; Vitales; Vitaceae.
UUUUUUUUUUUUUUUUUUAAAAAAAAGUUCGAGUAGCACAAGGUAAUGAGUUGGACUUGUUUCUUCAAGAAAAGUAAUAUCAAAUAUUUCAUGUCACUUUUCCUUGAUAAGCAACUACUUCCAAAAUGACACCAAUAACAAGUUUUGAAUAUCUCUUUUCAUGAUCUGGUAAAUAACUAAUUAACAUAUGAAGUGAAGAAUGUGAAUCAUCCUCUGAAACCACCUAAACCUUAUGGAGAAAAAUAUGAAGAUAUAUACUUAUAUGAUUUACCAAAAAUAAGAUUCCUAGUAUUUGUAGUUAUUGUUAAUGGGUUUGGGUGGCAUCAAAGAUUCAAUCCUAGAUUGAAAUUCACAACAUUAUUAUUUUACUAUUAGCUAAUCAAUUGUGAAAUCACUACAUUAAUCUUAAAUUUUUUUUUUUGAUUUUAUAACCCUUUAUUUAAUAGAUAGAAAUGAGUUGUAGCUAAUAAAGAAUGUUUAACUAUCACAUUAAGAUUAUUUUAGCGAUAUUGAAAGAUUUUUAAUUGCAUUGAAACUUUUAGGCCCAUAGUUAAUGCCUCUCCCUGUUACACAUUUCAUGGUGUACCAAUGGAAUCGGGUAAUAGUGGAGUUGCUCAUGUUAUGGAUCUGUGUAAAAUUUAAGUUUUUUUUUUUAAAUAAAUAUAAAAUAAUAGUAGUUCUUAUAUAAAAUAUAAGAACCAAUUAUAAAAAAUUUGAAUAGAUGACUAAUUAUAAAAUCUGAAUAGAAAAUUUAGCAAAUAAAAAAAAAUUUAAAAUAUAAAGUAAAUAUAUGUUUUUUUUUAUAAGAGUUAUAUAUAUAUAUAUAUAUAUAUAUAUAUAUAUAUAUAUAUAUAUAUAUGGUUUGAGAAGUAUCUUUAAUAUCGUAUCCUCAAAUGAGGAAAAUAAUGAGAAACUUAUUUCAUGCGACUCCAAACGCAAUUGACAUGAAAAUAAUAUGAAAAUGACCACUCAAUAUAGGUACAAUCCCAAAUUCAAACUCAACUAACAUGGAAAUAAUUGAACGAUAUGGAUGUAAUCUCAACACGGAAACUCAACUGACAUGAAAAUGAUCGAUCGAUAUAGGUGUGGUCUCAAAACUUAAAUUCAACUAAGACAGAAAUGAUCAGUUGAUAUAGGCGUAAUCCCAAACUCAAACUCAAAUAACAUAGAAAUGACCAAUCAAUAUAGGUGCAGUCCUAAAACUUAAAUUCAAUUGACACGAAAAUGACCAAUCAAUAUAAAUGUGGUCCCAAACUCAAACCUAUCUAACACAAAAAUAAUUGAUUGAUAUAGGUGUAGUCUCAUAACUCAAACUUAAGCUGACAAGGAAACGACCAAUCGAAAAUAUUUUUAAAAAAUAAAAAAUAAAAAACUUAUCUUAUUUUUGUUAAAGAUAAUUUCUCCAUUUUGAUUUUGUAAGAAAAUAAAUUUGAUUUAUAUAAUAUUAAUCAAAUUUAAUUCAAGUCUUAUUAAUUAGUAAAAUAUAAAUACUAAUAUUAUAAUUUAAUCAUAAAUUAUAUUUUUGCAUAAAGAUGAUGCUAUUUUAGUAUAUAUUAUAAAAAUAUAGAUAUUAAAAUUUUCAUGAAAAAAACAUCAUUGAUUUUUUUAUUGUUAAAAAUAAAUAAUCAUAAUGUGUGACAUCCCAUAGCUUGGAGGCUAAGGGGCACCACGAUUAAUUCACGUUAAAACUCUACCAUCUAACGCAUUGAUGAUUUUAAUUAAUAAAACCAAAACUAUCUAAAAAAAAAUAUUUAAAUAAUAAAUUUAACGAUUGUCAAACACUUAAAUAAGAAUUAUAGAAAAAAACCAUAAUUAAAAAGUCUCAAGGCAAAAAUUGUAAAUAAAAUCAAAUUUAAAGUAUUUUCUCAACAAAACGCCCAUCCUAUGCUAUCCCUCUUCACCAAUAUCACUUAAUCCUGAAAAGUGAAAUAAUAAAGAAAUGUGAAUUCAACAACUCUGUAAAGGAAAAACGGAUUCAAUAAAAAGAUUAGCAUAAUACAAAAUUAAAUAUAUGAAAUANNNNNNNNNNNNNNNNNNNNNNNNNNNNNNNNNNNNNNNNNNNNNNNNNNNNNNNNNNNNNNNNNNNNNNNNNNNNNNNNNNNNNNNNNNNNNNNNNNNNAUUUAAAAAAAAAAAUCAAAGAUCGUUUAAUUCAAAAUUUUAAUUUACUUAUUUGGAAAAUUCAAUACUUUCAAUUUUAAGAUAUAACCAAAUAAUACACUUUGCAUAAUCAAUUCAUAUUUAAAAGACUUUUACAAAUAUUUUACUCUAGUCCACUAACACUAUGUCCAAAUAUUAGGACUUGCAUUAGAUGGCUAACCUUAAAAUUUCUUUUAUUAGUGGAUGAAAAAGUUUCCGAUCAAUGGCAUACCAAAGGUCAAUAACAUCUUUAUUGGUUAAGGUUGCAAUGCAUCACUACCCCCACUAAGGGAAAUGAAGGUCAACAACUUAUUCUUCCUUGACUAGGGUGAUUGAUAACUAGUGUUUCCAAAUCAUUUUAAUUAAUUAAAAAUGUAAAACUUAUAUAAAAAUCAAACAAAUAUUUAUUUUAUAAAUCAAUGAAUAAAUCAGAACACGUUUUAAAAAAAUAUUACUUGAUCCACUCUAUGAAAUUUAAACAUUUUGAUAUUUCAAAAAAUAGGGUAUAAAAUAACUCGCUAUACUAUUAACCCUUAUAUGAGUUGAAUAAACCAAAGAAACAAAAUUAUAGAAAUUUCCUAUAAUAAUUUGAGAAAUGUAAAGAAUCCUUCAAACUAAUUUUUUUGAUAAAUAUUAUAUUGUAAAUAUACAUUUAUUUAUUAUUUAACUCUAUACCAAAAUUAAGUAAAUUAAUAUUCCUUUCGUAAAAUAUCCAAUUUCCACUACUUAAGUUCACUUAACUUGUUUUUCUAAAUAAUUACCCAAAUUUCUUUCCUAAUGAAUUUUAACCAAUGUUUUUCUAGCAACCCAUCAACCAAAUUAUUUAUUUAACUUUUUAUUAGAAUUAAUUCUUAUAUACCUCAGAACCACACCAAAAACAUUUCUGCAGGCUUAAAUAAAUAUCUAUUAUUUUCAAACAAUAUCUUAUUAUUUUUCAACCUAAAAUACACUUACAAAAAUCUUCAUAAUCACAUUAUAAUAUUCUCAAAGUUUCCCCUAUGAUAACCCUAACUAUAAAACGUUUUGAAAGAAUAUUAACCUUAAAUAAUGAAAUCAAUUUAGGUUAAAAGUACCAACCUUAAAGUAUACAAAUUGAUACGAAGAAAACUCCAACUCCUACAUAGAAUAUUAAAAGAUAGCCCUAUAUAUAUAUAUCUAGGGUUUAUAACGGGUAAAUAUAAUUUUAUUUUUAUUUAUUUAUUAAUUUUUAUAAAGCCCAAAAUAUAUGCAUACAACUCAAGCCAAGCCCAAAUUUUUAUUUUUUAAUUAAUUAAAAAAAUGACUUUACCCUAAGGUUGGAGGUGUUAAAUAAUGUUUAAUAAUCUUUUAUUUAAAAUAAAUUUAAAAAUAGACAAAAUUUAAUUUUUUUUAAAUGGGUAAAUAAGUUAAAAUUUUCAUACAUGUGCAUAUUUAGUAUUUUAAACAUAUUUUGAACUAAUUUUGAUUUAUUAUACCGUUAAUUGAAUCAGUUUUUUAAAUUCUAAAUUAUUCUUAAAUUUUUUUUGAGGUGGGAGGCUUUUUAUAAAGGAUAAUAAUUUUUAAAAUAAUUCUAAAAAAUAAUUUUAAAAUUAUAAUAGUUUAUAUCAAAUUGGGUUCCACGUGGAACUCAUGUCUUGAGUACAAGAAAAGUGUGUGAAAAAAAAAAUGAAUUCAUAUUGAAGACAAGGAAAAAUUCAAUUUUAAAGUAAUCACGUGUAGCAUUUGAAAAAAAAAAAAAAAACAAAAAUUUGAAAUAGAAACAAAACUAGCCCUACACGUCCUCGCUAUAAAAGGAGUGAAUUGAUAAAGCGCCACGCCCACCCAAACCAAAAGGAAAAAGCGAGAGUGGGUUUUCUUAGAGAGCCAAAACCACAGCACCCUCCUCUCUUCUACCACAUACAUCAACCGUACGCUUUGAAACCCUAACCCUACUCUCUCUUUCUUUGUUUUUUUUGUUUUCCGUGUUUUAGAUCUGUGUUCCCACCGCUCAGAAUCUAGGUUUUUUUUGUGGCUUCUGCUGCAUUGUGUUGUUGGUUUGUGAAAUUUUUUCUUUGUUUUGAGGAAUGGAUUCGUGUGGUUUGACGUUUUUGGUGGUUUUGCAGAUGGAUCGGUACCAGAGAGUGGAGAAGCCGAGGCCUGAAACUCCGAUCAACGAGAAUGAGAUUCGCAUUACUGCUCAGGGCCGUAUGAGGAACUACAUUACUUAUGCUACCACUCUCCUUCAGGUUUUCUAUCAGUGUUUUUCCAUUUGUAUACGCAUAAUACUUCUGAUUUGGAAAUUAGGCUCUAUAUGAUUUAUGAGAUCUUCCUUCGUCUGUCUGUGUUUGAUAUUGCUUCCACUGUUUUGAGAAUUUUGACCUAUGGUAUGUGUUAUUUGAAAAAUAUGGAAGAAUUGAUAGUGUUGCGUUGGCUUGUCACUGCCAAUGUGCUUGGAUAAAUUUGGCCCCCUUUUUUUCUGUUGAUUUUGACUUUUUUUUAUUGUUGUAAUGAGUGAAUUUUGCUGUUCUUUUGCAACUCAGUCUAAAAUUCAGCUUUUGGCGCUUUUGGAAGUUAACUCGUUUAGUUUAUUUUGCAUAUAUUUUAUGAGGGCUUUGUGUUUUUUGGUUGAGUUGAUGAAUGCUGGGUGUAAAAUUUAAUGCUUUCAUUAAUUGUUGAAAUUAUUAUUUCAAUUUUCUGUUGUUAUAUCACCUGAGAUUGGUGAGAUUUUAAUUGAAUGUACAUUUAGUUCAUAAUAUUUUUAUCAGUAGUGUUGUUGUUAAGUCUUGAAAGCUAGUUCAUUUAUUGAACUGGAAAAGGGUUGGGUCUAAGAGUUACUAGUUCUACUGUCAGGUGUAACAUCAUUAUGCUGCCAUAAAUGUAUUUGUUAUUAGUUAAUAAAUUAAUUAAUUGAUUCACUAAAAAAAUGCAUGUAAGUAAUCUAUCUAAAAAAGAACUAUAUCCGGCCAAUCUACCAAACAAAAUUGGAAUUUUGCAUUUUUGUAUGGAUGACUGGUUAGAUGCAGAAACUUUGGAGCAGACUGAACCCACAUUUUUGCUGCAUUUGUGACCGCAUAAAAUAAAAAAGAAUGAAGUUGAUGCGAAAAAAAGUGCGGUUGACUUGUUAUAUAUCAUUAUAAUUUAUGAGAUAUUUUUUUUUUCCGGAAUACAUGGCAGCGCCUUAUAUUGUCGGAAAUGCCCUUGAAGGGGGGCCCAGAAGGAUUGAUAAACAUUCCAAACCUGUUGUUGGAAGACAUGCAAAGUUUCCGCUAUGUCGUUUUGUUAAAUGAAUGGUGUGGAACCAAAGUGACUCUUGUGAAAAAUGUGUGUGAUGGUUUUUAUUAAAGAUAUUACUACAGUAUAUUAUUACAGUAAGAAUAAUAAUAUGAUGAUUAGUGGGAUAUAGCAGCUGGAGCCAAUUCAAAACGUAGCUUCUAUUGAUGCCAUUAUAUGUUGCUUUCAAAUUCCAUUGUCCACUGUCAAUCCCAUAUCAUGCCAAGUUCCUACCCCAUUAACAACCCCAUUCAACCCGAGUUUCAUAGCCUUUAGAAUUAUCAUCCAUCUGUAAGAAAUUUUACAUCACAAUUACUAGUUCCUAGUUAAGAUUUCUCUCUUGCUCUCUCGUAAUCAGAUCUAGCCCCUCAUUAACACACAUUCCAAUUGAGAGUUCCUUCCAAGUUAUGAAGGAAUUUGUGGUGAUGAAAUAUUACAGCUGCAUACAAGGAGACAAUGGUGUAUUGUCCCUUCGUCUCCCCUCUUUCUAAUGCAUGAUUUUAUAUUUUUUUAUAAAAAUAAAAGCCACUAAAUUUAAAUUUGAAACUGCAUUUGUAUGUAUGUGUCUCAUCUUCCCUUUGCUUGUUUAUAUGCAAUAUAUUAUCUCUUGAUUUCCUAUUUGAAAGUUGAAUAAAUCAAGUCUGGUAAAAUGUAUACCAGGAUGGGUAAGUCCUUCCACCAGAAACUUUAAUUUAGACCUAUUUUGGUAUUCAUUCAAGUACUUUGAUUCUGGUGUAUGGGCAUUACUAGGUGCUAAAAACUCAUAUGUGGUCAUAAAACCUCUACUUUGAUUACAUGGGAUUUUGUACAAGUAAUUUUUUCGACCAUUUUUCUUCUCAUAAUCUUGAUCACUUUUUUUUUUCUUUUUUUGUUCUUGUUAUUGAACUUGUGUCUGAACCACAAUAGGCUCUUUGCCACCAAUCCUGAAAAAUCACUAAUGUAUAACUGCGUUAUAAGUGGUGUAAUUUUGUUGUUUGUUGCAAAUGACUUCCUCUCAUCUUGUGCUUCAUUGAUAUUAGCUUUAAUUUCUUUUGAUCAAUUUAUCUCUAAUUUUAUCAGUGACUUCCUCUCAUGUUGUCCUUUGUUGAUGUUAGCUUUAAUUUCUUUUGAUCAAUUUAUCUGUAAUUUUACCCUUCAUGUUUUGAUUAUUACUAUCUAUCUUAGAUCCACAUUUAAAUUAUAUUUAUUUUGUAUGUUUUUUUAUGGGGUCAAUAUGUUGUCAUAAACCAUAGCCAACUCUAGCCAUCUUUUAGAGUUGUCUAAAAUUUUCCUUAUUUUGGUAUGUUUGGGUCAUAUAGAUGAAUUGUUCUCCUGUUUUUAGUUUAUUUAUAAUGUUUCAUUUCCAGUUCUUCUCUCAUGUUUGAAUGGAUCAAGCAACAAAAACAAUCACUCUCAGAUAUUAUCACAUCUCCCUCAUUCACUAUAAGUAUGCUUUCAAGCAAUCUCCUCUCCUCACAAUCCUUUUAUUCUUAUUGGUUGUUGGAUCUUGCGUUAUAAAGGCCAUUCGGUUCCAAUGUUGUGUGCUUCUUUUCAUUUUUUUAGUUGUGGUACUUUGUGUUUGGCUCCUUUCCUUUGCUGGGGCCUAUUCGUAUGACCCUGUGCAUUUGUGUGUAUUGGGGUGGUUUUGUUUGGGUUAUGUGGGUUUGGAUAUUUUUGGGAUUGGAUGCUUCAAAGCUGAAGCUUAAAAGAGAGAUUCUAUGUUUUUUGUGUGUGAACAAUGGAUCAGCAGUUGAAGAUGUUCCUUCCUGGAAACUCUUAGAUAGUUUAAUUUCUCCUGGCUAGAAGGGCCUUGUUCUUUUCAUAUAGUUUUUAAUUGCUCCCUUUUUGUUUUCUCCCACAAGUUCUUGGGGUUUAACAUGCAUAUUUCUUGUGUACUUGGUUGUGUGGCCUUUACUUUCAGUCUUCUGGUCUCAUUGCCCUUUGCUUGCCAUUCCCUCUCUCUUUCUUUCUCUCUCUCUCCCCUUCUCUCCUAAAAUGGAAGAACAGCUGGUUGCUGGAAGCCUAGUUUUCUCCUUAAGGUAUUUGGCUGUUAGCUGGGUGUUGGAGUCCAUGCAUGUGAUUAACUGGGCCCAUUUGAGUGUCCGUUGUUUCCAUGGAGAAUACUGACCAAACUGACGUUGUUUUACCUGUUCCCAUAAAAAUGUGGAUCACUACAUUUCUUUUGCCUUCAAUUCUGGCUCUUUUGUUAUUUAUUUUGUAAUUAAGAUAUUAUAUUUUGCAAGUAACUGGAAGUCUAAUUGUGAAAAAUGAUAUUCUUCAUAAAAUGUUCCCCUUCUCAAUUGACUUGAAGCUGAUUUUGCCAUUGGAACUUUUUGUGGAUGUGUGGUGUUUCAAUUGUGACUUUAAAUGAAGAAAAAUAAACUUUCUUUUUGUGUUUAAUUGCUGGUUACAGAAGCAAGUGACAUCACUUCUCUCUUUCUUUCUUUUUCUUUUUCUUUGUUUGGAUCAGAAGCUUCUAUCUUUCUUGCUAAUUGUUUAUUUAUUUAUGUUUAUUAGGAUAAAGGAUCUGAUGAAAUUGCUCUCAAAGCCAUGGGCAGGGCAAUCAACAAAACUGUGAUGAUUGCUGAACUAAUUAAGGUAACCAACAUUAUUUGCCUAUUUUUUCGGUCUAUUAACAUGGGUCAUUUUGGGUAUAUUACUUUUUGUUAUAUAUGUUAUAUAUGCUCGUUAACAUUAGUUUCUCUCAUUCAGAGAAGGAUUGCUGGUCUCCAUCAGAACACAUCGAUUGGUUCUACUGAUAUAACUGAUAUGUGGGAGCCACUAGAAGAAGGCCUUCUUCCGUAAGAAUUGAAGCAGCUUCUGAUCCUCCUCAUCCUUUUUUUGCAUAAAAUUCUGUGGGUUAUCAGGCUGAUAUAUUUCUUACUGAUGCAGUCUAGAAACCACUCGCCAUGUUUCAGUGAUAGCCAUCACUUUGUCCAAAAAGGAGCUGGAUAUAUCCUCCACAGGGUAAAAUAUGACUAGAGUUGUAGUUAAAGUUUACUUCAUGUUUCUUUGGCCGAAAUGAUUUAUAGCUUAGUGAUGUAACUGUGUGAUUCUUUGGCUCUGAGAGAUUUUGACAUUGACUUGUAUUAGGAGGGGUUAAGGAACAUCUCAUGCAUUUUUUGUUAUCACAUUUUUUUCUUUUAUUGGGUGGGUGGAUGGAUGUGUAUUUAUUUGGGUUUGUGGUGCUUGUGCAGCUUGUGCUUACCAAUUAAUUUUAAGAGGUCUAGACUUAAUUUAAAGCCUCAUAAUAAUGCAAAUCACCAGCUUUGAUGGUUUGAUUAGUUGGGAAUAAUUCAUGUUCUUAGGACAAGAUUAACCUUGUGCCUUGUAGAAGUAGUAAAUAAGACAGUGAUCUCUUGACACAAGGCUGAGUCAAGGUUUUUUUUUUUUUUGGUAAGUAAAGAAUAGCAUUUGUAUUAAAAAGAGGUGCUAAAAUAGCAGUCCAUGAAAUAUAAGAAAGAUACACUCACCCCUUUACAGCUGAAAUAAAAACUUUCCAAAAGAAUACACAAGAAACAACCCCUCCUCCCUCAAAGGGAGCCCACCCAAUCAAUAAAAUCUAUUAACGUUGAAGGACUAUCUUUUAUAAAUAUCUUAGUCUCCGAACAUAAUAAGUACACAAAUGGGGUUUUUUGCUCAAGAUUAUGAAACAAAAGAUUCCAUAAUUCCAUUCAGUCCUAGUUGAAAUCUAUGUGCUGCAUGGGAAGCAAGUAUGCUGGUGCAAUAAAGUCCUUAUAAUGAUAGACCAACCUAUUUCUGAUCUCCAAUUAUUAGCUUAGAGAGCUAAUAACAAUUCUGAUGACCUUGACAUUCCGUGGUGCACUUGGACUACUCUCCUUUAAUCACUUUAUGUUGUAUUUUGGCAUAUUAUAAUCACAUCCUGUAGCCUUGUUUGGGAUAAUGUUUAACUUGUGCAUUUAACAAUAGAAAAAGUAGACAUAAUUACUGCUAUGGUGUGAUUGAAUUUUAUGGGAAUGGUAUUUGAAAAAUGCUUUUAUUAGAAAUAAGGAUAAUUAUGAUAUUUUUUAAAAUUUUAUUUUAAUUAAAUGAAAAUCUGCUUCUUGCAUCACUUUUGAGGAUAAGUGUUGAGUCUCCCUGCUGCUUCCAUAUGCCUUGCUGAGAAUUGUUGUGUCCAUGAUUGAAAGUUCUAUUCAAACUUUUGUAAAAUUUGUGUUUGACCUUUGAACACUACUUUUAGGGGUUGAGAAGCUCUCGGAAUUCGGGCUUUUAUCUGCCAAAGCAAUUCCAUUUAUGUUGGCACUUGGAAGCAUCGUGAUGCAUGUUCUUUGCUAUGCUUUUCAAGUUAUUUAUGAUUUGGUAAUAAUCAUGUCAUUGGACCAUCUUUGUCCAAAUGCAGGUACCAACCACCAAUUCCAGCUGAUCAAGUGAGACCGUGGACUGAAUAUGAUUAUGAAGGAGGUAAAAAAAUGCAUCAUUGUUGUUUACUAUAAUUUUUUAUUUUUUGAUAGGUAUCAUUGUUGUUUACUACAAUCUCAUUGCUUGACAUUUUUAUAACUUAACACUUGUGGAAUCAGAGGGCUCUCCUGCGAUGAGGGGCAGAGGUCGUAGUGGCCGAGGAAGGGGUAGAGGUAGAGGUAACUUACACUGCUCUUUGGUAGUGCUUGAAUGUUGUCUUGUUUUAUGUGACAAUAAGAAUAUUUUAAUACUUAUUGUAGUUUUUCUGGGUAACUAAACUGACAGUUGUAUAUUUACAAGUGCUUAUCUGGGUUGCCUUUUACCUGCACUGUUGAAAUUGAAGGUGUAACAUAAAUAUUGCAAACUAGAGCCUGAGGCUGAUGAAGUUGGAAGCCAAAAUGAUGGUUUUGCUAACAAAUGAAUGUAAUUAGAAAAUCUAAUUUUGCCACAUAAAAUGGGUAAAUAUGCAGUAAAUCAAAACUGUAUUUAUAAGAUUUUGUUUUGUUAAUUCUUUGUUGCACUGCAACAUUUUGAUGAUUUUUGCAAAAAUUGAACAUAUAUUUUUGUUAAGACUCAGAUUUUUCAGAAGCAGCUCUAUAUUGCCCAGCUUUAAAAAGUUAGGUGGCGGGCGGGUUAACAAAGCAGAUUAUCUGUUGAUUUGCAAUUACUUGUUUAGAAUAGUGAUUAUUUCAUUUGGUUAGUAAAUAUAUAUAAUGAAAAAUAAGAAGAUUCUUUUUUCCCUUUACCAUUUUGCUUCUGAUCCCUAGAACUGAGAAUGAUCUGGGAACAUAUUUAUCUAGGGAUGACAUGAAAAUUCUUUAGCUAUUAAUUUUUCAUUUUCCUUGUUAAGUUUGAGAUGAACCUCUCUCAUCUGCAAGUUAUUUUCCAUUUUAUUUGUCCAUUUGUAAGCUUGACAUGUCAUAUACCUGGCAAAUGUUUUAGUGAAAUGGGUGUUUUUGUAUAUCUGGCAUAUUGAGCUCUGUUUUUGAAGUUUUCAUGAGGAAGCAGACACAGGCUUUUGGUUAUAUUCUGCCUCAAAAUGCUUGAAACCUAAGGGCUUAUUUGGCAAUGUUUUUGAAGUUGGUUCUCAAAAAACCAGUUUUUAGAAACAGUUCUUCAAAAUAUCUCUUAAUUGUUUUUUAAACCAAAAUUCUAUUUAGGAACUUAAAUAUGAAAAACAGUUUUCUCGGUUUAUUCUCCAUGAAGGUACUAUGCAUUUGUGCAUAAUGCCUAAAUUUGUCUAAGUAUCAUCCAUAUUUUCAAUUGUUUUUCAGCAUACUCUAAAAAAAAUAAAAAACAUUAGAAAGCACCUUGGAUUUGUUCUAAAAAACUUGUUUUCAGAACAAGUUUUCAAACAUUGUUUUCAUCAAUAAUUUCCCUAAUGUGAUUUUUGAGCUAGAAAACUGUUUUUUGUUUUAAAAAAAUAUAAAACUGUUUUCAGCAGCUCCCAAACAGGCAGUGAAAAGGAGGACAAUCAUAGACAAGUUUUCUUCACAGCAAGUAUUAGCUUGACACUUAAUUUUGGUAUUUCGGUUGUCAAUCAUUAGAAGGCUUUCUUUUUUUUAUUUCUGUCUCUUAAGUUUAUAAGAGAGACAACUUUUUAUAGUUGAGAUUCAUUGCCUUGUUGCUUGAAUAACUGUCCUCUGGUAACUGUGUAAAGCAGUUACAGUUAACAAUGUUGCUGUCAUUGUUGGUCCAAAUGACUUCUGCUCCAUGGUUGCCAUUUUUUUCAAUUUAUAGCUUGGUUAUUGGCCUGUGGCUAGAGAUCUCAGGAGAGAUACAUUUUAAAACCUCAAUCACCCCGUAAAUUUCACACACUGAAAAUUGAUAAACCAGCUGGUAGAUUCUUUGCCUAAAGUGGAGCAUAUUGGGGAAAAAUACUAAUAGCUAAAUAUGUUAAAUUAGCUGGAAGAUCAAUCUUGCCAUCAUUGACACAACUUUUUGUUUAUGCCUGGGUGGCUGCUAAUGUUACUUUAUUCUGUUUGGUUGUAUUUUCAUUUAGCAUAAGCUCAGUUAUCCCUCUUUUGUCUUAAAUGUGUUUUCAGGGAAUAAUAACAAUGGGAUGGUAGAAUACAAUGGUGAUGGUGGCUGGGAUGGUGUGCGUGGGGGGUAUGGUGGCAGAGCUCGAGGCCGUGGAAGAGGCCGUGGUUAUCGUGGGCGUGGAAGAGGCUAUGGUGGUGGAGAUAUGCAACAAGAAAUGGGCGGUUACAAUGACUAUGGAUCAGGGGCAGUGCCUGCUCAAGGCCGUGGUAAGCUCUUAGAUUUAUGUUCUGUGAAGUUUCUUUCUGCCCUUUAAUAAAAGAAGGUUCAUGGCUAGUUAAAUAGGGAAUGUCUUAAUUAACAGAACUUAACACCAUAUGUCCUUUGUCAAGAGGCCUCUCUAGUAUGGAAGGCUAUUCUUUCAUGUUAUCUCCUUUGAUAAGGCUUUCCUAAGGUUGCAAUGCAUGAGAUUGCAAUGAAACACUUGCUUUAUGUUAUCACCACACCUAGUUGUAUAUGUCAGUGUAUAAUUAUGAUGCAGAUGCAUAUUUAUUAUGAAGCACACCCCUUUGUCAUGGGUUUUUUCCCCUUGAAGAAAUUGUUUUGCAUGCUUUAUUUGUUGCUUGAUGUGUUUUCUAUGGUAACAGAUUUCUAAGUUUUGCCAUGAAUAUUUGAAGUACAUCAGGCACUAGUGCAGAAUUGCAUUUGCUAGUGAUCUUCCACAAAUUUUCUUUGGGCCCAUUUGGGAUUGAUUCUCAUGAAAGUGCUUGUAGCCUGUAGUGCUUCCAUAGGAAGCAUUUUUAUUAGAAAUACUUUUAUGGUGGAUCGGUUAAUGUUAGUCGAAAAAUCGUUUUAAAUGAUUCUUGUAAGGAAAUUGCAUUAGGAAGUGCUUUUAACCUUUCAAGAAUCACUCCUAAGUAAACUCUUAGUUUUGAAUCCAUAUUUCAUCCUCAUCAUAUUUGCCUCUGUAUAGCUUCAUCAAGAGUUAUUCAAAACAAACCAAAGAGUUUGAAACCUGGCACUGAUUUGGCAGUUAAAUCUAGAAAGAAAAAUAGGAAAGAUCAAAGCUUUAUCUGUGGCAUUGAAUGAUGCUAGAUAACCGAGUAAUCAUUGCAUCUGGCACCAUGAAGGUGCUGAUUCCUCAAAAUAUGUGGUGGAGGAACUCAUAAAAUCUACCUUGGUGGAUCUGCUAUGUACCCAUGACAAAAUAUUCUGCUACUCAUGUUAAAAUUAUUUUGAUCUUUCCUAAAUUACUGCUUAUUUGAGUCUUGCAGGGCGUGGACGAUGGCGAGGCAGGGGGAGGGGCCGUGGACCUGGUCGGGAUAUCAAAUCAGAUGGCCCAGUCCAGGCAGCUGCCUGAACCCCAUAGGUUUACAUUGCAGAUAGUUGUGGAUGCCUGCUCUGCUGAUUAUGUGGUGGUAUCUUUAGCUGGGGAGUGUUGGUUUCAGUGAUGAAUGUUUAGGCGUAUCAGUUAUAGUGGGCUGCUGCCGCCAUGUGGCAGCUGUGUUUUUGUAGGUUCAUACUAGGUUUUAUUUUAAUUUAUUGCUGACAAGAACUCAAAACGUUGUACACCUUCCAUCUUUUUAGGGAAUAAUAGAGCAGUACAUUCUUUCAUUCUUAAUCCUAGCAUUUCUGAUGUUCUUAGCGCGGUGAGCAUUCUGCUGUAAGUUUCUUCCGCUCAAAGCUCUGCUUCGGUUGUUUAAAUUUUAGUUGUACUGUUGAAGUAGGUAAUUUUUACAACAUAUAGGGUAAAUGAGCCAUCCAAUUCCCUAUUCCUUGCCCCAAAUGUUAGGCUCUAAUUGAGUGUUUUUCAAAACAGUUUUUGGAAAGUGUUUUUAAAAUAAAAGUCUAAUAUUUGAGAAUGUUUUCAAAAAUAAUUAUUUUUUUAUAUAUACAAGUUUAUGAAAUGUUUUAAAAAAUUAAUUUGUUUUCAAAAUAAGCUUUUUAAAAAACGGUUUUUGAUGGAAGUUUGACACGUAUUUGAAUUUUUUAUUUUUAAGAAUAGAAAAUUGUGUUCAAGGACAGGUUGUAACUUUGACUUUUCUUUCAACUUUUAAGUUGCACAAGCACGCCAUCUCGGGCGAGAAAAUAAGAAGCAUUAGUUGUGGCUGUGGCAUUUUAUAGGCCCAAUGCCCUCUAUAAAAUUUUCCAAAUUCAUGCGCCUUCCAAUCUUCAAACUCUCAUCAAAAGAAGUGAAGUCGACCUAGUCUUGAAGAACGCAAAUUCAUGCGCCUUCCAUCAAAAUUACUCGACGACUCGUCUUGACAUAUCCUCCGCAUGGGGAUUAAUUAUCGGGAGAAUUAGCCAAUAGGGUGGGAUGGAUUGGAAUAAUUAUUAAAAAGGGUGUUCCGUCUAAUAAUUUUUUGGAGGACUUUAAUAGGUUUAAAUAGCAAAACUAUCCUUCAAUUAAAACUUUUCAAAAAUUAAUAUUUAAAGUACUUCACUUGAUUUGUCAUGACGUUUAUGAUAUGGGGGUCUUAUAUUUAUUAUAAUUAUUGACAUUUAAAUUUUAGAUUUAACCCUUAUAAUUAUUAUAUAUAAUGAUAGUGUUGUAAAACAAGGACAAAUAUAAUGCAAAUCAAAGUAGUAGAGAUAAAAUAUAUCUUACUUUGAUAUAUAAUAUGGAAGAAGGAAUCAAAGAAGAGAAUUGAGAAAGUGAAAGAAAGAGAGAGAGAGAGAGAAUGAGAGGAAGAACUUUCUUUUUUUUCUCGGGAUGCUCUUACAUGGGGGGGUAAGAAGCCUUUUAUAGGCUUCAUAAUAUGAACUCCCAUUACUCAUCUUAAAGAUGAGUAAAUGGAGUUCAUAAUGACCAUCAAUGUGGUCAUUCAUUUCCCUUAAUUUACAACACUCCCCCUUGGAUGACCACCAUAUUAAAAGAAUAUGCCUCAUUAAAACCUUGCUAGUAAAAAACCCUAGUGAAGGAAAAAGAGUACAAUAUUCUUUUCUUGGUAUAUUAGGACUGCCUCGUUAAAAACCUUGCCAGUAAAACCCAGUAGGACAAAACCUGGACGAAGGAAAAAAGAGUAUAGUACACUAACACCCUUUUACAAGCAUACUCCCCCUUAUAUCGAUAUCCUUGAGUUGACGCAUUCCAAUCUUGUGUAUUAACUUCUUGAAUGUUGAAGUUGGCAAUGAUUUUGUGAAUAAAUCUGCUAGAUUAUCACUUGAGCGUAUUUGUUGCACAUCAAUUUCACCACUCUUCUGGAGUUCAUGUGUAUAAAAGAAUUUUGGUGAAAUGUGUUUAGUUCUAUCUCCUUUAAUAUAACCCCCUGUUAUUUGUGCAAUGCAUGCAGCAUUAUCUUCAAAUAAUGUUGUUGGGUCACCUUUGAUAGAGGAGAGUCCACAUGAUUCCCGAAUAUGUUGGAUCAUAGAUCUUAGCCAUAUACAUUCACGACUUGCUUCAUGAAUUGCCAGUAUUUCUGAAUGAUUUGAUGAUGUGGCUACCAUUGUUUGUUUGACAGAUCUCCAUGAAAUAGCAGUACCAUUGUAAUUAAACACAUACCCUGUUUGUGACCUGCCUUUAUGUGGAUCUGAAAGAUAUCCUGCAUCUGCAUAUCCAAGCAAUUGUUGCUUUGAUUCCCUUGAGUAAAAUAAACCCAUAUCAGUAGUUCCGCGAAGAUAACGCAAUAUAUGUUUGAUACCAUUCCAAUGUCUUCGAGUUAGAGCGGAACUGUAUCUUGCUAAUAAAUUGACAGAAAAAGCAAUGUCUGGACGUGUACAAUUGGCAAGAUACAUAAGUGCACCAAUAGCACUAAGAUAUGGUACUUCAGGACCAAGUAACUCUUCAUCCUUUUCGCAAGGACAAAAUGGGUCCUUUUUCACAUCAAGUGAUCGGACAACCAUUGGAGAACUUAAAAGAUGCGCUUUAUCCAUAUAAAAACGUUUCAAAACUUUCUUAAUGUAUGUUGAUUGAUGUACUAAAACUCCAUUUGGAAAAUGCUCGAUCUGCAGGCCUAGACAAAAUUUUGUUUUUCCAAGAUCUUUCAUCUCAAAUUCAUUUUUCAAGUAAUUUGUUGUUCUUGUGAGCUCUUUAGGAGUUCCAACAAGAUUUAAGUCAUCAACAUAUACUGCAAUAAUUGCAAAUCCGGUUUCUGAUUUCUUAAUGAAGAUGCAUGGGCAUAUAGGGUUAUUCACAUACCCUUCUUUUAGCAAGUAUUCGCUAAGGCGAUUGUACCACAUGCGUCCAGAUUGCUUUAAUCCAUACAAGGAUCGUUGUAACUUGAUUGAGUACAUGCUACGAGGCUUUGUAUUAUUUGCAUCAGGCAAUUCAAAUCCUUCGGGGAUUUUCAUGUAUAUAUCAUUAUCCAUGGAUCCGUAUAAAUAUGCUGUAAUAACAUCCAUGAGACGCAUAUCCAGUCCUUCUAAGACUGCCAAACUAAUUAAGAAACGAAAUGUGAUUGCGUCCAUGACGGGAGAAUAUGUUUCCUCAUAGUCAAUACCAUGUCUCUGCGAGAAACCUUGUGCUACUAAUCGCGCUUUAUAUCUUAUGAUCUCAUUAUUCUCAUUGCGAUUUCGUACAAAUACCCAUUUGUACCCAACAGGCUUUACAUCUUCAGGUGUUUGGACUACAGGUCUAAAAACUUCUCGUUUUGUUAAUGAGUUUAAUUCUGCCUGUAUAGCUUCUUUCCAUUUUGGCCAAUCAUUUCUAUGUCGACAUUCUUCCACAUUUCGUGGUUCGGGAUCUUCAUCAUUUCUUAUGAUAUCAGAAGCCACUUGGAAAGCAAAAAUAUUGUUAAUAACAAUAUUAUUUCGAUCCCAUUUUUCUCCCGUUUGUACAUAACUUACCGAGAUCUCACAAUUUUCAGGUACCUGUGCCUCUUCAGGGGCUUCUUGUUCAAUAUGUGGAUCUUCAGGGGUUUCUUGUUCAAUAUGUGCCUCUUCGGGGGCUUCUUGUUCAAUAUGUACCUCUUCAGGGGCUUUCUGCAUUAUUUGUGUCUUUUCUAGGGCUAUAGAUUUAUCAAUUUUAAACUGAUCAGUCAUUUUGAUGGUCUCUUCUAGAGUGCCAAGUUUUUCUUGGGUUCUCCUCUUCCGGGGAGUUACAUCCUUUGAGCCGACAGGUUUACCACGCUUUAGGCGUAGCUUAGAUUCAUUUGUUAACUGUCCUAUAGGGACAUCAAUCCGUGCUGGAGUAUUUGCAACCGGGAUAUGUGACUUUGUCACUUUCUUUGUAUCAAUGAAUGCAUCUGGUAAUUGAUUUGCAAGAUUUUGCAAAUGAAUGAUCCUUUGAACUUCUAGUUCACAUUGAUUUGUACGAGGAUCAAGAUGGGUCAUAGUAGAUGUCUUCCAACUAAUUUCUCGUCGUUCUUCAGGAAUCGACUUUUCUCUCCCUAAUGAUGGGAAAACACUCUCAUUAAAAUGACAAUCCGCAAAGCGGGCUGUAAAAACAUCGCCUGUCAAAGGUUCAAGAUAUCUUAUGAUAGAUGGAGAAUCAAAACCUACAUAAACCCCAAGUCUUCGUUGGGGACCCAUUUUAGUGCGUUGUGUAGGUGCAAUUGGUACAUAUACUGCAUAACCAAAGAUUCGUAAGUGAGAGAUAUUUGGUUGUUUUCCAAGCACAAGUUGUGAAGGGGAGUAUUCAUGGUAAGUUGUAGGUCGAAUACGGACUAAAACUGCAGCAUGCAUAAUAGCAUGUCCCCAGGCGGAAGUAGGUAAUUUGGUUUUCAUUAGUAAUGGUCGAGCUAUUAAUUGGAGACGUUUGAUGAAGGAUUCUGUUAAACCAUUCUGGGUAUGAGUAUGAGCAACAGGAUGCUCAAUAUUUAUCCCUACUGACAUGCAAUAGUCAAUGAAUGUUUGAGAAGUAAAUUCGCCAGCAUUAUCAAGACGUAUUUUCUUAAUUGGAUAAUCUGGAAAUUGUGCUCGUAAUCUGAUUAUUUGUGCAAGGAGUCUAGCAAAGGCUACGUUACGUGUAGAAAUGAGACAAACAUGUGACCACCUAGUAGAAGCAUCUAUUAAGAUCAUAAAAUAACGGAAUGGUCCACAUGGUGGAUGGAUAGGCCCACAUAUGUCUCCAUGUAUUCUUUCUAAAAAGAUUGGUGACUCGGAUAUGACUUUAGUAAAAGAUGGUCUGAUUAUCAAUUUACCUUGUGAGCAGGCAGCACAUGAGUAUUCAUUGGGCGAAAGAAUCUUCUGGUUCUUUAGUGGAUGCCCAUGUGAGUGUUCGAUUAUUCGACGCAUCAUUGAAGACCCUGGGUGACCUAGCCUGUCAUGCCAAAGGACAAAAACUUUUGGGUCGUUGAACUUAUGGUUCACGACAACAUAUGAUUCAAUAGGCUUUAUAGUUGUAUGAUACAACCCAAAGGAGAAAGCCGGCAAUUUUUCCAUUAUAAGCUUCUGGCCAGAUAUAAUGGAAGUAAUGUAAAGAUAUUCUACAUUAUCUUCAUUCAUAGUUUCAAUAUGAUAUCCAUUUCUGCGGAUAUCUUUAAAACUGAGCAAAUUUCUUCUGGAUUUGCUAGAAUAUAACGCGUCAUUUAUAUGGAAUCUAGUUCCAUUUGGCAACAUUAUGUUUGCUCUUCCAGAGCCUUCAACUAAGUUUGUAGUACCAGAUAUGGUACUUACAUUAGCUUUUAUUAAUGUCAAUUCGAGGAAAUAUCUUUUAUCUCGAAGAAUUGUGUGCGUGGUCGCACAGUCUGCGAGACAUACAUCAUCCUCAUUCAUCUUGAGACCAAAUAACACAUGGAUUUCAGAUAUAACAAAAAAAACAAGGCAUAAUGUAAAUAACAAAGUAAAUCAGAUGUAAAUAUAAGACAUAAUAAUAUAUUAUUUUAUAUAUAAAGUAACAUCAAUCAAUGUUGAUUUUUUCAUCAUUUAUCAAAUGGUCUGUUUUUUCAUUGGGACCUCCAAAGAAAUCAAUGUCAUAGUAGGUUAGGUCCAAUCCAUCACCAUCGGUAAAGUUCAUCUCUAUCUCUUUUCCUUUAGCUUUUAUUGAUGCUUGGUAAAGGUCGACCAAAUGUUUGGGCGUACGACAUGUACGCGACCAAUGCCCCUUCAUACCACAUCUAUAACAAUUAUUCUCAUGGUUCUUAGGAGGUUUAUCUUGUAAACGCUUCCCAUUUUCUUGUAUUGUCUCAGUAUUGUUCCACUUCUGGUGGUGCAAUGAGGCUUUCAUUUUAUGAGAAUUAUUACUAUAAGAACCAUGGUAUCGGGGAUUUCUUCCACGACCACGACCACGUCCUCGUCCUCGUCCACGUCCACGAGUUUGGGACGAUAUUGCAUUUACUUCAGGGAAUGGUUCAGAUCCAGUUGGACGAGACUGGUGAUUUCUCAUCAAAAGCUCAUUAUUUUGUUCAGCAACAAGAAGACAUGAUAUUAAUUCAGAAUAUUUUGUAAAUCUACGCUCUCGAUAUUGCUGCUGCAGGAGCACAUUCGAGGCAUGAAACGUAGUAAAAGUUUUCUCUAACAUGUCUUCCUCUGUGAUUUUUUCUCCACACAGCUUUAAUUGAGAGCUGAUUUUGAAAAGUGCAAAGUUGUAUUCACUAACAGUUUUAAAAUCUUGCAACCUUAGGUGCAUCCAAUCAUAUCGAGCUUUUGGGAGAAUCACAGUUUUCUGGUGGUCAUAUCUUUCUUUCAAAUUACUCCAUAGAGUAAAAGGGUCCUUUACCGUAAGAUACUCAUUUUUUAAACCUUCAUGGAGGUGAUGGCGAAGGAAAAUCAAUGCUUUUGCGGGAUCCUGCAGGGAUGCUUGAUUUCCUUGUUUGAUCGUAGCUCCAAGGUUCAUUGCAUCAAGAUAUAAUUCAGCAUCAAGGAUCCAAGAUAGAUAGUUCUUUCCCGAAAUGUCAAGUGCCACAAAUUCGAGUUUUGUGAUAUUCGACAUUGUCAAAUAACUUCAUAUAUAUGACAAAACAAUAUUAUUAAAAUCAGUUAUAAUAACUUGAUAGCAUUGGUAUAACUUUGAUUAUAAACAAAAUCAAAUAAUUUGUCUAUAACUUUUAACAAUAUGUAACAAAACAAAUCAACAAUAAUAUAAAUAACUUCAAGUUUAAGAUACGAGAAUUACCUUCAGAGCAAUUCGUGUUGAUAACGUGUUGUAAAACAAGGACAAAUAUAAUGCAAAUCAAAGUAGUAGAGAUAAAAUAUAUCUUACUUUGAUAUAUAAUAUGGAAGAAGGAAUCAAAGAAGAGAAUUGAGAAAGUGAAAGAAAGAGAGAGAGAGAGAGAAUGAGAGGAAGAACUUUCUUCUUUUUCUCGGGAUGCUCUUACAUGGGGGGUAAGAAGCCUUUUAUAGGCUUCAUAAUAUGAACUCCCAUUACUCAUCUUAAAGAUGAGUAAAUGGAGUUCAUAAUGACCAUCAAUGUGGUCAUUCAUUUCUCUUAAUUUACAACAGAUAGUAUAAUUUGUUAUUUAAAUUUACUAUUUAAAACAAAAAUAUUUCUAAAAAAUAUUUUUAAUAUAUUAUAUUUUUUUUACAUUUUUUUAUUCUAAUUUUUAAUUUUAUUAAGAAAAAAAUAAGUUUUAUAAUUAUAUAAUAAAAAUGAUUAUUUUUUCAUAUAUAUAUUAAUUUUAAAUCAAUAAAUUAUGUUUUUGUAUUAAAAUAAUUUUUAUUUUUUAUAAUAAAAUAAUUUUUAAAAAUUUAUAUGAUUUUUUUUUCCUUUGCCUAGUGUUUUUUUUUUCUUAAUUUUCAUAUAUAAUUACAGGUACAACAAAAAUAUUAUAUAAUUACAAUAUAAAUACACUUACUUUACAAUAAAACCUAAUUAUGAAAAUUUUGAAAUUUUUUAUAAAAAUGAUAAUUUUGUAUGAUCAUACCAUAUUUCACAAUAUAUUUAUAUCAUAAAUAAUUUCUGAAACCAAAUGAAAUUUUAAUUUGAAUUCACGAGACUCGUAAUUUUUUUAUAUAUAAAAUUAUUAAAUAAUUUCAAUUAAUUGGAUGAAUGUUGUUAAUAUAUUGAUACAAUAUGUUAAUAUCAAUAGAGUACAAAUAAGCAUUUUUAGAAUUAUUACUUUUAUAAUGAAAUAUAGGUACAACAUAAAUGCAUUAUACUUACAAUACAAAUACAUUAUCAUUACAACAUAUUACAAUAUAAUUUGCUAUAUUACCCAAUGAAUAAUUGUGAGUUAUUCCAUUUAAUAGUUGUGUGUUUGUCAAUUGAAUAUUUAUAUAUUAUUCAAUUGAUGAGUGCUUAUGAAAAAUAAUUAUUUAUUAUGUUAUGGUAACAAAAUUUUUAAUUGUAUGUUCCACAUAUAAAACGUUAUAAUAACCUUAGAAUAUGGUUUUUAUUUGUGAGGUAUUGAAUUUGUUUUUUUUUUACAAGGUUCUUUAAAAAAAUUCCAUUUUUUUUGAAAAAAAAAGUAGCAAAUUUUUAAGUAGUUACUUGAUUGUUCAAAAGUGAACAACAAUUUUUUUAGGCUUGAAAAAUGUACUAUUGAUUACCUGUACUUAUCAUCAUAUAUGGGUUUCACAUAAUUGACCGUCUCAAAUUUAUUUAUAAAUAAUAUAAAAAACAUAUUCGAGGAUAAAAUUAUAUUCUAAAAAUCCUUGAGAUGAGUGAGCUUUCCUAAUAAUUAUUCCAACCAAUUGAGUAAUUCUCCCUACAUGAUUCUUGUAUCCUUGUGGGGCCAUAGAUUACUUUUCAGAGAGGAUUGAGGCUGAACCAAUUGUCUGAAUCUGAGAACAGGGAGUGUGAGUACGUUUUGUAAGGAAAAAUAUCAACCACCAAUUCAGAAUUUCUUACCCCUCAUUGUUUCAAACUACUAGGGAUUCAAGCAAUUUUCGAACAUGGGGGAUUUAGUGUUGCAAAAACCCUUCCAAAACAAAAUGGAUACCAAAGAUGGAAUACUUCUCUCAUCAAGUGUAGGAAUGUUAUUUUUAGAUUCUCAAUUCUAUUUUAAGGAGAAUAUUAAUCAUUUCAAAAGCUAUUUUCAAAGCUUUUUUAUUGAAAAACAAAAUACAAUAAACAUAUCCAACCAAAAUACAAGUUUUACAUAUAAAAAGUCAAUUUUCAUCUUCCCAAAAAAUCAGUUUAUUAUUUUCAUACUGUAAAACAAACAAGAAGAGAAAUAAAAUACAAAUUUGAUUUUGCUUAAUUGUGCACAUGCAUAUCUAAAAACAUCCACCCAUUGACAUCCCUGCCUACACUGCUUCCAACAAGUCAACUAGAGCAAAUUUGUUACAGUCCAAACAAUUAGCAUGCACCCCUGAAACCUCCUUCUCGCACCCCAAAAUCAAACUUCAGAAAAAGUUUAACAGGGAGUGCCACUGUGGAAGCAGCAAACAUAUACUAUCCAUCUAAAUUUAUUGGCAGCACAUGCAUAAUUUGCAUGUCAAUCACCAUACUUCAAAGCAGCAUUAGAAAAGGGAAGGACCAAAAGACAGAAUUAUGAAAGAAAUUCUGAAUAACUAGCAGUUCAUAAUAUCUCUUGGAAAAGAAACAAAAAUUGUGCAAAACCAAGACUGCUCAAAUCCUCUCAACGCUUCAGACACUCAAAAUAUUAACUGUGAUGUCUUAAUGAUUAUAGACUAGAAGGAAAAUUUCAUUGCAAAAGAAACCAUAAUCACCCAAUUUGCAGCAAUGGUCCAAAAUUCACCAAAGAUAGGCAAAAUUAUGCUUUCAUCCGUCCAUAGAACUUCUGCUUCUCUUGUGUAGUCUGGAAACGCCCAUGCCCAAACUUUGAGGAAGUAUCAAUGAACUUGAGCUUGAUCUCCUCAAGGGCCACACGAGAUGUCUGCUUGAGCAGAGACUGACGAAGCGUAACAACUCUCUUCUUAGGCCCAACACAGCAACCCUUGAUCAUCACAUAAUCAUCCUUCACCACACCGUAGUGAGGGAAACCACCCAUUGGAGUUAUGUCUUUCUCGGUCCUGUUUUAUUAUCCAAGUAAAGAAACAAUGAUAUUAGUUACGGUAGCAAUGUUGGCAUCCUGUGAGAUUGAGUAUACAAACAUAGGGCUAUUAUUACUUAAAAACAAUUUACAAAUCCAUUAAAAAAUGAUAGCAUGUGUAUAACAGGGGCAUUUCAAAUUUUCAUUAGUGUUUCUAUUCAGCCAUGACUUCGAAUUCAAAGGUUCAUAUAAAUUCUUAAAACAUUUCUAUCACUGCUGCACAAAAGGGAAAAGGCUCUAAACUGGGAAUCAAAACUAAAAUAAAAUAACAGAAGUGAUUGACACUGUACCAUGCCAAUAAACAUCUAUUUAUGGACAGAAGGAGAUUUGAGGCUAAGAGCUCUUUUAACAAAUGUUUUAAUGACAUCAACAAAGGCCUUGCCAAAGUUCAGUAAAUAAGUUACUAACCUGUCAAACUCAGUGAGGGCGGUGUGAGACUCCUGCUCAAUCUUGCCAAGCUUGUAAAUCUUCUUGUUCAUUUCAGUACGAUGGUGGUAUCCAUUCUGACCAGCCCUGGCAACUGUGAAUGAAACUCUAGCAGGAUGCCAAGCACCAAUACAUGCCACUUUCCUCAAACCCCUGUGAGUCUUACGGGGAAGGCGGGUGACACCCCAACGGGUGACAACACCUUCAUAACCCUUACCUUUAGUCACACCAAUGAUGUCAAUCAUCUCAUCCUUCUGGAAAAUGGCAUCCACAGGGACUUGUUUCUCAAAGAAACCAUAAGCAUAAUCCACUUUCUGAGCAAUGGUUCCACCAUUGACCUGGAUCUCCAUCAAGUGUGCUUUCUUCUGCUUCAAUCCCUUCAUCUUCCUAAUCUAUAACACCAUGACCAGAGAAAUUAGUUAGAGGAUAAGGAUCAUUUAGGGGAUAUGAGAGCUGGAACUAAAUUUUGAAGUAUUGACAAGCGUCAAAUAAGUCAUGUCCAAUGAUGAGCCAGAUCAGAGGCUGAACAGGUGAGAGAGAGAAAAUCAAUGUUCAUUCUCCUUUUAAACAUCACAGUUCAGUUGAGGAUGGAAACUUAUAUUGGUUUCAUUCCCCAUAUGGCUAGGACCAAAAUCCAAAUGAGCAAGUAUGUCAUAUGAGUAAUUGGUAUACAAAAAACUUUAGAGAAUUAGAAAAACUAAAUCAGAUUCAGCAGACAACAGUACAAGCAUCAAACAAAAGUUUCCCAGUUCUUGCCUCCAAAAAAAAAUUAACAUAAAUAUCAUGUUAUUAAAAAGGUCUAAUAACAUGAUAUUACAUCAUUGCCUAUCAAAAAAAGGAAUGGAAAACCUAUUUAAAUGAUACUAUUACUAAUUCCCACUACUUCGAUGGGAAACUGUAUUACUACUCAGCACAGAAGGAAAUGAGUCUUAUCAUUAAAAUAAAAAUAACAAGUGAACACGACAAGCAAUUGAAAGAAACUGAAUUAGCAUCAAAUAAUGAAAUAAUGUAGUACAUCUUAAAAAAUAGACUAUCAGUACCUGAGUGUGAGCCAAAACCCGAAUGACAGAAGCAUAUUUUUUCAUUUUCUCCAGUUGUGCUUGGAUGCUUUUCUUCCCUUCUUCAGUCUCAUACUGCUUGGAGUACUUGGUGAAAGCCUUCUUCUUGGAUUUGCACCAGUUCUUAUAGAACCUACGCUUCACCUCCUCACUCAGGUGCUGAGCCCAAACUGUGUUCAGAGAACGAAGGCCACGUGGAGUCUUAACAUAAGCCACCACUCCAACUAUGACCAUAGGAGGAGUCUCAACAAUUGUAACAGCUUCACAUGUCUCCUUCUUGUGAAGCUCUGUAGAAUAUUAGUAUUAUUAGAUACAGCACUAGAUUUAAAUUGUGCAAGUUGGAAAAAAAGUUUCAAGCACCGAUGUGAUACUAAGAUGUAUUUAAAAAGUCAAAGAAAAACCUAACCAAAACUGGCUACAUGAUCCAAAUAAACUACAAACAUAGAAGGAAAUAUUUUCAACGUCUUUAGUGCAAGAAAUAAUUUCUAACAAAAAGUUCGUUUUACCAUAGGACAACAAAUAUUUUCAUGACAUGUUAUAGAUAAACUGGUGGCAACAAAUAAAAUAAAAUUUAUUCAAAAGAACAAAGUCCAGGUCCACAAAAGAAGUAUUAUUUAAGUCACCAGUCGGUUGUUGGACAGAUGAAUAUAACAAUGAAAUCAGAUCAUAUUACAUGUCGAUUAAAUCUGUAUUAUGACUUUAAAUAUUCAAGCAUUCAACCGCUUCACAAGAUUUUCAACUAAUGCUUGCUUUACAAAGAAUAUUUUGCCCUGAUCAAAGAGUGAUCUACUCCAAACAAAAAGUCUGGUCUCCAGUGAGGAAAACAAAAGGAAAGAUUCUAAAAGACAAUAUAGUACAUCAAAUUCCAAGGAAAAUUUCCUUCAAUAAAACAAGGGCAAACAAGAAUAAAUUAACCAGAAAAGUUUCAUACUUGAUCCAGGUUUUUCAACCUCCCUGACAAUGUGGGUCAUCCCAGCUUUGUAACCCAAAAAGGCAGUCAGCCUGCAAGGCUUGCUUGGGUCAUCCUUAGGAAAAGCCUUCACUGCAUGAGUUCAAGAUAACAAUGGAUUAGGUUAAAAAGAUGUAAAAUUUCAUCGUAUUAAUGUCCACUUAAAUAUCAACACUGAAGAAUCUCAUUAGCAAGAUCUAAUUUCUGAAACAUUUCAUGUUUCUUUCACGCAACUCACAUAUAAUAAGUACAGUAAUAUCCCAAACUCAGAAGUGUAAUAAGGUUAAUGUACUACUUGGAGGCAGAAAAGUAAUUAUCAUAAUCAUCAACAACUCUGAAGAAAGAGCAUGUCAUUGCUAUAAACAAAAAAGUAAGCUCUCAUGAAAAAACAUUAUGAUUGAUAAUAUGUAAAGAAGCCAUGUAUACCUUUUCCCCUAUGACGAGCAGCCCGCUUCCUUGGCAAAAAUCCAAGAGAACCAUGCCUGGGAUGCUCAAACUUCCGGUGCGACAUUCUUCUCCUCCUUCACCAUGGGAAUAAAAAAAAUAUUAAUCCUCAAAUGUUCAUAUUUACAUGGAAAACUAUUACAUUUUCAUAACUUUAACACCUAGCAUUUUUCCAUUUUGUAACAGAAUAUUAGUGGAAUUCAUCAUAAAAAAAAAUUAGAGCACAUUUAGUAAUGGAAAUAAGAACCAUUUUACAUUAUCCAAAUGGAAAAAGGAAGAUUUCACAGAAUGUCUUCUUUGCUUUUCCUUUUUUUUCUUCAUUCUUUAUGAAAUCAAACUAUAAAAUAAUUUUUUUUUAAAAAAAAAGAAAAAAAAAAAGAGGAUUCUGAAGAUGUUUGAUUGUUCCUAUUAAAUAAUGACUCCUUUCAGCCAACUAUUUUCAGUUCCAUCACCCCCACAAGGUUUUUGAGUGUCUGGUAGACAUUUUUAACUUCUCAAAUUUUCAGAAAAGAGAAAAACAUUUUGAGAAUAUGAUUCUUCAUGAGCUUCUUAGAACCAAAAGGAAAUAAAAAUGGACAAACUUAUUUCAGAAACACUUAUUUAGAAAUUAACUCACAAGCAUGUUUUUGCCACUAUUUCCAUUUUCAGAUUCAUUGAAAGGGAAAAGGGCUUUAGAAAAUAACAAUGACCAGACACUUGAAAAACAACAUCAUAUCAACGUUGGAUUCACAAGCAUUGAACCUUAACAAAAUGAAUAAUAUGAACCAGUAUCCUUAACUAAAGAGAAAAAUUAAACGGGAAAAAAAAUCAUCAGAGAGCCAUCGUGUACAUCUAAAAGCAAGUUAUAAUAUAAUCUAUGACUAGUGCCCGUAAUUCCAAAAAUCAAAAACUAAACCAUACGAUGGAACUGAAUAUGAAUGCGUUUGACUAAUACACGAGAAUCCUAAUUCACAGGAAUCGCUCAGCUCCUGAAAUGCACACUACUUUCACAUAGAAACCAUUGAUCUAUUAAGAAACAAAAAAAAAAGGACCAUUUCUCUAAUAACCCCAUGGAUUGCGAGGAAAUGCAGGAAAAUGAAGAAACCGAAAUGUUUGAACCUAAGGUUUUCCAUUGGAUCAGAUCCAAGGAAACCAAAGACUCUAACUCGAACUGAAUAUAGGAUUACUACAUGGCUUUUCGAGUCCCGCUUCUACAACAAAACCAAACAAAACAUGGCUUGAAAUAUUGUUUUCUUUACUUCUCCUUGCAUUUUCUUGGGCGGCCAAACAUAGAAGAGAAAGCUAACCUGAGAACCGCGGUCGAGAGAGAGAGGCAGAAGCUCUUGCGGCUACUGAAGCGAGGACAAAACCCUAGGUUUUUUCGCUCUUAUAUAGUAUAUACUAAUUUAAAUUUACAAUGCUGCCCAAUACUCUUUUUUCAAAUUACAAAUUCGAGCUUUUGGAGUUCUUAGCUAAUGUUUGGGCCUGACCUGGUACAGUAAUUCUAGCCCAAAUUGGGUUUGGGCUUCAAAUGAAAAAUCUGGCCCAGCCAUAAGGUUUGCAAUGAGACUCUACCAAUCUAGAUGAGGUCAAUAAAUUUCAUACUAUGUUUUUUGAGGUUUAAUAUAAUUAAGAUCUAUUUUAUAUAUAUAUAAAAAAAUUAUUGUUGAUUUUUUAUUUUCUAAAAUAAUCCUCAUCGAAUACAUUUGUCGGGGAGUCAAAUUAGUUAGUUUUUUUAUCUAUAAUUUUAUUUAUUUUUUUAAAUCUUACUAGAUUUACUUUACAUAUUUCCUCUAAACUAUAUUAAUCAAUUCAACAUAUAUGGUAAGGAAAAAAAAACAAGUCUUGAUAUAUAUACCUUAACUUAAAGCAAUAUAUGUCAAUAUUAAGUAUUUAAAUAAAUAAUUAUGACAUAUACAACUUAGUUCAAAGCAAUGAUGACAUAUAUAAGAUUUGUUGUACUGUGUCAUGACUUAUGAUGAUGCAACCUUGAAAUCAAGUCAGGAAAGACUCGAGAUGAUGUUUUAAAUUUCUCAAAGGCUUCUUUGAUAUGUCUCUAAUUCCAAUGUAGAAUCCAUGGAGGAAGAUACAUAUAUUAGCAUAUGUUUAAAGGAGCCAUGACCUAUUUGAAUACGAACCUUUACAUAUUUAUGAGUGAUAAAAGGUAGCUAUAUUGAUAGGGGCAUAGUAGUAAGAGGGCACUUUCAUUGACAUUUUAUAUAUGUCUAGGUUGCUAAUGCCCAUACCUAAACACUAUGAUGGAUGACAUAUAAGAUCAAAAAAAUAUAAUGACAUAUAAUGUAUACAAUGACAAUUAGUAGUCAUUAAUGUAGGUCUUUUUUUUUUUUUUCCUUGCGUUGCAUAUAUGAUUUUCAAAUAAGUAAGAUUUGAGAGUGAUUGGUAAAGUUAAUGGAAAUGAAAGAAACCAUAAACCAAUUUGAUGUAGAAACAAAUCAAAAUGAGGCUAGAAAUUGGAAUUUUCAUGGGAGUGCUCUAGCAACUAAGUGUGAAUUCAAGUGUCGAGGCUAUUUUUGGAUAAUUCUCAUUUUAUUUUGUUUAAAAAUAUUUUUGAUUGAGUCCGACAAGCUAGGGUUUUCAUUAUACAAAUAUGUCUCCUCAAUUUGAAAAACAUGUGUACCCUAAUCUAAGAAUGUCAUUAUCUUAUCACAUAUUCCCAAGACUUUAAAAUGCAAAACUCAUAUUCGAAAUAAAGUUAGGGGUGGUUGACCACAUCCUCUCAAGGUAUUGCUUCAUAGACAUAAAACCAAGUGUCGAUGCGAGCUAAUAUAAGUUCGUGUUUUUUUAUAUUAUGAAACUACCUGGAGAAGGGAGUGAAUAUGUAGUCAAAUAAAUUUUUACUAAUUUUCAAUUUCACAUGUGAAAUUCUCAAGGUCAAUAAUGUUAAUCAUUAAGGAGGAUUAAAAAAAACAACCACACAUAAAGACACCAUAUAUACAUAGAAAAAUCAUUUAUAUAGUCAUCUAGAAACUUUGUUCGUGUAUAAAACUAACAAUCACACGACCACAAAUAAAUUCAUUAACAGUGCGUUUGAUAGUGAUUUUAAGAAAUGUUUCUAACAUUUUUAAUAAUUGAAAGAUAAAAAAUUUCAAAUGUUAUAAAUACUAAUAACAAUUCUUAAAAUCACUGUCAAACACACUUUAAAUAUAACAAGAAAAUGCAUAGUUUUACCUUAUUGAAAUGCACCUACUCUUAGGGUCUUAUAGUAAUCGACUCCUAUACUCUUUUUCCACAUCCACAACACAACACAUCGUACUCCUUUGUAGAUCACCUCAACUCCAUGCAUAAGCUAGUAGAUCAAUGCAUCUUGUCUUUCCAACGAAAAGACCUACAAGAAAGUUCUUGAAAGAUUUGGGAGUUGAAGGUUUAGGAAGAAGUAGUGGUUAUUCAUGUGCACAAUUUUCUAGUCUUAAAAUUUUAGGUUUUUAUAGCAAAAUCCUAGGAGGAUAUUUAGAAUAGGUUAUCAAAAAUGAGAUUUAUCAAGAAGUCCUCAAAAAUUUGAAAGAUGGGUUUGAAAAACAAAAUGAAAGGAUCAACAUUUGAAUGCCCUAUGGAAACAUUUGAAUGCAAACAUAUGUUUGAAUGUUCCCUUGGAAGAUGUCCAUCAAUACAACGUUUGAAUGUUUCUUGUGUGAUUUUCGAAUGACCAUACUUUGAUUUGUAUGUUUAACUUCAUUUUUCAAUAUUCUCUCUAACAUUUCACCUAGUACAUAUGUAAUAGUCAUUUCUCAUAUCUUAAUACAUAUAAUGUAUAUAUGUCUAAAAUAUGAAUCUUGCUCUAAAGUAGUUCAAACUUGAUUCUAACCGAUAAGGCCAUUGGAAGUAUGGUACAUUAGACUCAAUGCAAUAAUGAAAUAAAAUUGUCAACCUAAUAUUUUACAUCAACAAUCUCCUUAUUUGGUAAAUUGUGAUAAAUAUUAUAAUGAAACCCUUGAUUUCUCAAAUAAUCUCAUGGAUCCUAAUCUAAAGCAUAUCUUAACCAUCAGACACCCCACUACAACACUCUUAUCAAUAGACUUGUAAUAUGCACACUUAAAUAACACACUUGUAAAAAAUAAUAUGUGACAAAAAAAGUAAAUAAAUUACAUUACUACUCCUUUUUGUUACAAAAAUAAAACGACAAAGUAGGAAGAAAGCAACAAUAAAAAACCCAUAGAAAUAAGAGAAUAAAUAAGAAAAAAACAGUAUGUAUAUAUAUACCUAUCUAUGAAUGAUAAUCCAUAAAAAAAAAUAAAAAUUAUAGUAAUUCAAACUAAGCAUUUAACUAACUACCUAUCCAAAAUCAACUUUCUAUUUACACAACCUCAAUAUUAAAAAAAAAUAUCAUUCUCACCCAAAAUCUAAUAUAUUGAAGCCUAAUAUCGUACAUUGGAAGCAUCUAUAAUGAUGAAAAAUGUCCUAAGGAAAAAUGACUUUUUGUCUUUUAAAAAAUACUUAGAUAUUUAAAAAGAAUAAUUGAUCUAGGUUUUUGGUAUCCUAAGUGCACUAAUUUUGUUCUACUUGGUUAUUUUGAUAUAGAUUUUCUUAGUUGUAAAAUCAAUAACAAAAACUAGUGACACUUAUCACUUCUAUGUCAUUCAUUAAUGUAUUGGCAUAAUAAAAAGCAAAAUUUUCAUUACAUUAUCAAUGACACAAGUCAAAUAUAUUAUUGUCUAUUUGUGUUAUACUCAAAUCUUAUGAAUGAAACAAACCUUGCAUGACUUUGAAUUAACUUAUAAUCAUGCACCAAUUAAAUGUGAUAACAUUACUAUCAUAAGCAUAUUUAAAAACCUGGUUCAACGUUCUAAGAAUAAGCAUAUUAAGGUGGCGUUUGUUUUUUUGGCUUUUUGCUGAAAGUAAUUUAGUUUUAGAAUUUAGGUUGUUUGUUUUUUUACUUUUUUAUGACUUAUCAUAAACUUUUUACUAAAUAGAAAAAACCAAAAUAUGUAGCUUUUUUUAAAUAGAAAAAAUAACAUAUUGGUUUUUUUUACUUUUUAAUACUUUUUAAUACUUAAUAGAAAUAAAAUACUACAAAAACAAACAACCUAAUAUUUAACACUAUUAAGCAUUAAGGUUUUAUUUAGAAUUAAGUAAAAAAACAAACACCACCUAAGAUAAAAUAUCAUUUUCUUAUAGACCAUGUAUAAAAGGUCAUAUUCACUUGAAUUUGUAAGCAUUAACUAUCAAUUAAUAAAUAUUUUUACAAAACCCUUAAAUGAAGAUUGAUUUGUUGAAAUUAGAAGGAAACUAAGGUGGCGUUUGUGUUUUUUGAUUUUUUGAAACCUCCCCAAAUACGAUUUUCAACCCGACCGUUGUUCUACGGCAACGUCGUUUGGUGUGAGGAAGGCAGCCCUGAGAUUGGGUGGCGGUGCGACGGUGAUAGAGUGUUCGUCGCGGUCACAAAAGAAGGCAACGUCUCACCACAUGAAAACUUGCCCGCGUAAAACCCAGCCAUGGGAUAUUAAGUGUCGCCCCACAGUGUAUGCUCCGCUGCCUCCUUUGCCUCCCGAGUGGACUGUCGUUUCAUCUGAUGCUGACGCAUCCGAUGCAGCUGUUCCUCCUCUAACACCCUAACCUGCAACUGAGUAGUGUUGGUUUCUAUCCUACGGAUCCAACAUGUACGUUUUCAAAUUUUCUUUCUAUAGUUUUGUUUGUCAUCCUCUCUGGUUGUUUGUUUGAUUAAUCGUAGGAUAUAUGUUGAAUUAAGGAAAUGUCUACAACCUGUUUGAUGAAAUGAUUCUAAUGUCUAAAAGAGAUGGUGAACUAAUCACAUGUCUACAACCUGUUUGAUUUAAAUCCUAAUAAAACCAAAAGUGCAUUCUUGAGGCGAAGUUUGAGUUGGGCUGGGUUGAGUUAGUUGUCCAAAAGCCCAUUAACUCAAUAUGUCAACUUUGAGAAUUUAGUACAUCUACGAGUUUACAAAGCCCCAGAAAUAACUCAGUUUUUGAAACCUCCCCAAAUAGAAAAAGCCAGUUCAUAUUAUUAAGUUUAAAUAUUUUAUUUUAAUUAUAUAAAAAAUAAAUAUAUUAAUUAUUUUUUGUAAGAAUGAUAAUGAUAAAUUAUUUAUUAUAAUAAUUUUAUUAUUUUGAACAGAAAUACAUUAAAUUAUAUUUUUUUUAAUACAUUAAAAUAUUAAGAUAUUGGUUUUUAGUAUAUAAAAAAACAAACAGUUUAAUACUUAAUAGAAAUAAAAUAUUAAAAAAACAAACAACUCAAUACUUAAUACUAUUAAUCAUUAUUUAAUAUUAAGUUAAAAAUAAGUUCUAUUUAGAAUUAAGCCAAAAAAACAAACGUCAUCUAAGACAUAUAAAAAUUUAAAACUAUUGCAUGCUUUGCACCAUUUUGAUAUUUGUAUUUCAAAUGCUUCUUGCCUAGUCAAAGUUUGUUUGUGUACUAUUUGAUUGAAUUUGAUGGAUUUUAUGCAUAAUUUUCUUAUCAUAUUGCACAUUCAUAAUAUUUUAGUUGCAAAAAAGUCGUACAAACCUAAAUAGAUAUCCUUCAAGUUCUUAAAGUAUCAAUAAGAAGGCAAUAUAUGAGUAAAAUCAAUAAAAAGAGGGGAGUUGGUUAACUAAGUAGUCAUUCGCUUAAAGGUUGAUUGAUGUUAAGCUAAACAACCAAGUGAUACUGUUAGGUAUGAAAAUUUUAAAAGCCUUGGACACUUAAUUUCUCAAAUUAUUCACUUUCUGACAUUUCCCUAUUCCCUCCAAAUUACUUAGGUUAAACCUGAUCUAAUCUUCAAAUCCUCUAAUCCUCUAAAACCUUCGCAAAUCCCCAUUCUUCUACUCUUUCCACACUUCCUUAUUGAAUUAAAAACCACCUAAAACCCAUUCUACUCCUCAAAUAUGCAAAAAGACACUUACAAAUAUCAUUGGAGACAAAGGGAAGGGAAAAAAAAGUUGUUGAGAAGACUUCUCUAGAGGUUAGGACUAAGGCUUAGUUUGACCCAUUUCUCUUUCACCUCCUUAGAACAACAAGAUAGGCUCUCCUAAAUCUUCUCUCAUAGGCCUAUUAUUUUGGGUAAGAAUACCAAUUUCAUAAAGUUUAAUAUUUUAACUUUGUCAAAUUAUUUACAAAGACGGUGAAUGAUUGUCAUUAGUUGGUUUACUUGAAACAAUAUAAUUGCAAUUGGUUUGAUGUUUUAAUUUGAAUGUACAGUAUGAAUAUGGUGUCCCAUACAGACUAUGGUAAAAAAAGUGAACAUAAAAUUAUCUAUGGAAAAUUUGAAUGAGAUUUUCGAAGUCCUAAAUGAAAGGGUAUGUAUAUAUAUGAAACAAAAAAUUAAUGAAAAAUUAAAAGAUUGUCCUCCAUUAAUGAGGUAUUGAAGAGGAUGUACAAUUUGCCUUUCAAAUAGUACUAGUUUAAGUCCUUGUCCAAUUAACUCACUCUUCAAAGCUAAACGGUUGCAUCACAUGAUGGGGUAUGAUGUGCACCACAAUGAUGUUUCAUUUCAAGAGGCAUUUUUGAUAAAUAGUAUUAUUGUGGGAGGGUCCAUGAGUAUAAGUUAUAUUAUUUUAGCAGCAUAUGACAGUUUAAUAUAAGAACAAAAGCUUUGUAUUGUCAUAUGAGACAUUCAUCACCAAGAUUCUAAAGACUAUAUAAGUAGUUUUUUCAAUGUCGUCAGUUGAACAACUUGUCAUUUAUGAUGCCUACAACCAAUAGAUUUUUAUUUGUAGGCAUUUAAGGAACUACAUAGUGGAUCAUAUGUUUCGAAAGGAAAACGAAAGAAAGUUGGGGAAAAAAAAAAGACCAAUUGUUUAUUACAAUUGAGAAGAUGUAUUGAGAGAUCGUUGGUAAGAAAGAGAACUUUGUUCUAAUAGACUAAACUACAAAGCUUCGAGUAUUACUUCCCCUACCUAAAGCCCAAUGCUACGUUUAAAGAGAUUUCACCUCGCAUUACACUUACGAAUUUGCUCCAUCUAACAAUGACAUUCAUAAAUAAUUACAAAUUUUAUCCAUGUCCAUUGAGUCCUUAGGCAAUAGGAGGAAAGACUUUUAACUUUCAACAUAACAAUUGCUUACAGGAGAUGAAUAGAAGAAUGGCAGUAUUAGAUGCUUAGACGGGAGAGAUUUGAGCUAAUUUUGGUGUCACCAUUACUUAGUUUGAACCAUAUCACAUGUAUAUACUUGACGUGCUCCACCUUCCACUCAAACCUUCUCUAGAGUGUCGAUCCUAUUCGACUAUUACACUAUAUUUUUUAGUGUCCCCUAAAAAGGGAAGACAUGAUCAAUAAGGGAGCUAAGGAAGGGUUAGGGGAGCCCCCUUCUUGGCCUAAAAUUUCCAAUAAAACAAAGGGCUCCUUAAAUAUAUACAUAUAUAUUGAAAAAAAAAAAGAAAAAAAAAUGGAAGUCUACCCUCACUAAAAAAAUUGAUUUUUCAAAAGCUAAGAAUAUUUAUAAUCAAAUGUUAUUGACAAGAUUAAUGAUACUUAUCUUUAAUGUUAACUAUAUAUUAGGAUUUCAAAUAAAAAAAAUAGAAUAUUGUGAGAAUUUAUUUAAUAUUUGUAAAUUUUUAAUUUUAUUUUCGUUCUUUUUCCUCUUAUUUAAUAUUAGGAUUACCUUAAUUUAUUUUUUAUUCAUUUUUCAUAAUUUUUAUUUAACGUUUUAUUAAAAUAAGUUUCUUAAUGUAUUGGCUUCAAAAUGAAAAUUCUAAAUUAUUUAUUUUUUAAAUAAAAACUAAUUUACAACUACAUUAUAUAAUUAUAUUAAAUUAUAUGCUAUUUAAUUGGAUAAAAUUUUAUCUAAUUAUUCAUAUUAAGAGAAGUUGUGUUUAAUUUAAAUUAUAGAAGACAACACAUAUAAAUUUUUUAAUAAAAGAUUUCGUCAUUUUCAAUUAAUUUGUAUUUUUAUUUAAAAAAAUAAAAAAUUCAGAUUCUUUUUACCAAAAAAGAAAUAUUAAAAUCAUUGAAAAGGAUUUUAAAAAAAUUAUUAAAGAAAUUGUAAAUUAAGUUUUGAUCAAUUUAAAUUUCAGAGAUAAAUUUAGAUAAUAAAAACAAUAAAUUGUGGAAAAAAUUGAAGGGGGUGGACUGAGGAAGCCAUGUAACGGUACACCGUUCGGCACCAAAUGGAUCCUCCGAUUAGGGCACACGUCACUAUCUUCUAUAAAUAGCCCCUUCCCAUUUCUUAAGACUAUUCCGAUCCCCAACCGUAGCCGCAUCUCUCUGUUCUUCCCUUUUUCUUUUUCUUUUUGGUUGAAUUAAGAUUAUUGUUAUUUAGUUUUGAAUGAUGAAAUCUUUGUGCAAACGCAGCUCCUUCAAUUGGGCGCAAUGAGCGGCACAUUCCACACGAGAUUUCUGACUCAUUUUCCCAUAUUUUUCUUCUUUAUUCUCUGUUUGGCUGCUGAGAAUUUGUAGGAUAAUAAAGGAAACUACGAACCUGAUUUUUCUUUUUCCUUUUUUUUUUGUCAUUAUAUAUUGAUGAACUCCGCGACCGAAACAUCGUUGUUCAAUUUUUAUGUUUACAUAUCUAGUGGUGGUUUCAGAUCUGUGGAUGGCUUCUUUUAUUUGACGGAAACGUGGGAAAAAAUGAAUAAUAGGGCAUAGUAGCUCUGUGCUCCGUUUGGAUGGAGAGAAAAUUUUCGGAAAAAGAGAUUAACGUUUCCUAAAAUCAUCAUUGGUUGCAACCUUGGGAAAAUGAAACCUUUCACUUAACUCUGCGUCGGGCAAUCAUUAGGCUGAGUUGAAUUUGAAGCUUUUGUUGUCCAUGAACCAAAACAGUGUUUGGAAAGUAAUUACUUCUAUGUUUCUUUCAGAAAAGCUUUCUCGCCAAGCAAACAGCGGGUUAAGUAAGAUUUUCUUGAUUAGAAAAUUGAGGUAUUUAAAUUGUUGAUCUUUGUUAUUUGUUAUAGAUGGUUUAGGGGUUUGUACGCUUAUUUUCCUUUAGGAAGUGGGAGCAUAAACGCAUGCCAAGCUUUUUCUCGGGUACAAUUUUCCAUACCUUUGCUGAUUCCAGAGGAAUGAAAGAAUGUGUCCACUGGGAAUUAUGGUUUUAUUUGAUAUUAUAUUUCCUUUUCCUCUCUUUUAGUGGCCCUCUGCAAGGACGAAAAUAUCGGACCUAUAUCAGUGAUAUAUCGGCUGAGGUGAUACAAGCAAAAUAUAAGCCCUAAAUGAAAAAUAAUCUUUGAAAUUUUGGACGCUGAAAUUUUCUCCUAAAUAAAUAAGUUAAUUUUAAUUAUGUUAUAAUUUAUUUUGUAUACUAAUUAAAUAUAAAAUAAAUAUAAAAUCAUAAAUAAAAUUAUCAAUAUUUUUAAAUAAAAAUAUUUUGUAUCAAAAUAUACCAAUAUUUUUAAAUAAAAUUCAUAAAUAUAUUUAAAUAACAUAAUUAGUAUAUUUGUAAUAAUUUGGUUUUAAAUUAAUAAUUUUAUUUUAUUUUGAUAUUCAAGAAUAAAUUAACUUAGUACAUUUUUAAAUCAAUAUAACAUUGAAUUUAAAUUAGUAUAUUUUUACAAUUAAUUAAAAUAUUUUUAAUAAAGGUAAGUAAAUUAACUUAAAAUAUUUAAAUCACAUAAUUAUUAUAUUUGUAAUAAUUUAACUUUAUAAUGAAUCAGUCUAUACUUACAAAAUUCACAUUUCUUAUCAGUUGACAUUAUAUAAUUAAAUUUAAUUUCGCAAAUUAUAUCAUACAUAUAUUAAUUUUUUCAAUAAAACAACUUUAAAAUGUCUAUUAUACUUAUAAUUUUAUUUUUAAAAGUUUUUUCUUACAUUUUCAUAAGUUUUGAUGAAUAUUUGGUUUAUCUAUAUUUUGUGUCAAAAUAUCCGUCGAUAUAUCUCCAAUAUAUCCGUUAUUACUAAUAUAUUCAUACUUGCUUGUAGCUAUAACAACACUGCAUGAGUUGAUACACAUAAUACCUAAUAUCCAUUGUUUACAGCUAGGACAGUGGGAUAUCUAAUCUCAUUUGCUCCCCAAACUUUUGUCUCUCGUUGUCAUUGUUGGCCAAUAGAGAUCUUUUCAAUCUCUACACAUUUCACCGCUCCACCAGAAAUUCCUUCUGCCUCUAUCGUACUCCACCUUGGCAAUUUCCACACCUUGUUUAUCUUCAAAUUGAUAAAUGGUAGUUUUUUCCAUUCAUGUAUAGAGUAUAUAUAGAGGGUAAUCACCAUUCUAAGAAUGAGAAGAAAUGAUACAAGGAAAGAAUGAUAUAAGGAAAUAACAACUAAUAUCCUAAUAUCUCAAUAUUCUUAAUAUCUCAACUUUCCUAAUAUUUAAACAUUCCUAAUAUCCCAACAUUAAAUAAUAUAAGGAAAGAAUGAUAUACGGAAAACAUUCUUAAUAUCUCAACACUCCCCCUCAAGUUGGUGCAUAGAUGUCACACAUGCCCAACUUGUCUAAAAAUUUUGAGAACACUUGACUUGAGACAGCUUUGGUGAGGAUAUCGGCCAAUUGAUCUUCUGAUCGAAUCUUAGGCAAUUCCACAAUCUUAUCAUCCAACUUUUCCUUAAUGAAGAAUCUAUCCACAUCGACAUGCUUUGUACGAUCAUGUUGUACUAGAUUAUGAGCAAUGUCACAUGCGGCUUUAUUGUCACAAAACAAUCGGAUUGGUUGCCUAGAUAGGUAACCUAAAUCCUGUAAGAGAAGUCUUAGCCAUAAUGCCUCACAAAGUCCUAGAGCCAUACCUCUAAAUUCUGCUUUUGCACUUGAACGAGCGACGACAUUCUGCUUCUUACUUUUCCAUGUCACAAGAUUACCACCUACAAAAGUAAAGUAACCAGAUGUAGAUCGCCUAUCAUCCACUGCACCGGCCCAAUCAGCAUUAGUAUAUACUUCUAUACUCUGAUGAUUAACAUUUUUAGCAAACAAAAUUCCCUUCACAUGAGCAUUCUUCAAAUACCUCAAAAUACGCAUAACUGCAUUCAUAUGUUGCUCUCCAGGAUUAUGCAUGUAUUGACUCACUACACUCAAUGCAUAAGCAAGAUCUGGUCUUGUAUGAGCUAAGUACAUUAAUCUCCCCACAAGUCUCUGGUAUCUUCCCUUAUCGGUUGAUACUUGAUUAGAUUCAACACACAAUUUUAGACCUUCUUCUAUUGGUGUAUUAACAGGUUGACAUCCCGACAUUCCAGUCUCCUAUAAAAGAUCUAAGACAUACUUUCUUUGAGACAGAAAAAUUCCUUCAUUUGAUCGAGAAAAUUCAAUCCCAAGAAAGUAUUUCAGAUGACCUAGAUCUUUCAUUUCGAAUUCUUUAGAUAGAUAAUUUUGCAGAACUUUUCUUUCUUCAGGAUCAUUUCCUGUAACUACCAUGUCAUCCACAUAUACGAUGAGUGCGAUAAUCUUAUCAUGUUGCUUUUUCAGGAACAAAGUGUGAUCUGAAUUACUUUGACGAUAGCCAAAAGCUCUCAUUGACUUUGUGAACCUUCCAAACCAUGCUCUCGGGGAUUGUUUCAACCCAUACAAUGACUUUUUCAAUUUGCACACCCUUUGACAUUGCUUUUCUGACAUCAUGCAUCCUGGUGGAAGAUCCAUAUAUAUUUCUUCAGAUAACUCACCAUGCAAAAAGACAUUUUUCACAUCGAACUGUUGUAAUGGCCAAUCUAGGUUUGCAGCUAAAGACAGUAAUACUCAAACUGUGUUGAUCUUAGCUACAGGUGCAAAUGUCUCUGUGUAGUCAAUUCCAUAAGUUUGAGUGUACCCUUUUGCUACCAAUCUUGCUUUAAAUCAUUCAAUACUACCAUCUGUCUUGUACUUCACAGUAUAGAUCCAACGACACCCAACUGGCUUUUUUCCUGGUGGACAUUCUACGAGUUCCCAUGUUUCAUUCUUCUGCAAUGAUUUCAUCUCUUCAUUCAUAGCUGCUUUCCACCUUGGGUCAGCUAAGGCUUCCUGCACACUAUUAGGAAUAGCUACAGUAGAUAAUUGAUUUACAAAUGACUUAUUUGAUUCAGACAAACGAUGGUUAGACACAUAAUUGCUCAUGAGAUAUUUGACUUUGGUAGACAAUUCAGGUUCAUAUGUGGGUUUAGGAAUACCUCUAUUAUGACGGUGUGGUAACCGUUUCAUGAAUGAAUCAGGUUCCAAAUUAAGAACACCUUCAACAAACAAUGAUUGGUUUGGUAUUUUAGUGAAGACAUCUUCAGACCCAAAUUGUUGACCACUCAUAUCCAACUCACCCGCUUCUUGGUUCACUAGUUCAGAUUGUCCAGAUUCAUUAACUUCAGGGGGAGUACCAUAAGGAAAUUCAGACUCAGAUGAAAAAUACAUUGAAUCUUCAUGAAACACCACAUCCAUUGUAAUAUACAUUUGUUGAGUUGGAGGAUGGUAACAUCGAUAUCCCUUUUUGUGCAAUGCAUAUCCAACAAACACACAUUGCAAUGCAUGGGAAGUUAACUUGGUGCGUUGGUGUUUGUGUAGAUGCACAAAUGCCACACAACCAAAAACACGAGGAGGUAGAUUUGGGACAGUUGGGGUAACUACGGCAUUAGUAAGAGCUUGGAGAGGUGUUUGGAAGUUAAUUGAGCUGGAAGGCACCCGAUUGAUCAAGUAUGCGGUAGAUGUGAUUGCUUCUCCCCAAUAAGAUAUCGGUGUUUUUGCUGCUAUCAAGGAAGCACGAACAACCUCUAACAAGUGCCGAUUUUUCCGUUCAACGACUCCAUUUUGCUGGGGUGUAUUGGAACAAGUAGUCUGAUGAAUGAUGUCAUGUCCUUCCAAAUACUUUUGAAGAUCAGAACUUUGAUAUUCUCCACCAUUAUCACUACGCAGAACCCGAACCUUUGCAUUGUACUGAGUUUCAAUCAUUUUAUGAAAAUUUUAAAACAACAAGUUCACUUCAUCUUUGGUCUUCAUCAAGCGUAACCAUGUCAUUCUGGUACAAUCAUCAAUAAAAGUAACAAACCAACGUGAGCCACUCAAAGUUGGGACUUUGGAUGGGCCCCAAACAUCGGAAUGUAUAACCAUAAAAGGAAACGGACUUUUGUUCAAAAUUAACGGAAACGAAACACGAUGGCUUUUAGCCAAUUCACAAAUAUCACAACGGAAACCAAAAAUAUCACUCUUUGCAAACAAACUAGGAAACAAUUUUUUUAAAUAACCAAAGGAAGCAUGUGCCAGACAUCGAUGCCACAACCAAAUUUCAGACUUUUUAUUCUCCCCCUCAGAUCCAUCUGCCAUCAAGGCUUGUUGCAACUUAUUUGAAUCCUUUGACUGCAAGUCCAAGUAAUAGAGUUUUCCCCGCUUAAUACCACAACCAAUCGUCUGUCUUGUUUGGAUGUCCUUAAUCACACAAAAUUCAGGCCAAAAAAUGACAAUACAAGAUAAGGCUGCGGUGAUUUGAGAAACUAACAAAAGAUUGUAAUCUAAAGAUGGAACAACUAAAACAAAAUCCAAAUUCAAAGUAUCAGUAAAAGUUAAGGAUCCUUCCCCAAUGACUAGGGUUGUGUUACCAUUGGUUGUGGAAACAAUUUUUUGUGAGGAAGGUCUAAAGGGUGAAACCUGUCUAGAAUCAAAAGUCAUAUGAUCUGUAGCACCAGAAUCAAUUAUCCAUGCACUAUUAAUAACAGGUGUAAAAGUAUUUAAAAACUUACCACCAUGAUCUGUAGCGGCUACCAAUGCAGAGGCUUUCUCAACAACAUUAACCUCUGUUUUUAUUUCGGCAACAGUUGCAAUCGAGGUUUUCUUGGAAUCCUUCUUUUGUUAAUCACGAUUAUUAUCAUUAAUAACAAAGUGUUGAUAGCCUAAACAUGAUCUAAAGGUCCAUGAUUCAAACCCUCGGUUCCUCAUUGUUUUCCUGGUCAUACCAAGAGUUGUUGCUUUGAAAUUGUGGGAUAUCCAGAUUGGUGGGAUCAAUCUUAUUGCAGUGAGUGCAUUUGAAGGUUGACUUAUCAAUAUUAGGGCUUGUCUUAGGAUGGAUGAUCGCUGUCGGACUACCAUAGCGACAAAAUAUCCAGGAUUUCAGUUCUCUGGCUCUGAUACCAUCUUCAAAUUGAUAAAUGAUAGUUUUUUCCAUUCAUACUUUCAUUCGUUCAUGUACAGAGUAUAUAUAGAGAGUAAUCACCAUUCUAAGAAUGAGAAGGAAUGAUACAAGGAAAAAAUGAUAUAAGGAAAUAACAACUAAUAUCCUAAUAUCUCAACUUUCCUAAUAUCUCAAUAUUCCUAAUAUCUCAAUAUUCUUAAUAUCUCAACUUUCCUAAUAUUUAAACAUUCCUAAUAUCCCAACACUAAAUAAUAUAAGGAAAGAAUGAUAUACGAAAAGCAUUCCUAAUAUCUCAACAAUCUAGGGUUGAGCGCUGGGAUUUGACGACAGAUUUAACAUGACUUAAAGUAACUUAAUGAUUUAAUUUAAGUUAUUAAAUGAAUUAAGCAUGUUUGUUAAAAUAACUUAAUAUUACAACUUAAAGUUAAAAAUGAUUUUAAAUAUUAAAUCAUAAUAGUUAAUUUAUUUUUACUUAUAUCUAAAAUCAUUUUUAUAAAAAAAUCAAAAUUAAUAUAAAUUAAGUCAAUAAGUCACUAAAUUGAUUUAACAAAUAACAUGUACUUACUUUUGAAUGAACCUUUUAUUCAAAAAGUAUAUAAAUUAGGAUUAAAACUAUAAACUAUAAUAUUCAUUUCAGACCAACACUUCCAUGAAAACUUAAACAAAAUCUAUUGACCCAAUAAUUCCAGUUGUGAUCACAACAACGCUCUCAUGUGAUAAUAAUGUCAUUGCGUUUCUUUUACUCAUAUGUCAAUCCUUCUUUUUUAGGUGCCUUUUUAUGUUUUUUUAUUUUUAAAAAUAAAUAAUAAUAAUAACUUUUAUAUAAAGUCCAAGAAUUAUAAAAGAUCAAUAUUAAAAAUCCAAUGAUUUUUAAAAACUGAUUAAUAGCCCGUUUGGCAGUGAUUUUUAAAAGUGUUUCUACCCUUAAAAACACUUAAAGUGUUUUUGGGAUGAAAAUAAAGUGUUUGGCAAUUUUUAAAAAACACUUUUGAAAAUCUGGAAAAACACUUGAAGUGAUUUUUAGAGAAUCACUUGACAGGUGUUUUUUUAAAAAAAACACUUCAAUUUUUUUGAAAUAUUCCAAAAAUGCCCCCAGUGAUUCCCGAUAUCUUUCUUCUCUUUCGUUCAUACCUCUCUCCUUUAUUCUCCUCCUCCAUCGCUCUCCAUCUGAGACAACAUAGUAAACCUCUAUUUUCAUUCGAGAUCGUGGAUCGAAGGUAACCCUCUAUUCUUUUUUUGUUUUCCUUUUCCAUAUUUUUUUUAAUGUCUGAUUGCCUUGAAAUGUUAGUUAGGGUUUUGGGUUUUAGGAUUGUUUGGUUAGGAGGAAAGUAUGAGAAAAUGAAAUCUGUAAAUCCUCAAAUGUUUUUAUAAAUUCUCAAUCAGCAGUAGCUUCAGAAGGCCACUCUACUGCCACUACUCCCCAAUCUCUGUUUCUCCUCGGAUUCUCUCUUCUGUACGUUUAUUAUUUAUUUUUAUUUCUGUUUUGUUUAUUCAAUUCUUGUUUUUAUUGUUCAAUUUCUCUCCGUUUAAUUACAAUUUCUUUUUAUGUUUUUCUUUUUUAUGUGAAAGAUGUUAAAAAGAAAUAUCAAACUAUGCAUGUUUUUCUCUGUUUUUCUUGAUGAGUGGUGGGGAAACUGUGCUAUAGAUUAUGUAUAUGCCCUUUUGCCUGUUUGGUUGUUGAGAAAAUGUGAUAGAGCAAUUUGAGAAUUGAAAUUGUGAGCGGGUUUUUUUUUUAAAAAAAAAAAUUAAUUAGUUUUUUUAUUUUUUGAGAUCCCAAGAAAGUAAACCUCACUUGGAAGAGAUUCAACCAAUCAUUUAGGUUAGUUGAGUUGAUUCUUUGUUUUCAGUGUUUCCUUUCUUUUCUGUCAUUUUCUGGGCUACCAAGCAGAGGGGUUUGGGGUUUUUUAUCCCCUUAUAAAAGUUGCAAUUUUGAAGUAAGACACAAUGGUAUGUAAUUAGAGUACAUUUAACAUUCUCUCUCUCUCUCUCUUUUGUUACUCUUUUUGAUUGAGGAUUGUGUUGAUAGUGAUAGAAAGAAACUUGAUACUGAACUUGUUUCAUGAAUUCCCUUUUGUAAUUUUCUUUUAAUUUAAUUUGGAAUAUACCCUUGUUAAAAUAGAAUAAAUUGAACUGCAUUUUAUUACAUAUGGGCAAUGUUACCAAAAAAAAAAAUUCAAGGAAAAAAAUAAGCGUUUCCAGUUGAUCCCAAUCAGCCACACAACUCAUUCCAUCAUCUCAAAAACCUAAAUAGUUAAAAACAUUACUGAAAAUGAUACCCGGGAUAUAACCCAAACCCAAUCAAUCAAUUUUUGAUCGGGUUGUAUUCAGGGUUAUGAAAAAACCUUUUGUUUGGCUCAAUGCCAGGCUCAACCUAAGAAUUCUUGUAAGUGCAAUAGAGGGAUUAAUGAGACUACAGUUUUGAUACAAUUAGGUUGCCCCAGUUGGAUGGAAGAGGGAAAGGAUAAGCCAAGUCCAGUUCUCGGUAGGUCAGCUACUAGGAAACCUUUAGUCGAUUAUAAUUGGACCUUUUUCAAUCUUUACUAGUGUGUUUGAUGUCAUAGAAACUGUGGUUACACUGAUCUGGCGGAGCCACAGAAUGGCACCAUGUCAUUAAAGAUUCUAUGACAUCACUUUCAGUCUUUUCUCAAAAUUUUAUUUUAUAGUAAUAUAAUUAAAAUAUAUUUUUUUUAUGUACAGACCAGUGUUCCAUAUGUAAGUUAAUCGUCCCUUCAUCAUCUGCAUAGUAAUUGUGCAGGUGAUGUAUUCAUCAAUUGUCAUGAUUGCUUCACUUUAUUAGUAGAGACCCGACUUUAGGGACUUAGAGGGGUGCUACGGUCUUUACCGUACCUUCCCGAUAAGUAACCUGACCCUCGAACCCGAUCCGGUUUUUUACAGACCACCUUUUCCAAAACAAGGAGUCAUACUUAGGGUUUUUCUUUCUUAUUUUGUUUACCCUUUAAAAAUAAAACAAAAAGAGACAAAACAGCAGGGUUAGCCAAUGAAGUAAUUGAUGUUUGGUUCGAUAUGAAGAGUGGGUUAUAUUCAGAACAUUAAUCCAUUCUGCAUUACCUAUUCUAGAUUAAAGCAUGGUCCACACUAGCAAAUUAUGGAAAUUCUAAACUUUGCACUGAUUGUUUAUCAAUUAAUGGACCACAUAUAUUCUUGAUGUUUUGUUCCUUAAUUCUUUCUUUAUUCUUCAUUUUAAUUGUGUGAUUCUUUGUUUGAAAAUUAUUAUUUCUCUAAAAUAUAUAUAUUUUUAAAUAGAGAAUGUCUAGCAAUAUUGUUCAACCAUUUCAACAACCAAGUGGUGGAGAAAGUGAAAAACAAAGCAACGCUUAUUGGGAUGAUAUUACAAUGGAUGCUUUUAUCAAAGUUUGUGUGACUGAGACUUUGGCUGGAAAUAGACCAAAUAGUCACUUUAACAAGUUGGGAUGGAAAAAUGUGAUAAAAGCCUUCAACAAUUUGACUGGAAGAAACUAUCAAUAUAGGCAACUUAAGAAUAAAUGGAGUUCUCUUAAAAAGGAUUGGCAACUUUGGAAUACCUUGAUUGGGAAAGAGACUGGCCUUGGGUGGGAUCCUAUGAGACAAACCAUCAAUGCAAGCAAUGAAUAGUGGGAUAAGAAAUUGAAGGUAUGUUUUGUUUAUUCAUUAAAUUUAUUUGAUUAAUUUAUAUAUUGGUUAUGAAAUAUGAUAAAUUAAAUACUCUUGUAGGAGAAUCCUGAAGCAAUAAAGUUUAAAACAAAAGGCUUGAAAAAUGUUGAGCAAUUAGACAUACUUUUCAAAGAUAUUAUUGCUACUGGUGAAGGAGCCUGGGCACCAUCACAAGGCUUUGUAGGACAAGAGGUUGAUGAUUCAUCUAAUGUGGGGGAACACGAAGAUAAUAUAAUAGAAGACCAAGAUGACUCUAGUUGCAAUCCGCCACUUGAUACUAUCUUCAAUGGUUUUGAAGCUACUACUCAACCUUCUAUGGCAAAAAAGAAUAAAGGAAGAAGAAAGAGGAAAAUAAAUGAAACCAAAUCUGAGCUUGUGGCUAUCCAGUUAGAGCGCAUUUGUAGUGCUGUGGAGAAUAGGUCUUCUAUCUCAUCUAAAGGAGAUAAGCCAGGUUGUAGCAUUUCUGAAGUGAUGAAAAUCAUACGUGGGAUGCCUGAAGUGAAGAAUGACUUUGAGUUAUAUAUGAAAGCCACAGAUAUCAUGGUUGUCAAGGAAAAUAGAGAUAUGUUUGUUGCAUUAGAAGACCCAAUUGAUCAGAUGGCAUGGCUUAAACAUAAACAUGUUUGAGUUUUAGAGUUGUUUCUUGUUUUUAUAUGGAAACAUAUUUUUGUUACCUAAUAUUGUUUAGUUGUUAGGUUGAGGGGAGGAAAGAGAUGUUGGUUUGCUUUAUGUUAGUUGUUAUUUUAUAUUUCAUCUUAGUCAUUUAACUUUUUUUUUUAGGUUUAUUAUUUCUAUAAGAUAUUUUUUUUAAUACAAAAUGUCUAGUAAUGGUAGGAAUUCUAAACUUCAAUUGUGUACUUUCUAAUUUUUUAAAAUAACUAUAGUAAUUGAAAAUAUACAUUAUUGUUGUUUAUUAACAUAUUUCCUUUUUUAUUUGUGUAGAUGCCUUCUAAUAAUAAUGAUCAAAAUUUUGAUGAUGAAAGCGAUGAUGAACAUGAUUUUUAUCAGUUGGUGGUUGCGGGUUGUGCUGCAGCUGCAACAUUUACUAGUUUCAAAGAAAAAAAACCUUGUAGAACUUCUUCCCACACAUGAUACAAGUUUGUAAUGGAUGUCUUAAAUGGCCAUGAAAUUAGGUGUUUUGAGCAAUUUAGAAUGGAAAAACAUGUGUUUAUGAAUUUAUUAGAAACACUUACUAAAAGGUAUGGCCUAAAAGAAGGUUUUGAUAUGCCCUUAAUAGAGGUUUUAACAUUGUUUCUCACUACAAUAGGUCAUGGACUAAGCAAUAGGAUGAUUCAAGAAAGAUUUCAACACUCUGGUGAAUCUGUAUCUAGAUGGUUUGAGAUUGUAUUAGAUGUUGUUUGUCUUAUGGCUGUAGAUAUUAUAAAACCAAGUGAUCCACAGUUUAAGGAAGUCCCUGAUAAAAUAAGAAAUGAUGAUCGGUAUUGGCCAUAUUUUAAGAAUUGUAUUGGGGUAAUUGAUGGAACUCAUAUACCUGUUGUGGUUCCUAGAGAUAGAAAAAUACGAUAUAUUGGUAGAAAAGGUGUGACUACCCAAAAUGUUAUGGCAGUAUGUGAUUUCAAUAUGUGUUUCACAUUUGCAUGGGCCGGAUGGGAAGGUGCUGCUCAUGAUGCACGAGUCUUUUUAGAGGCAUUAAGAAGGCCAGAAUUGGGUUUUCCUCAUCCACCUAGAGGUUUGUGAAUGAUAAUAUCAAACUUGUUUUUGUGAUCAAAUUUUUAUUAUCUAAUAUAUAUAUUUUUUUUUUUGUUUUAUAGGUAAAUAUUAUUUGGUCGAUGCUAGUUAUCCUCAAAUGAGUGGAUAUUUAGGCCCUUAUAAAGGCAAGCGUUACCAUCUUCCAGAUUUUCGACGAGGUAGUUCACCUAAAGGUAAAAAGGAAAUAUUUAAUCAUAGGCAUUCAUCCUUGAGGUGCACAAUUGAGAGAACGUUUGCCGUUUUGAAGAAUAGAUGGAGAAUGCUACGAGAAAUGCAUAGUUUUCCUCUUGAGAAACAAGUAAAGAUCAUUAUUGCUUCAAUGGCUCUUCACAACUUCAUAAGGAUUAAUGCUAGAAUGGAUAUGGAAUUUAAACCUUAUGAUGAUGAUCAAGGGUUGCUUCCACUUAAUGAAGAAGAGAGUAGAGUGGAUUCACUUGUUGAGGAAGAUGAUUCACAUCAUACAAGAGAGAUGGAAGAACAACGUGAUCGAAUUGCAAAUCUUCUCAUAUCUCAUUGAUGUUUGAUUAUGACUCUAAUAUGUAAGAAUAUAAUUUCCCCCAAUUUUUUUGCUAUGAAAACACUUGUCUUCUUAUUUACUUUUAAUUAUAAUUUUUUUUUUUGGGAAACUAAUAGGUAAUCAUAUAUUGUUUUACUUUGAAAUUUAUCUUUUAUUCAAUGUUCUUUUUUAUUGAUUUAGAUAUUUUUUGUAAAUAUUUUUAAAAAUUUUAGUAUAUUGAUAAAAAAAAUUAUUAUUUUUAAUUAGAAAAAUCUUUUUUUUUUUUAGAAAUUAAUAGGUGGUCAUAUAUUGUUUUACUUUUAAAAUUAUCUUUUAUUCAAUGUUCUUUUUUUUUUAUUGAUUUAGAUGUUUUUUGUAAAUAUUUUUUAAAAUUUUAGUAUAGUGAUAAAAAAAUUAUUAUUUUUAAUUAGAAAAGUUUUUUUUUUUUAUAGAAAUUAAUAGGUAAUCAUAUAUUGUUUUAAUUCUAAAAUUAUCUUUUAUUCAAUGUUAUUUUUUUAGUGAUUUAGAUGUUUUUUCAUUAAUAAAAAGUUUUUUUGUUUAUCAUACCAUUUUUUUUAAUUAAAAUUGUAUGUCCUUUUUGGUAAUUUAUUAAUAUUAAAAGUGUUUUUAUAUUUAUACAAUAUAUUAUCAAAAACACUUUAGAAUCAUUUUUUCUGAUUAUCAUAAAAGUGUUUUUCACAGAAACACUAUAGCAGAAAAUACUUCAAAUAAAAACACUUUCACUAAAAUCACUACCAAACAGGCUCUAAGAAAAUUGAAGUUUUUAAAAAAAUUUACCUCAAAUUUUAAAAUUUUCUUAAAGCAAUUUUUGAGAAUAUAAGGUAAUUUUAUAUUUUUUAUAUCAAAAUAUUUAUUUUUAUCAUAUUGUGAUUGUAAUUAUAAUAAUUUUUAAGGGUGAAUUUCAUUAACCUUUCCUAAAAUUUUAAUUAAAUAUAUUUAAUUUUCAAUAAUUUGAAAUUUCAUCAAAUAUCCUUUCUAUUUUUUGCCCUUUAGAGGAUAAUCAUGACCCAUGUCGAGCCUAGUGGAUUGAUGCUUGACUACUAAAAGGACUUUCAAGACAAGUUUUUGAAAGGUUUGGUAGUUUAGGGUUUACCAUUACUAUAUAUUCAAUGUAUGCAUCAUGUCAUUCUUAAAUUUAGACAAUAGGAUUUGUUUGAGAAUUAUUUUUUGUAAAAAUAAUUUUUUUGUUCUUAAAAAUAAAAAAUUAUUUUCCAAAUUUAAAAAAAAAAACAUUUGGUGAUUUUUCUUAUGUUAUUUUGAAAAAUGGAGUGUCUUUUAAAAUAUAUUUUAAUUAAUUUCAACUAUUUUCAUAUGUUUUCUAGGGAUUAUUUUAUAAAAUAAUUAUAAAAUAUAAAGAAUGAUUGACAAUAAAAUAAUAUGAAUAAAAUUUAUUUUUAAGAAAUAUUUAAAAACACAUAAAAUAGGAUGAUAAUAUUCAAAGUAGCCAAAUAAAUUUUUAUUCUAAAAAAAAUAUUAUAAAACUAUUUUUCAAUACUAUUUUUUUAUCAUUGUUUUCACAAACAUUCCCCAAAAAAGCCUUAUAGAUUUUUAUAAAGAAACCCUAUAUAACUUAACUCAAAGUUUAAAUAAUUCUUUUUUAUGUAAGUAAAUUACAAAGUAGAGUAUCUACAAAUUCAAUUAAAAGAUGAGUCUCGGCAAUCUUCAAAACCAAACUUUAUAAUAUUUCUUGAAAAUUUUGAUCUCCAAUUGAUAAACUCUAUAUUACAAAUACCUUUAUUACCUAAACAAUCUAUUGUUCUAUUUGUUUCUUAGUAAAUUUCAUGACAAUUAUAAAUAUUUAGAUCAUGAGUUCAUUUUCAAACAUCCUUCAUUAAUAAUAUAAUAUAAUUAAGAAUAAUGCUCUUUUUUUUUAUAAUAAUUUAUUUUUACUUUUAAGUAACAUUCAAUCUCUAAGUUUAAGAAGUCAUUAUUCUUAGCAGCCAACACGCCAUCUAUUAAAACCAUAGAUUUCACAAUAAUUAUUGAUACAUUACCCAUAUACCUACUUACAUACGAAUCAUGAUGUAAGACUAUCAGGUUGUCAUUAGUAUACGGUUACACAUUAAAUAAGACUUACAAUGAAUUAUAAAUAAGACAAUCGAGUUUGUCAUAAUUCACUGAGCUACUAUAUUGCAUAGACUUUCAACAUUAAAAAGAUAUUAGGCCUAUGUUGAAAUCAACAAGAAGAUUUGACUUAUGGGGGUGACUCUUAAAUAGUUAUAUAUUUCCUUUGAAUUAAGUCACUAUUAAUAAAGGUUGACGACAACAAAUAUUCUCAAUAGAGACAUCAUGAUAUCUCAUGGGAUUGAGAUAAUGUAUUCCUUUAAGAGAUCCAAAUGACAUGUAAUUAUGAAAUUUGUGGUCAUAGUAAUUCCUUAAGUGGAAUUUGACAUAUAUUCUUUACGAAUUAGAGUAUGUCAGUUGAUAACAUAAUCGAAGAAUUUAUAAUUUGUUUUAUAAGUUAGAGAAAGUACACAAUUUUACUUAAUUCACACGUAUUUAUUCUCCAUAGUUUUACUUGAUGCCUUGUGCUCCCUAAUAGAUGACCUUAACCCCCUAUUGAAGCUAACGAAUCAAUACACCUCCAUGCCUUUCUAUUGAAAAGACUUCUAAGUUCUUAAAAUGUUAGAGAUUUUAGAGUUUUAGGAUAGAGCUAUGAUUGUGUAUUUAAUAUGUACAUCCUCUUUUUCGAGUUUAAAGACUAGAUUUUUAUAGAGAAACCCCAUAUAACUUAUUCAAAAUAGGUUUUAAAAGUGCAAAAUUACUAAAAGGUAUAGUUUAAAGAAUUAAAAAUCAUUGAUUUUUUUAAAAAUAUUAUUGGAUAUUCAAACCACUCAUAUAGGAGUGUUUGAAUGUUGUGAGGCAUUUGAACUUUCCAUGAGGUAGCAUGCAAACAAUGUAGGAUGUUUGAAUGCCCUAAAAAGGGCGUUCAAAGGUCCUUUUGUGUUUUCCCACCUUAUUUUAUUUUUCGUCAUAAAUUUACUUUGAAUUUCAAUUCAAUUCCAAAUUUAAUAUUUAUUGUAAUAUCAUAACACUCCAAAUAUAUAUUUACCUCAAUCAAAUUUCAAGUUUAAGUAUAUUAAACUUACUCAUGAUGGUAAAUGACAAAAUCAAUGCAUAAAUGAAAUACAAAUUGUCAAACUAAUCUAAAACAUCAUCACGUAGUUGUGAUAUGACUUUAUUUUAUUUUUCACUUUUUGAGUCUAUGCAAUUGAAAUAGACAUCUUUCUUCUCCUUCUUCAUUUUGACAUUAAUAUCCGUGUAAUCGCGAACACACACAUAUCUUAAAAUUACACAUACAUAUAUCUUAAAAUGAGAGUCAUUGAGAGCUUGGAAUGGUUGACAUUUCUUGAUGUUUGUUAGAAAGUAACAUCAUCUCUUAUAAGCUAAUUUUAGUUUCUAAUACGUUGCCUUCUUUAUUGUGAUUUGAAGUAUUAUUAUUAUUAUAAGAAAGUGAUUAUUAUAGGCAAUCGCUUUUAUAUCGUGAUUAUUAUAUACAAUCAACUUUAUACCGUGAUUAUUAUAUACAAUCAACUUUAUACCAUAAACACUCGAACGUAAUAAAAUUUGUCAAUGACAGAUUCAUCAACUUGUUUUGGAUAACGAUCUGAAAGACAAUUUUUUUCCUUUUUAUUUUUAUAACUAAUUUUAAUUACACAUUGAUUUUUAAUAAAAAUGUCUUUAUCAUCUUCCGAUCUAACUUCUAUUGCUACACAUGGUAAGAAACCUACGAAGACCUUAAGUGAUGACGACAAAAGAUAUUCUGUCUCCAACUCUAAGUCUUAUUGAGGUUUUGUACGGAGAUGCCUCCUAUUAACGAAGAGUGAACUGAUAAUCAAGUGUAAACAGCGACUGAAACUUGGGAUCAUUCUAAAUUUUUGUGCUAAGGACUAUACUUUAAAUGGUCUGAACAACAUGAAUAACAUCCAAUAAUGUCAUGAAGGGCUUAUGAAUUGCAGGAAGACAACCCUACUUACCUGAAAGAUAAAAGGCAUGUUUGGGCCCUCCAUUUUAUUGUACCACUCGAGACCCAUUUAAUUUGAAAUAUAAAAAUUUAGGAGAUGGCCCUUGUGAUCUCAAAUUUUGAAAUUUGAAGCUAUACAACCAAAGGAAUAGAGAGUAGUAAUUAAAAUAUUUUUUAUAUUUUUAAUUAUUUUUUAACCAAAUUAAAAUAAAAUCAAACACUAGAAAAAGGUUAUAAAUUUCUUCUAAAAAAUGGUUUCAAAAUAGACCUCAUAAUGUUUUAUAAUUAUGGAUAUAAGUAUCCAUUUUGAUACAUUUUUAUUUUUUUGUUUUCAAAAUAUAAAUAAUAAUAAUUUUUAUAUAAGAUAUAAGAAAUUUUAGAUAUUUUCAUCGAACAUGUAAUAAUUUUAAAAAAUUAAGGCAUUUAAAUUUUAAAAAUUUUGCAAGUGAUUUUAAAGAUAUAAGGUAAGUUUAUAAUUUUUUGUGGUCAAAGUUUCUAAUUAUAAAUAAAAAAAUUUAUUCUAAUUAUUUUUUAAUAAAGUAAUAUUUUAAUAUUUAAGAAAUUUAAUUUAAACAAAAGAGAAUGAAAUGAAUUUGAGGAUAUCACUUUCCUUUAUUGGGAAUCGUGUUUUUCAAAACAUUUUUCUUUAGAACCCGACAGGACCACGCAACUUAAACCUCAAGCGGGUCUAUCCACGUGGCGACCACUCUAAGGUUCUCAUUCUGAAAAAUACCGAAACACCCCCAAAAGGAGCACGUGCAUGCGCGUCGCUCCACAUGUCCAGAUCCGUUAAAGAGCGGGAAAAGCCAUUCAUUUCAAAUUCAAAAAUUUCAAACGGUUCUAAGCCAAAGCACAGUAAACACCGAUACCAAAAGCUCUUCUCUCUCUACAGUUUCAUCGCCUGCGAUUUCUACCAGUAUGAGGUAUUUCCAUUUGCAUAGAUCCGUUUCUUUUCUUCUUCUUUUUUUGCAUUUUUUAUUGUAUUUUCUAUCAUUUUUGUUCUCCGCAGAGAUGGAUUUUCGCGGUAUGAAGAGGAAACAACUACAAGCGCUGUGCAAGCAGCAUGGUGUUCCAGCGAAUUCGACGAAUCUUGAGAUGGCUGAUAGGCUCUCCUUGUUUUUUAAGGUUUGGAGUUUACCUUAGCCUUGUUUCCUUUGAUUUUUCUUCUUUUCUGAGAAUGUUCAGGAAAACACAAGAAAUUAGAAUUUUGUAAUUUUGUUUUUUCUCAACUGUUUUCCGUGUCACUAAAUAAGAAUCUUCAAUGAAAUGUGUCCGAUACAACUAUAUGUGGAAUAGAACUUAUAAUUUAGGAAAAGACAAGGAACCAAAAAAUUUAGUGAUUAAAUUUUUUUAUUGUUUUGGAAUAAAGCAAUGAAAAUCUUUACUAUAAUGAGUCCAAAUUCAAGUGUAUGGAACUGAAAUAAGGAAUAUGUCUCUUUUUGGUUGUGAGAAAAUUCAGGAAAAAAUAUGAAGUAAAAUAUUUAGGUAAUUCAGCUUUUCCAUUGUUUGAGGUUUGGGAAACAAGAGUUUUCACUGAAAUGAGUCCUUUAAAACUAUAUGGAAACUGAAAUAACAAGGAUUAAGUUCAGGGAAAGAAAAGGGACUAAAUUUUUUUGUACUUUUGCUUCUCAUCGAGUGGAACCUGGGAAAUAAUUCACUGAAAUGGGUGAAAUUCAAUUAUAUGCAAGCUAAAAUAAAAGGCAAUAUGAGAGUUAGAAGUUUGUUUUGUUUUCUUAAUUUACUUGGUCUCCCUGGCAACCUAACUGAGGUUGAACUUUAAUUGGGAAAUAGAUGCAUGAUUUUUUUCUGUAAUUCUUUGUUGCAGGAAAAGGAAAAACCAGUGACGCAAGGUCGGUCUUGCUUGAAGAAUCUGGAUGGGAUAGAUAGCCUAAAUGAUUCUAAUGCUGUCACCUGCGAUCCCAAGAGAGUUAGGUUUAGUCCUGAAAAUGAGACGUUUGAAUUUGAGGAUUCUGAGAUAGACAGGGAAAACACCCCAGCAAGAACAAGGGCGGCAAGGGCGGCAAGGAGGUCUAGGGUGAGACUGGCUAAAGAGAAAGUGAGUCCUGUUGGUGCAAAUGCUGGAAAUAGUGAGUCCUGUGAGGAAACUAAAGGUACUCUGAACAGAAUCACGAGGCACCAAGGACAAAAAAUCAUAGAGGGGCAUGCAGUGAAGUCUUCAUCACCUCUUGUUAAGGAAAAGGGGGCGAAAAAAGGCACAAAGAUCAAAAGUACAGUUUCAGAAAUUGUUGAUAAAAGUGCUAAGUUAUCCCCAGUAUUAGAAAUGGAUGACAAUGCACGUGGUAAAGAAAACGGAAGACCGAUAAGAAGGCAAUUGAGGAGUAGGGAGGUGGUAGUUGAGAAUGCCAGUGAACUAGGAAAUGAAGAUUCUAUCAUUCCAAAGAAGAAUCCAGUGCAGACAAGAUCAAAGAGGAGGAAUCCGAAAGAUAGUAAUGAGGUUCUUACCACAGAUGAAAUUUCCGAAGACAUUAUUAGUGAAGGAGAAGGUGAAAAAAUUGAAACUGGAAAGGUCUUUAGGCAAUCUAAACGGAAGGCGAUAGAAGAUGGCGAGUGUGAACUGUUUGGUGGGGAAUUGGGGAAAAGGAAAACGGUUGGAAGGAUCACAAGGUUCCGGGCCCAGUUGGUGGGGCGAGAAGCAUCUGCUGUUGAAGGUGAAAAUGAGACUGGAGAUGAAUCUGAAGUCCAGGUUUCAAAAGACUCUGAAGCUGUUCUUCAACUCAAAGAGCCUGCUAAGUUAGGUAGAAACACUUUGAGGCAGAAAUCUGCAAUUUCUCAAUCAGAUCCAUCUGUGAGAACAGAGACCAGAAAACAAUGGAAGGGCACAAGUUUGGAAGGAGGAGCCUCUGAGACUGAAGUGAGUAUGAAAGAGAAGGAAAAGGUUUCUCUACCUAAUGGCCCUCUAAGGAGGUCCAGACGCAACACUUUAGCAUUUAAGUCUACUGUUUCUCCUGAUGGAGGGUUGGUAACUCAUGAAGCUGUUGGAAGGAAUCAGCAAUUGAAGCACUUGGGAGAACCAAUUACAGAAAAAGAAGCCUCUAAACCUGAGGCAACUGCUGAAAUUUUGAAAGAAAAUGAGAAGGUUUCUCUACACAAUGGCCGUCUGAGGAGAUCCAGACGCAACACUUCAACAUUUAAGUCUAGUGCCCCUGCUGCUGAUGGAAAUUUGGUGACUGGCGAAACUGUUGGAAGGAAUGAGCAGUCAAAGUGCUUGAGAGAAUCAACUCCAGAAAAAGAAGCUUCUGUAACUGAAGCACCUUUGAGAAGGUCCAAGCGGAAUGCUUCUAGGCAUGAUUCAAUAUCUGCAUCCACAGGAAUGGAUGGCAUUCCUAAUGCCAUUGGAAAGAAUAAGCCACAGAAGAGAAGUCUGCAGCCAAUUCUCGAAGAAGAAACUUCUGUGAUUGAGAAGGAGCCUCUAAUUGAAGAACUUCCAAGACAAUCUAAAUAUAAUGCUUCCAAAUGUAACAUAGUUGGACCUGCUAGAGUAGCUGGUGAAGUUAAGGGAAAGAAGAAGCAGCGGAGGAGAUCAAAAUUUCCAAGCUCAAAAGGGGAAGCUCCAUUAACUGAAAGCAUGUUGGAUAUUGAAGAAACACCAGGCAUAGAUGUUGAAUUGUCAGAGCCAGAAGCUGCAGGAAGCAAAAGUUCAGUUUUGAUCCACCAAGAAGGAACUCCUAAAGAUAAAGAUACUAGUAAGAAGAGGAAGAGCUCCAGGAAGAUAUCUAGUGCAAAGAAGCAGCAACAUGGGUCAGUGGAGGUUUGCCCUGUAAUUUCUGACUUAGAGGAAGUUGAGGAUCGCACAACAGUGAAUUUCAAGGAUAUUCCAUCCCAAUCUGCAGCUGCCAUAGAGGAGGAUAUUGUUGAGGAUCUCACAACAGUGAACUUGGAGGACAUUCCAUCUCAAUCUGCAGUUUCUGUAGAAGAGGAUAUUUCAAUGGAAAAUGAUAAGGAAAAUUUGGUUCAAGAUAAAGUUAAUGAAGGUAACAAGGUUGAUAAAGAAUCUCAGUUCCACAACAUGAGAAGUGAUCUUGAUUAUGAUAAUUCAGUUGAACCACAAGGAAAUCAAUAUUCAAGUAGAGUUAGCAAGGAACUGGUCUCUCCAGUCUUUGACUUCUCAUCUGUCCAGCAACCAGAUUACACUGGUAAGUGUCUGUUGGCUUUUGGGACCAUAAUCGGUUUAGUAUUUUUUUCAUAUAAUUGAUUACUCAGUGAUCAACAAUUUUCAGGAUCAUCUGCUAAUCAUGUGAAGUUGCAGAGAGAACUGGAAACUGAAGAAGAGCUAUCUGCAGGCAAGCAUAUAGAUCCAGCAAGUGAUAUUUUUGUUGAUCUUGCAGCUGAAGAUGACAAAACUUCAGUUGAAAAGGAGCAGAAGUUAGGACUAGGAGAGAUGAAUGGUUGUGCUGAACCAGUCAUGCAUGAGUUAGAGGAGAAUGUAACUGAAUCUAAUGAAAGUGGCAGCUCAAAAAGGAACUUCGAAACUUUCAGUGAGGAAUCUGGAGAUAUUGCUUUGCUUAACCCCUCCAAUGGAGAACGGGCCACUCCAAAUAUAUCAGGGAGGAGAGAUAUUGAUGAUGCUGAAGAUCCUGAGGCUGCUGUUGAAUUUCCAGAAAAUGCUGUAGCUUCCCCUGUGGCAGAAAUUGUUGCAGAACAGGUUACAGAAAUCCAGCUUGCCUCAAGUGGUCAAUGGUCUACAGAGGAGACUCCUGUAAAGAUUGUUAUCACACCAGAAUGUCAAAGUAAGUGUGUACUGUAUCCUUUCUUUGUCAAUCAUUAGCCAUCAAAUGGUCUGAUGAUGUUAAAGUUAUACAUAAUUCAAGAAAUUCAUUUGGCCAUUUUCUUCUUUAUUGCAUCUGCUGUUAUAGAUGACAAAGUGGUUGGUUCUUGUUUGCACACUGUCUCAGCAGAUGAUGGUUCUCAAGAAGGUUAGUUCCAUUUAUACAGGGCACUGCAAUCUCCAGUGAGUUUUCUUGCUAAUUUUCUUUUAUUAAACAUGCAGAAGGGUAUCAACUCAAUGCUCAACUUGCUGCACAGUCCCCUGUGCUUGGAAGAAGCAAUCCAAAUCAUGGUGAAGGAGAAAAAUCUUAUAGUUAUGGGAAUGUUAUCAUGGAUGGAACAAUGUGCGGAGGUGAAUUGUCUGUUAGUGAUGCCAGGGAGCGAAGAGAGCAUCCUGUUUUAGACGAGUUAGAUGGUCAAAUUUCCGAGAAGAAGGAAAGUGUAAUGUCAAAGGGAAUCACAAGCGUUUCUAAGGAAAUAAAAGAGACAGGUAAACAUAUACUUUCCCAUAGAGAAGGAAUCUGUCCAAUUACCUCAGCAAAGAGUGAUUGAACUAUUCCUAUGUUAUUGCUCUUCAAUGACAGGCCAUGGGACACCCUCAUGCUCACUGUUAUUGCUUUAGUAACCGUAAAUUGUAAGAAAAGCCUAAUACCAUUCUUGUUCUUGGUUUCAGAUGUUUCCCACUUGGAUUUUCUAUUUGGAACAGCUUCUGGUAUUGUUGAAAGAAGUUUGCCAUCUUGUGAGCACACUCACUUGAAAGACAAAGGUGAAGAGGACCAAGGUUAGUUCCAUAGUUACUUGCUCAGCAUAGGUUACCCUUCAGCAAUUAUUUAAUUAACUCUUUUCUAUUUGAUGUGCCAAAGAUCAACUUAAAAUUCUGUUUGGCAUACUGGUUGACAAUACAGAUCCUAUGGAGCAAGAUGAAGAGUCUACGCAUGUAACUGAAAUGGCGAGCACAACAAUAUCUGCAGGCAAAACUUCCAGUAAUAAUUUGGGAUCUGGAAGGUUCCAUCAUGAGAAGUAUCAAGAAGAUGCAGGAGUAGGGGAAAGUGAUCAUGAGGGAAUAUCUAAUAUGGGCAAUCAAUCACCAGAUGUUAAUGAAGAUAUUUAUAAUGAGGCUUCCAAAGGGAACUUGGAAGUGGAAAUUACAGGACUGGAUGGCUGUGCCUAUCCCUUUCCAAACAAGUUCUCUAAAGAUGAUCAUGCUACAGUCGACAAAGAAAGUGGAGGCUCACAUGUUUACUCCAGAAAUGCUUCAGGAGAGGGCAGAGGUACAAAUGUGGUUGAACUUUCAGUUGGUGAAGGAAUGCCUCCAGGUGUCUCUAUUAUGGAUAAAACUGGAAAUGCUUCUGGGGAGGUUGAAGGGACAAAUGUGGAUGAACCAUCUUUUGAAGGAAUCACUCCAGCUAUCUUAGAAGAGAGAGUUAUUGCUGAAACCAGAGAUUUUGAAGAGGCUGAUAAGCUACUUGAAUUUAAUGCAGAAUCCCAUGUAACACCUGGAAGCACUGCUGGAGAUAUGGAGAAAGAAAUCUAUUUUGCCGAAAUUACUCAAUGUUCUGGUGGAAGUGGAUUUGAUCUUCCUCUCUCACAUGUCUAUGCCCUCGAGCACCAAGGUUUGGAACAAGCUAAUGCCUUCCAUUUUUUGGUUUUUAUUUUAUUUUUCAUUUUACUCUCUGGAAAUCCUUUCUCAUCAUGUUUUUUUUUAAGUACUUUCUCAUGUAACAUUCACAUUUUUAUUCUCAGCCUCUGGUAACGUCCACAAAGAAAUGUCUUUGAGCACACAGAGUCCUCACGUCCAAAAACAAGGUUUGUUCCAUUCUCCAGUGUCUUUUCAGGAUUGAAUGACCAGGCCAAGGUUUAAAAUAUUCUAUGUUUCAAUGUGCAGAAGGGAAUCAACUUGAAACAUUCUGUGUCAAUGAGGUUUUGAGCCAACAAACUAGUGGGGUUAAAAGUUUCACUCUGGAGGCACUUGCAAUGAGUAGUCCACCGUUGUUUUUAGAGAAGCUGUAUGGUCAUGAAGAGGAGGAUUCAGAGAUGAACUGUAAUGCUAAUACUGUUGUAGAUGAGCCUUUUAGCAAACAUAGUGUAGUAACUCUUGAUGGGAUUGAUGGCAAAGGCAUUGAAGAACACAUUUGUGUGACUAGUAGCAAUCUUGUCACAAAGAAAGAAAGUGCAGAGGUUUUGCCUGAAAUUGAGGUUGGUAAUGUUCAUGAUGAUCACCAUGUGGUGGUUGAACAAAUGAAUUACAAUGUUGAUGCAAGUUCGGCAGAGAGAAAUUGUAAAGAUAACAAGAUGUCUGAUGAAGCCAUUGCAGGGUUUUCUAGUGUUGGGUAUGUCACUCUUGUUCCUGGGGAGAAAAUUUCUGAGUUUGAGCCAGGAACUGAGCUUGGUGACAGCCAGGAGGUGACUGCACAGGCAAAUAUCAUCUUUGAUGCAAGUUUGGAUGAGAUCAUUUGUAAAGAAAGUGAAGCACUGGAGAAGACAACAGCUGGAAUUAAGAAAAGCACUUUGGAAGGCAUUGAGGAAAUCACUAUGCUGGAGGAAGAAAAUGGAGAGAUUUCAGCACCAAUUACUCAAACAAAGCUUGAUAGGGAGGUCUUAGAUCAAGGAGUUGAAUUUAUAAAGAUUAAUGGCAGUGCUCAGGUUACUUUGGUUGAGACUGUACAUGAAAAUGAUGAAGUUCCAGAAGAGAUUUUAGAUGAAGUUACCAGUGAAAAAAUGAUUUUGCUCCCUAUGGAAGCAGAUUUUGACUGUAAUGAAUUGAAUAUUGUGGGGGUAAAGAAUGAAAUCUCACUGCAACGUGAUGAAUUGAAGUCUAUUGAUCUUGAUAUUCAUGAUGCAAAGGAUAAAAGCAUCUUCAUCAAUUCAGACCAAUGUAGCUCUGCAGAUAGAGAAACUAUAGAUGAAAGAGAACAUUCAAGAAUCUUGGAAUGCAAAUUCAAUUUUGAAGGUAAUUGUUCUGACACAAAGCACACAGAUGUUGGUGCUUCACCACUGAUCAGUCUAAAAGAUUUUGAUGAUCAGAUAGAGGACGAGGAAGUUGCACACAUGCAUGAUAGUGAUCAUUGUCUUUCAUUGGAUCUUUUGAGCAACAACAGUAGAAUUGCAGCAACGAAAACACAUAAAACCAUUGCAGAAUCGGUUAUGCUGGAGGCAGAAAAUGGAGAGGCUUUUACCCCGUUUGGUUCAGAGGGGCUUGGUCAGGAGGUUUCAGAUCAUGGAGUUGAAUUUCCAAAUUCUGCAGCUUCAGACGUGAGUCAAGCUGUACAUGAAGCUGAUGAAAAUCUGGAUACAAAAUCAGGUGGGGGUGUAGAGAUGAUUUGGAAAGGGGAUGAAGUGAAGUUUGGUGAGCUUGAUGAUUCUAGAGAAGAGGUUCUCCCAGAGACUGACAAGAGUUCUUUAAUUGUUCCACAUGAACUCACUUCCACAGAUGGUGAAGCUGUGAAUGGAACCAUGAAAGAGAAUAGUCACUUUGAGGAUGUCAAUUUUGAUUCCAUGAAGGAAGAAGAUGUUAGCAAUUCACCUAAAGUAAAUGCUGGGAAUUGUGAUGAUCUCUUGGAAGAGGAGUCUGCAGAUGUGAAACACAAUGGUCGUGAUGUUCAGAUAGAUCUUAACUGCAGAGACAUUGGAGGUGCAGCAGACCUAGUUGUUGAAGAUGGCAUGGUUUGUGAAAUUGGUUCUGAUGAUAGGAAUGGUGACAAUAUGUGGGUUCAGAAAGCACAGACUUCGCCAUGUAAAGUUGAUGAUGGUAAUAUAUCUUCUUCCGAGCCUGAAGGGGAUUCAAUUAGUGCCAGUGUCUCACUGCUGAAUGUUUCAUCAUGUCAAGGUGAGCAUCUUCACCCUUUCUUUUUGAUAUGCUUAUAUAUAUAGUCAAAAUGAUAAUCUUCAUCAACUAUCUCUGAAAGCCUCAAAAUCUUUAUCUGCAAAUUACCAGACAUUCAAUAUGUAGAAGCUCUGUAAGUUUAAUAAAUCAUUCUACCAGUUAGGCGGUGGGGAAUUAAUCUAUUUGAGACCAAAUGCAGCAGGUGAAUAUGAAUCUCAUGUAAAAUGUGCAGGAAGCAGUAGCAAAACAGAAAUCAAAGAAUUGAUUGAAGUUGUUCCAAAUGAUGAGAUUAAUGAUACCAAUGAGGCUGCAGUUUGCUCUCCUGCACCGGUUGAUUUUUAUGAGGAUAAAGGUAUUUAGAAACUUAGCUUGUAAACUACAUAACACAGUUACAAGAAUGUAUUUCUAUCUAACAUCUAUUGGCCCAUUCACAAACAAAUAUGAUAUAACACCUAGUUACUUUCAUAAUUUCUUAGGUGAUACUCUUAACUUUGUGGGUAAAUCCUCAGAAGUUAUUAAUAUUACAAAGGAGAGAGGCAUAGCAGAAGAGAGCAGUGCUGGGAAGGCUGAGGAAGUACGUGGUUCAUCACAUAAGUUUGAUGAUGAGAUGGUCUCUUCUGGUGAUUCUAAGGAGCCUCCAAAAUUUGAAAAGUUUGUCGAGGUUUCUUUAUUGGAAGCUGAAAAGGUGGACUGUUGCUCUGUUGUUUCACCAGUCAAUGAUUCUGUUGAUCAUGGUAAGUGCUUAAUCCACUAGUCUUAAAAAGUUUCAGCUGUUUCAAAUUCUUAGAUAAUCAUUUUCUCCUUGACAGAAUGUUAUUCCUAGUUUUUCAUUACUAAUGAUUUUACAGCAGAAGUUGCUUCAAGGAAGCACUUGACAAGAUUAGAAGAUACCACUGAUGAUUCCUCUCUGACCCAUCAGAUUGGUGUGAAUUCCAGUCUUGCCUCAUCGGAGACAGCAUCCUAUGAGUUCACUGACUGGGAAAUAGAUUUAUUUUCUCAUAAUCAUUUCAGUAUGGAAGCAGUUUGUGGAACGAGUUUAAGGAUUAUAGAUCAAUUCCCUGCAGUCACUGAUUCAGCUCUGUAUAAAGGUAUAGAUCAUAUUUAAUUGGUCUGUUCUCAGAAAAGGUUAUCUAUAUAUAUUUAUGGGGAAUAAUUCUUUAGACUUUCUCUAAUUAUUUCUCAGCCUUUGCAGCCGAAGAUGUCCGCACUGAGAAUCUGAAGUUGGAAACAGUUCAGAAGAAAAGUUUAGAUGUAGAAGUGGAAGAAAUCAACCAUUUAUCAUCUCAGCAAUUCAAUUCUUCUAUGAAAAUGAAAAAUAACUUGAAAAGCAGCAUGACCCAGAGAACUCCCAACAAGUUCUUUAAGGCAUUCGAUAUGAAAGAGAACACCCCAAGCAUCAAGAUGGAGCAGAUGGGUAAUUUCUCAGCAAUGAAAUCAGGGACAAGGAGGAAAGCCUUGGAGGACCUUCAAAAAACUAGAGAGCGGAACAGCACUGCUCGCUGACCUUUUUUCAAGGAUUGGAUGUUGUAAAUAUGGGGCCCCAAAAGAGUGGCCCCUCAGUUGACGACCCUGAGCAUACCUCAUGCAAACAUUUGUGGAUGAAAACCCCACUAGUGGGUUAUUGUUAAAUGAGUACUUUGUUGUGUCUCCUUUAUUGUAUUUGUAGCAAAUGAAACUCCAGAAUCAGUGUCACUUCUGCUUGAUUUGCAGUUUGACAGACAUUAUCAGAGAAAAUCUACCUUCUUUAUCCAUGAGAAGCACUACAUUGGAAGAGCUGGUUUAUUGCUUGAUAGAGCAUUGAGAUAAGAGUUUAAGUUUACAUGUGCUAUUAAUUUCAUCAGAUUGAUCAUAAUAGUCUGAGCAUAAGACUGGGAAGAAUGAGAUCUUCAGUAUGUAAUUGUAAGCUGAAGAGUCCCUCGAGAAAAAUUCAAGGACAUUUAUCACAUUAGGCUCUCAUUCUGCAGGAGAAUAUCCUUGAAAUUUUCUUCUCUAACCAUGGAAAUGAUGCAAAUGGCUAUAGAAGAUCAUUUCCCCCUGCUUUCUCACAACAGAAAAUUUUCCUUCAUCAUACUAUAUAAGAACAAAUUUGAACAAAGUGAAGUAUUCCAACGAGGCAAUACACAACGGACCAACAAUUUUUUAGCACUAAUUCAUCAAAACCCAAGUACCAAAAGAGGAGAAAAAUCAUUUGAAGGAGCCCAUAUAUAUGAAGAAGUCCCUUAUUGAGAAGGGGAUAUAUUUAUGAUUAAAUCUAACGUAUAUUCCUUUUGGGAUUACAGAAUGAUCCAACCCCAUCCAACCACAAAACCAACGUGUAUAAAAAAAGAAAAAAAGAAUGAAUGGAAAUUCUGCAAAACAAAUAACCAAGUCAUAUCUCAGUCCUUUUUAUCUACACAACCCCCCGGCCCCCCCCACCUCCAUUUCCUUCACAUCUCAACUCAUCUGAUGAUUCUCAUUCACAACCAUGCGAGUGUUGAGAGAUAGCUUCGUCUUCGAUCAAAAACACAUCCCUCUUCUGCAAUUCCCAGACAGCCUUUCUAUAUAUAGUUCAAACCAUCUAAAAUUUAAAUUUCAUGUAAUCCUAGUCACAAUCCAAUCCACAGACUUCUAAUACAAUACCACCUUUUGAUACAAAUGGGUUGACUCUGACCCAUAGAAGUGAGAAGAUUGAGGCUAGAAGAAUUGACCACACAACAAUAAUGGUGGGAAGCCUAUCUUGUUUCCCCAUUAACCCCUUGAGGAAGGGGUACAGGUGAACAAUGACCCAUAAGGCAAAGAACAGCUUACCAAAUAGAGGGCCCCAUUCUUCAUAACCGUUAUUGAUGGCAUCUGAAAUCCCAACCAUGACCCCAAUUAUAUUCAGGAUCAGUAACGUCAGGGGAGGGAUCAACAAAGAUGUCCACUUAAAAAGGUAGAGCUCCGAAAACUCUCCAUCAUCUCCUCCUUUGGAUGUAACAGUGAAGUUUGUGUUAACACCUGCCAAAACCUUAAGCAGACCUUGGAAGAGAGCAAACAGAUGUGAUGAAGCACCACCAAUCACCCAGAACUGCUCAUUUCUCCACCAGUCAUCUAUGGCAACCCGUCCCCACUGCAUCUCAAGGACACCAGUUGCAGCUAUAGAUAUGAAGAGGGCCAUGAAAAUAAUACUGGCAUAGUUGCUAAUCUGCACAUCAUGCAAAAAAUUAGGAUUAGCUGAAACCAUCACAACCCACAACUAAUGAAAACUAUGCUAAGCACAGGAUCCUUGUUUUGGCCUAUGGAGAUGAAUGAAUAUUCAGGUUUAUGAAAAGCUAUAGAAUCCAGCUACCAUCUUAAAUGAAAACACCAUGAUGUUGACUUCAACAAAUAUCUAGUAGAUAGGAAACAAAGUUUGAUUUCAUGGAUAUCAACUGAAGACUAGUAUGAUCAAGUGAAACUUCUGAAAUUUCAAGGAGGAAAGGAAAUUUCAAGGCUAAUGAAAACUAGAAAAGCAACCUGGAGAUUGAACUUGACACGAGAUGUCAAAAGUUCCAUUCUCCAAUGGAAAACCUUGCCUGAAUAUUAGUAGAAAUGUUUUGAUGCUUGUGGUUACAAGUAUUCUAUCAUGAACCUACAACUAUAUAAUCUUGUGGUUCUUCCAAGGAAAAGAAAAGAAGAUCUCAAAAUGGACAUUACAGAGAUUGAUAUUUAAGAAUGAAAUAGAGCUAGAGGUUACCUCGGGGACAAUGAACUUCCCAGUGAGGAGACAGAAAGCCGGCAAGGUACAGUAGGCAAUCAAGGGAAUGGACGUCCACGGAUAAACAACUGAGUUGAUAUAAGAGAAGCGCUCCAACCAUUUCAAACCACCUCCAUAGCCAUACCAUAUAGGGCAAUACCUACUGAAGAAAAUCUCAACAGAUCCAAGUGCCCAACGUAGAACCUGGUGUAAACGAUCUGACAGGUUAAUGGGAGCUGACCCCUUAAAUGCCGGCCUCUUGGGUAUGCAGUACACUGAUCGCCAACCAUGGCAUUGCAUCUUGAAUCCUGUUAAUAUAUCCUCUGUAACAGAGCCAUAUAUCCACCCAACCUGAUUCAUAAUUCAAAAUCUGGAAUUUAGAUACAGAUGAAAAAAAGUUUACACCUUGUUUGGAAGGGACUGGAAAAGCUAGAAGCUUUUAAAUUUUAGACAGAUGCUUCUUACCUCUUUCCCCCAUUCUGUUUUAUCUUCAUAACCACAGCUAAUGACAUGGAUGGCUUCUUUCAAAAGUGAAGCAGUGGUUGCUCCUUUUGGAACACCACCUUCUUCUAAAAGCGUGGAAGCUAUAAAAACCGGAGACUGUCCAAAUUUUUUCUCAAAUUUCACUUGGGGCAUGAGCAAUGAUCUGUCAUUAUCUAUUCCUGCAAUAUAAAUUCCACAGUAAUAUUACUACUUUGGCUUUAAAAGCAGUAGACCUGAAGCAAGAAAACCAGUGUCCCCCCAAUAAUUACUACCUUGAAUACACAUAUUGAGUUAACUAAAAAAACAAUAAUAGAAAAUUCAAAAAAUCAACUUCACAUGGGAAAAGUUAUACACAACAUUGUUGCCAAUUAAUUAAGAUAAAUUAGGAAUUUUGAAGGUCAUUUAAGAAUUACUUGAAAUAUCUAGAAUACAACAAAAAAAAUGCAGAUAAUAAGACAAUAUGAUUGCGGUUAAUGAUUAAAAAUUGGGAAUUUUUCAUAUUAUUAAGAAUUACUUGAAAUAUCUAGACUACUUGCAAAAGUAAAUAACAAUUGCAUAUAUUAGAAUAAGACCCAUAUUUCCUUCAAAGCCACCCUUACCUUCAAUUCCCUCUUCAAUAUUUUCGAGUGCAUGUAUUUGCUUUGAAGCUUCCCUGUUUUUCAUCUUCUUCUUUUUGUCAGUUGACUUCACUUUCUUGUUUUUCUUCCUUGAUCCACAACACAAGCAGCACCAUUUUGGCCAACAAUUACACGUCUUUCCUGGGGGUUUCUUAUUGACAGGGGCAUCAUAUCCAUAGAGUGCCUGCCGUCUGAAGACACAGCCAGUUCCAACAUAAAUUGGUCCCUGGAUCCCAUCCAAACCUUUCAUAUUGAUCUGUUUUUAAUUGAAAACAAAAAAUUAGCUUUCCUCAAUCAAAAUUUUACAAAUUCACAUCUGUGCAUCAUUGUAUCAAAUUCACACUGGAGUGCCUUACGUACAUCAAAGAAUACAACGUUGCGAUUUGAGUAUCUAUCAUUGCGAUCAAUCCCAUCAAACCUUUGAGGAAACUGUACAUAACAGAUUUUCUUUCCUGAUGUGGGGUCCAUCAUGAAGCACAUGGCUUCACGAAGGGCCUUACUGUUGUUUAUAUAGUGAUCACAGUCCACGUUCAGUAGGUAAGGAGCAUUAGAGAUGAUUGCUGAGACUCGCAUCUUGAAUAAACAGUCAAAACAAUAGCCCCCAAUCAGGAAAUGGGAAAACAAAAAAUGGGAUCCCAAAGAAAAAGAAUGAGAGAGAGAGAGAGAGCUCUACCAAAGCAUUCAUUGCCCCAGCUUUUUUGUGGUGAUCAAAUCCCGGUCUCUUCUCACGAGACACAUAAACUAGACGAGGCAACUCAUUUCCUUCAACAUCACGAACACCAUUAUGACCAAGAAAAACCUGUGCAAGGCAAAAAUAGAGAAAAAAAUCUUUUAAUGUCUCAAAUCUCAGUAUGUAGAAGGUCCAGCAAGAUGCAUGCUGCUCAGGCACAAAAAUCCAUGAAUGCACUCGAAGAAAGAAAUCACCCCCUCACCUGGAUCAUUCCAGGAUGGUCCCUGACAUUGUUCCCAGGCCAUGGAGUCCCAUCCUGCAUUGUCCAACCUUCCUCGGGGACCUUCUGGGCCAUAGAAACCAAUGCAUUUAUCCGAAUUUUGAACUCUUCAUACUCCCUCUGCACCAAUCAGGAACCAAAUAUUAUUGUUUUGAAAUCAACUUAUUGCUCUCAGCAAUGGUUAUCAUGGCAAUACUUUGUCAAAGAUAAAAAAUCAUCACAACAGGACAUCUUUUAUCACUAAAUUCUAAAACUUGUCCUCCACAAGCCAUUUUAAUGAUGCAUAUUUAAUGCCACUCUAUAUGGUUUAAGAUGGCAUUUUGUUUAACCCGCAUGCAGCUUAUAUAGAAUGCACAUUCAUUGGACCAAAAUAUGAACAGAUAAAGAUACAAGGUGUUAACCUUCAUUGCACGACGUUCCCUAACAAACUCCGGAUGCACUUUGUCUUUCAGAUAGUCAACCUUCUGAGCAAAGUACCAUUCUGGGGCCCUCGGCUCAAUGCUGAACUUCUUACAGAAUGGGACCCACCUCCUAGCAAACUCAGAUGUCUCAGAAAGGGCUUCAAAAGUAAGCAUGGCAGCACCAUCAUCUGAGACAUAGCAUGCAACUUUCUCGACUGGAUAAUCUACUGCAAGGAUUGACAGAACUGUGUUUGCUGUGAUAAGUGGAGGUUCUUUCAUGGGAUCAACUGUACUUACGAAUAUGUCUAUAUCAGCUAAUUCAGAUGGCUUCCCUUCUUUUUCAUACCUGAGAACAAGGUUUAAGACGCAUAGCUAAGAAAACAGUACCAUGCAUACAACCAAACAAGAGAGAGAGAGGGAGAGAGAGCACCCCAAAUACCUCAGUGAUAGCCUAUCAAGGUAUGUUUCCCGCUCGAUUGGGUACCACUUUGGGAACUGAUCCAGUAUCCAUGAUACAGCAAACCAUAUUUCACAAAUAACUGAUGUUAACCAUAAUGCAUAUGCAUCAUUAACCGGGUGGAGGAUUCUAUAAUGAAAGAAGAAGCCAAGAAUCACAAGCCGGAGUAUAAUUAUGAUUCUGUAUGGAUUUAUCUUGCUUGAAGGAAUUGGUAUUUUUCUAGAUAGAGGUUGCCUGCCUUCAUCCAUCCUACAUAAAAAAACAAAAAUAAAUAAUAAGUCCUUCACAUUCAAAUAAGAGAAAUGGGGAAAACACAAAUAAUGGAAAGAGGAAUGUGAUGUUCAGUUCCUAAUUAAAUUGAGAUAAUGCUUUCUAUACCACCUCUACUCAGACUAACACAAGGAAAUUUUAUUUCAUAAGAUAUUGUUACUGUUCCCAAUAGGUGAAGACUUCUAACUGUCAGCAAUGAGCAUGUCAGACAUUCAUCAACUUGACAAACAGUUCUGAUACCUGUUUACACACUGACAAAUGCGUCCACAUUCAUUUUUUGAAGAAACAUGGAGACAAACAUGUUUGUAGUGCAUUUUUGUUGCAAACACAUGAAAGCAUUUGCAAAACUAUAGAUGUAGCUAUCUCCCAAUAGCUAUGCUUCAGGAGUUUCAUACAAAAAUGUGCAUGUAGCUGUUUCCAAUGUGCAUUUAGCUUUUCUGAUUCUAAUGAUAAUUGUUUUCUAAAUGGAUUGUUAAUUGACUCACACCUACAUCCCUUCCAAGUUCAAGUUAACCACUUUCAUGCCUCUAACAUGUAUGAACAACAAUUAAUAUAUUCAGCUCACUAGCAAGUAGCAACCCCAAGUUCAAUCACAUGUUAGUUAACAAAUGUUUAACAUCAUAAAUUUCAUCACCCAAUAAUUUUGUUAUACAUUGAUCCAUAAGCGACCUAUUUCUCAUUCAAAUUCUGCCAAAAUUUUAACUUAUGGGCCAUGCCCAUAAAGGUGGUGCUCCACUGCUCACGUCCCUUCAACUUUCAAUGAACAGCAUCUAAGCAGUUUUAUUUUUUUUUCCUUUUUAAGCUUUUACCAUGUAAUACUAAAGUGGGCUUUCACGUCCAUGACAUGUUAGAUCUUCAUAGUAGUAGCGUUGAAUUUCUCAUUAACACAUGUUUACUUUGUUCACAUGCAUUGCAUGUGCCAUGGUCCCCUAAUGAACGAAUACGACCAAUUUACGGUUUUGAUAAAUGACAAAAAAUAUCUAGCAAAUGACCUCAUUUCAAUCUUGUCAAGGUUAAAAAGUUGAUGCUUCAUAUUGCUCCAAUAACUUGCACUCUUGUAUUACAUUUAAUCUUAACACAAAGCCACCGACAAUGCUCUAUUUGAGGCAAUUUCUUUCACCCAAGAAAAGAACAAAAAUAGAAAUGAUAAACUCGCAGGUGAAUAACAAUGCUGUUAGCCUGAGAGCUUAAGUUACCAAAAAACAGUUUGAUGCAUGAAAAGAAUUCAAGAAAUAGUACUUUAAAAUCCCAAAUUAUACUAAGCUACGAAGAAAAAAGUUACAGGAGAAGAUGCAACAAAUAGAAUAUGGUGAAGCAGUGAUUGAAAAAAUGCACCUACUUGGGCAAAUCAGGAUCAUCCAGUUCAUCUUCAUCAAAGUUUCCACCAUCAUUUCCUCCUUGGUGCUUAACAACCUGAAGUUUAUCAUUCUGCUUUUUCUUCCACUCUUCCAUUCGGUCCUUCCACGCAACACUUCCAUACCCAUAUACUGCCAGGUCUUUCUUAGGAUCCAUUGGUCUGGGUGGCACUGCAACAACAAAACCAGAAGGCACAAUAAAUAUGAUGAAGUAAAUGUGAAUAGACAUAACAGUGAGAAAAGGGUUCAAUUCCACAUAAAAACUAAUGAGGAAUAACAAGACUUACAGGACAUAGAAGAAUCAGGAAAUGGCAUAGGAUGGACUCGUUUUCCACGCCCCAUGAAUGGAGGAAUGAUAAGGGCGUGCUUAUCAGAGGAAAUCCCGACAUCCUUCAUUGAAAACAAGCAAACAACUAUUAUCAUAAAACAGGAAUCAUUAAUUAUAUGAACAUAGAAAUGGAACGAUGAAUAAAAAAUGCGAGUGUUAAAUCAACUUACAUAUUGGCCAUAGGUCAGAAGAGGGAUUCCUGAAGGGACUGAUGAAGAAUCCAGAUCCAAAGGCGUACUAAUCCCUGAAGUAUGGGCAUGGCUGCCGAUGUUCAGGUGAGCAGAGAGCAUAGCCUCUGCAACCUGAUGAGGAUCCCUACUGUAAUUGCUUCUGAAAUCAAACUCAUUCUCCAAAUCAUCAAUGUCAUCUUCCUCUUCAUCCCCUUCAACUCUGGGACUACCUGAUGUUUUAAGUGUGCUAUUAGUGGAAUCAUCACCAAGUAGAGUGGAGUUUGGGAUGAAAAAACACAGAGUAAUAGAAAAGAGACAGAGUCAACCAAGAAAUUAUAGAAACCCUUUACCUUUGAUGCGUUUGUAUCUGGUUUUGCAUUGAGGGCAAGCUUGAUUACCCUCCCUUCUUUCAUACUCGUAGCAGGGUCUGCAUACAGGGAAUGCACAUUCAUUACAGGCAACGAAUGGCUCCCCAUCCACAGUAAUCUCUAUCUCAUCCCCACAAAUCUGACAAAUCUGCCCACUCAAUUCUUUCACGGAAGUCACCUGUAUGUCACAGCAAAGUCAAUCGGCAUUAGGUCAUGAAAACUGGAUUUUUUGCUCAACAACCCCAGAUAGAAUAUUGAAGCAGCAUAUGAUUUUUAAACUACUCAUUCACACAUACAAAAACACACACACACACAUAUGCAGAAAUAAAGUAUAAAAUUUUGGUGCAGACCUGUAUGAAACAUAGAAAAUAAGGGGAAAGGUAUGGAUUUGUGAAAGUACAGAGUUCCAGAACAAGCAUGAGCAAAAGAGCUAAAAGAGUCAUGAAAAUGAAAAGGGAAGUAAAAGCCAUCCCAUUCAAGAAUCACACCUUUAAAAACAGGAACUUGGAUCAGAGGGAAAAAAAUUAAUGGAAGAUAGUGUCACUAACCCAAGAAGGAAAUGGCAGAACCCACAAAAGCUAAAUACAGAAAAUAAUGGAAAAAAAAUGUUAUGAGAACAAAAUAAAAUCACUGUAACAGAAAAUGAGCAAAUGGAUGUCUUCAAAAUCAAGAAAUGGGGCUGACAAAAAGUUUCAUAGACAAGAAGAACGUCGGAAGAAAAAAUAGAGAAAGCACAUUUUUAGAUAUUUUUCUUAAAAUCCAGAAAUGGAGUCGAUCAACGAGUUGAAAUAAAAAAAUAGAAUUAAAAAAAGGAGAGAUUUUGAAGGAACUUACUCGUCCAAUCUCAUCAGCAUUGAUCAGAACAAACUCGUUCCGGUUGUGUGAACCCGCCACGAGUCUUCCUUUGGUAUCCAUGAAAGCCCUCAAGAAUCAGACCCAGAUAGAACCCCAAAUGCUCGAAAUCAAGAAGACCCACCUCACGAUAUCAAUCUCCCAACCCCUCUCAUGCGCAAGAAGCAGACUUUUUUUUUUUUCUCUCCGCCUCUCCCUUUCAGCUCACUUUCUCACAAAAUAACCCAACCCCACAUCACACAAUGAACAAAUUCACACCCUAGAUAGAGAGAGGGAGAUGCAAACAAUAAAAAAGAAGAGUGGGGAAAACAACAAAAUGAGAAAAAAGUAUCACUGUUUUUGUUUGAUUGUUCCUCAAAGAAAACCCAAUGUUUUUAAACGUAACAGAUGGGUGGGUCUCUCAGAACUCAGAAGUGGGUAGAGCCGAUCCGUGACACGGGGUUGCAGAUGAUGUUAGAGAGAGAGAGAGAGAAAGAAAGGAAUCUAUUGGGGCGUUGAAAUUUCAACGCGUAUUGCACAAGAGCGCCCUCCUAAUUCAUGGCUUUAUCAUCAACAUUGGGGUGGGGCUCAGAUUUUGAUGGCAGUGGUGCCUCUGCUGGUGGUGGGUGGUGGUGGCCCACCUGAGCUACGGUGGCACACGGUGGGCGACGACUAGGGCACUCUCGUAAUUCUAUCCCUUUUGCCUCCCCCUUUUUUCUUUUUUUCUUUUUCCUAAUUUAUUUACUCAUUUCCAUUAAAACAAAAUAAAUAAUAAAUAAAAUAAAAAAUAAAAAAUUAGGUGUUUCCUUUUCUUAGAUGUUGAUGUGAUGUAUCUCCCUCACGGCUUUUGUGUGUCCUGUUGUGCAAUAAAAUUAAAAAUAAAACCCCCAAAAAAAAAAAAAAAAAGUAGAGCUAGAGAGAGAAUGAGAGUGGAGUUUUUACUUUUUAGAGAGAGAAGGUGGAGGGUUUAGAGAGAGAGAGAGAGGGACAGGAUUUUACAAUGGGAGGAAAAAAAGGGGCAAGUGACAAACAGCGGGGAGGAGUUUAUGAGUUGUAAAGGCUCCACGUGCGGCACGUGUGGAGGAACCCGAGAUCUGGGCGAUUUAUCGCGAUAAAUUGAAGAGGAAAUAGACAAAGUGACGGUGAUUGAUUCUUUCUUUGCAUUUUUGGAACGCCUUCACUUUUACGUGCAUUAAAAGACAAGGAAAGUCUUGGGUGUGAGUGCUCACUGCUCACGCCCCUUCCCCUUGGACCACCACACCCCCACCCCAUCAUCCUACAAAUUUUAAUCAUCCCAUAAUGUAGCAGUGACGCACCAUCGUUGUUAAUUAUUUUACCUAUCUUACGUAACGUCAAAAGGAUAUUUGAUAAAAAUAAAAAAAAAAUUAAAAAAAAAAAGUCCAAGGGACAUGAAAGAUCAUGGUAAAGGUUUUUCCAUACAAGAAGGCCAAGUAACCGUUGGCAAUACCUUUUGAUUUUCAGCAACGGUGGGCUCUUCAGAGUAAAGCUUUUAUACUGACUUUAUACCUAACACAGCACAUUCCAGCCCUUUACUUGACCUUUUCAAACAGCUUACAUACAAAAUAUGCAAUUUUCUACACUGGGUUGUUCUACAAAGUCCGAAAAGGAUUGAGCAGCUGAUUUGCAUUCGGGUUGUUCUUUAGACCGAGACAGAUAGUAUUUUCCAAGGCAAAAAGGCUUUACUGUGAAGAGACGGUGACAAGUAUUUAAAUAGUAGGCAAGUGGGGUGGUUUUUGGAUGGCCUUUUUUCCAUUAAUAUUUUGUAUUGAAUGGAGGGUCUGUGUGUCUAUUCAUAAGUCGGUGAAUAAACCGUACCAUGGUGUGGUGAGUGGUCUCAUGCCUCAGUGACAUCAAUGCACUCUCUCAUGCCCCCUGCAGAGGUUAAUAACUGUACUGAAUCCGUCCAUAUCCACCAUCUGAUCUAUAUACUAUGGGUUUCCACUGAUUGGAUGGGAAUGGGGGGUGGGGGGUGGUCUAUUGUUGUUUUCAGUGGUCCUGACUCCACCUGAUGGUGUGGAGUGGGUACAUUGAUGGUAACAAACUAGGGAAGGGCAUUAUCAGUUUGAUUGAAACCAAUCACAUUUGUAGUCUGUGGUCUACCUGCCUUUUGGGGUAUGGACUCUCAUUGAAUCUGAUGAAGUAGUUGGAGACUUUAUGUCUAUUAUCUUAAUGGCACUAAUUAAUUGGCAUCUGGGGUUGGUAAAAUUGUAACUUUUUGGGGCAUGGCUGUAUGAUAGAAACCAUAGAAUCAUUGUGUGAUGGGGUGGUAACAUUUAUUUUAAUGUUUUUUGACAUGCAUUAAAGUAAAUUAGCAAAAAACAAUUCAUGGGUUUUUGAAUUCUCACCCGAUGAGAUAUUGGGCAUAUUCCCAUUUUUGUCCCAAUUAGAAUCCUCACAUUGGAUUACAGUUGUUUACAAAAAUCAGACUUAUUUUUGUUCUCAGAGGUAGAUUUUUCAACCACAUAUUUCUUCAAAUUGGGAAAAUCUAAAACAGAAUUAUAGCUCAUUUUUUUCCAAAAAUAAAAAAAUAAAAUAUCAUUAUUAUACAAAAACCAGUUUAGGAAUAAUCUAAGUUUUCAAAAAAACAAAUUAUUUUUGUAAACCUUUCCAAAUUAAUAACUAUUUUUUAAAAUAAUUAUAAAAAAUAGUUUUUGGAAACAAUUUUUUAAAACUGUUAUUAAAAUAUGUUUGAAAACUUAAAAUGUUUUUAACUUAUUUUUAAUCAUUUUAAAUAUUUAUAUAUUUAUUUUUUAAAAUACCUCUAAAAAAAAGGUAAAAAUAACUAAAGUGUAUUAUUUAAAAAUAUUGUAUUUUUUAUUUUUAAGAAUAAAAAAUAAAACAUAAUUUUUAAUUAUUAAACAAAUUUUUCAUAUUGUUAUUUUAAAGAAUAGAAAACUGUUUUAAAUAUCGAGGUUGUUGUGAUUGCAUGACUGCUUGGUUAAAUUGUGGCUGCUAAAUUUGCAAAUGAUCAUGAUUAAUAUCUUAAUCGUGUGUAGGAAGCUGUCGCCUGUACAAGAGGUGAGAGUGAGACAGUGAUGAAAAUACGAGUUUUAGUUUUGAUGAAUGACAAAUCCCUCCCAUUUUCAUCACUGCCCUUCACCUUUUUCUAUGCAAACACUUGGUCCAAUAGAAAAGGUGAAAUCAAUAAUAAAAGGGUUGAAAAAGCAAAAGCAGAAGGAGAUCAAUAAUUGCCAGCAAGGUGGAUUGGGCAUCAGAUCUCUUAUAUGCAACUCAACCUCUACUUCUCCAAUUGCCCCCCUCCUUUUCAAGGGCAUGGUCCUAUCACCUAUGUGGGUCACUCUCCCUUUACUUCCAUCAUGCCCAAAAUCCUUUCCCUCUAGGCUCUAUGAUGCCCAAUAACUUAAGUAGAAGUUCACCUUUAUUAUUUUUGGGCAUUAUUGGUACUAACUAUAUGUUGUAGUUACAAGCCAUUCUAUUUAUGGUAACAUUCUUUUUUAUCACCCUUCCAUCUUAAUCCAACUCAAAUUAACCUAUCAAUUAUUUUGUGGUUUCAUUUUAUCUUAUUUUUGAGAAAUCUAAAACUUAUUCUUACGUUUUAUGCAGAUUUUUAUAUCCGUUUAACUAAUCUUAUUUAAAUUAAUUUACGAUUUAAGUCAAAAUCCGAAACUAUCCCAAAUGAGACGUGAGUAUUAUUUUAUUAUUCUAUAUUACGGGAUAAUUAAUUUUGCGGGUUUUAAUAAAAUUUUAAAUUGUUUACAAAUGAAAUUUAGUUGAACGAAAGGCAUGUGAAGAGCAUCCUUGGAUGUUAAUAGUAUACAAAGAAGGAGUUGAUUGACUGCUAAUACCAAUGAUCUUAACUUGCCUUUUGCAUUGGGCGGUCGGCUGCCAUCAUUAACUAAUGAUCUAUGAUUGAGUAUAUUCCAAUACUGUACACGUGUCCUCCAUCCGCUGCACUUCUACAAAAGUGGACGGUUCUCAAGUACCCAGGAGCAAUUUUUUAAUUAGCACUCGCUUUACCAAAUCUGCCGCAUCUUUUCCCAAACACCAGGGUUUGGCUUCGUAAACAAGACUCAGCAACCAAAUUAAAAAUAAGUGAGUGAAACCCUGAAGUACGACGACACGUGGGAUCACAGCUGGAGUAGCAAUCAUGCCUUCCACUGGGUAGUGUGAUAUGCCACGUUGGCAAAAAGUGGGUGUCCCAGAAAACGUGUAAUGAUGGUGGAUUAUAUUGGAAAAGCAACUUUUCCACGUGGCAUGGCACGCCACGUCGAUAGCGUAGAGGGCUUUAUUACAACUGGAAGACAUCUGGCACGCGUUUUUGUUGUAAAUUGUCUGGCAGAAGUGGGCCACGUGGUGCCAGAGUAGGUCCACAGACAGCUCAGCGACUGGGAUUGUCGGUCGCUUUCGCUAGCUGUAAAUCAUCAUAAGCGGAGAAGCGUCCGUAUGCGGAUGACGUCAUUAUUAGAAACGAUUUUAUAGAAAUGAAAGUAAUUUUUGUUGGGUGGUGGGUGAGAUUUUUGAAUGAAAGUUCGAGAAAGUAGGGAGGGAGAGAGAAAGGAAAAAAAAAGUUUAAAAAAAGGCGGGACAGCGUGGCGGGCAUUUUGUGGAGGAGGUGGUGUUUGGGGAGUAAUAGAAUAUGGGGCUGUUUGGCUAAUAGGAUAGGAGUUCGGCUACGUGUAUGGAUCUGAUUGGCUAAUCCUGACAGAGAAAAUUUUGCCUAGUGAGAGAUGAUCUCGGGAAAGCAAAUAUAUUUGUUCGAGAAAUAUUAAAUUUUUAAUUCAUUUGCAAUAAAUUCAAUAGCAUAUGAUAUGAAAUAUUUACAUUCCAUAAACAAAUUUUCCCUUAUUUUGAUUUAGAUUUUUUUUUUAAGGUAUGGUAUCGGUAUAUUAAUACUAGAUUUUCUCAUAUAGAAAUAGAAUAAUAUGAAUAACUAUGAUAUCCCUCAUAGUUUCAACGGGAAAGUUCUCAAAAUUGUUUUUUAAAACUGUGAUAAUUUUGGAUUAAAAGUAAAUAAUAUCUAUACGAUUGGAUGUGAGUUACGAUAUUAUAUUUUUAUUUUUUGAUACGUGGAUUAUACACACGUUUUAAAAUAGCAAAGCCAUAUAGUCGGUGUAUUAUUUAAUAUUUGGAUAUUUUAUAAUUGUUAAUAAUUUUAUAGUUUUCACAUACGUGUUCCCAAUUUUAAAUAUUAAAACUCGUUUUAGGAAAAAAAAAUUUAAUUUCUAUAUCACAAAUAAUAAAAAUUAAUUUAAUUUACCAUGUUUGAGUUUUUACAUAAGCCCGUCUAAUUCCAUUAAUUCAUUUGUUUGAAAUUUUAUUAAAUACAUUUUAUGUCAUUAUUUUCUUUAGUUAGUUUUAUCGCUCAAGAUACAUGAGUUAUUUUAUAAAAUUUUAACGGAUGAGGAUUAAAUGUAUUUAACAAAAUCUUGAAAAUAAAUGAAUGAAAUUAAUCAUAAAUAAUAAUGCCUCCCUUUUCCAUACAUUUUUUUAGAAAAUCACUUAAUUAAAAAAAUACAUCUAUAUUAAUUAUCAAAUAAUCUUUAAUGUAAAAGUGAAUUUAGGUGAGAUUACUCAAUAUAAAUGUUUAUAGUAUGAUAUACAUAUUUGAACUCAAAUCCUAUAAAUUUUAAGUUUUUCGAAAAAUUGAUAAUUCAAUAUGAUAUCAGAGUUUUGUAUGAUAUGAGAUUGUAAACUCAAGCCCCUUCUCCACAAUUUGUAUGUUCGCUUCCCAGUCUAUUCCUCCUCUCCCCCCUACCUAAUUUGCAAUUCCGUGGUAUAACUCAACUCAGAGAUAAUGGAGAAAAUCUAUCACUACUGUGGCUAUUCAUAUUCAUCAGUCCAAUAUAACUCCAAAAGAGGUCAUUUUCAAUGUCUAUAUAAUACCAUGUUGCAUGUAGAUAUGAAGAUGAAUUGGUAACUGCUAGAAUCCAAUGUGUUGCAAAUUGCACUUCAAUUAUUGUUUCUGGAUUUGCUAAUUGCAAAGCUGUCUUCAUUUAUUUGAUGCUUAUCAUUAUUUUUUAACCUAUUGGUAAAAUAUAGGUGGCAAAUUUGUUAGGACGGUGGAAUUUGUACAUUAUGAUUUGAUUAUUAAUGUAAAAUAAGAUUUUUGGGUUGUCUUCUACUAUGGUCAAAAAUCUUGAUUAGUUAUUUUGCAUAUCAAUUUUUUCAACUUAAGUCGUAAAUGAAAUUAUGAAUAUGAAAACCAUUUUUUUUUUUACAGCAAAAGAACUUUGACCUUCAUUUUAACGAAGAAAAAAAAAACUAAGAGAAAUGUUUUUCUAUUGUCUUAUGGAGAGAGAUAAAAAAAAUAAGAAAAAACAUGGUUUUUUUUUUUUUUUUGGUCUUUAGAGAGAUUUUUUCACAGAAAAAGAAAAAGAAAAACUUUUCUUUUAAUAGUAUCAUGCUCUUUGAAAGUUUUAAACUUCAAAACACAGCUCCCUCGUUUUUUCAUUUUCUUAUUUAUUGGGUUAAAUCAGGUCAACCCAUUUGGGUGCCUAAUCCUAACUCCAACCGUUAUCAUAAAUAAGUGUUUCAAUUAUUCAUUUAUCAUUAAUUUACUUUUCUAACGAAUGAUAAAACUUCUUUAAACUUUCAAUAACCUGACUAAAAUGGCAUCGGACAACUUACAUUUAAUCUAUAUCAUGGAACGGUUUCGUACAAAAAUUACUUGGCAUUAAUGCUUAAUCACAUUGGAGGGCUAACCUAUUUUGUUUGAUACAUUGGACACACUUCAAUUAUUUAUACAGGCAAAUAAAACAAAAUUGUUCAUAAUUUUAUUCCUACUUGCAAAAAUGAGACAACCAAGUAGCCCUUAAAAUACUAACAAGCAUAAUUUGUAGAUUCUUAAGAAUGUAGGAGGCAUACUGAAUAUUGAAUACAUCUUUCAUAUUUUCAAUCAAUUGACUACCUUGUCUUAUAUCCAUAUCUCACAUUCAUAGGGUGGAUUAGAUUUAGUCCACUGAAAAUGAUGAUCACAAAAGUUUAUUAAAACAAAUGUGAGAUUGUGAUGUGAUUGAUACAAUUAUUUUUAUUAAAAAAAAGGGUCAAUUGUAUGAUUCAAAACAUCCAUACAUAUAUUUAAUUAAUUAAUUAUUAUUAUUUAUAAUUCAUGACCUCGAUUUUCCACUAAAGGAGUGGGUGGAAUUCUUGACAACCACUAAAAUAUGUGGGCAAGUUGUACUUUUUAUAUUUAUUUAUUAUUGUUAUUCAUUUUGUCAAUCCUUGAAUUGAUUAAGUCUAUGUUAUGGGAAAGUGCCAAUUUCUCUCUCCACGUGCAUAGCAUAUGACUAAUUUAUUAAAUUAGUGAAGCUUGAGAUCAACCUGCAGCUGCAUAAGGUAGGGAGAUUACAACUUUUGGUUCGAGGAAAUCAAGGAAACCUUUGAAGGAUUGAUAGAAAAGGGUUUGGUAUUAAUCAUUUGUGUAGCUUCUAUGCUUGAUGCUACUACUCCUAUUCAACCAUUAAUAUAUGGUUUUAAUUUUUUGUACUUAAAAUAGUAUUAAUUUGAGAAUGAAAGCUACUUUAUUGGUAUAAUUUGUAAGGAUUUGCGAUUAAUUUAAACAUAGCCGCUCGUAACCCACCAUAGAACCCUUUUUUAUUUUUUUUUCAAAUUCUUUAUUUGUGAAACUAUUUCAUUGAAAACAAGUUUUAUAAAAUUCAAUAUGGUUUUUGGGAUUUCUCAUCUGAUCGCUCCCGUUAAGCCAAGUUUGAGUAGGUGAUUAUGUUAUUAGAAUUCUUAGGUUUAGGACCGACAAGAGAUCCUCGUGAGUCAAGCUAAAAGCGGUAAGAUGUUAUUUAAAUUGACUUUUGAGAAUUAAAAAUUAUUUUUUAAAUUUAAUAAGAAUUUUUAUGUUUAUUUUGUUAUUUUUAUUUAAAACACUUAGUAGAAACUUAAUUUUAGGUUAUAAAAAAAGCCCUUCUAUAUUUGAUAAAAUCUUUAUAAUACCAAUACCAAAAUUUCAAAAUUAUCUUUUACCUUGUGAUGAAAGCCCAAAAAAAAAAAAGGAGUAAUGCCAUGUGAGGCAUAAGAGGCCUUAGCCCACACCCCACCAUUUACAAAGACAACAAAACCUUGGACCUGGGCCUCGGAGCACAGGCCCAAUGGGAGAAGAAUGGGUGGUCCUCUAUGAAUUUGUACGUUACAAUACUUCAUAUAUGGACUUGAAUGAUGUUCUUAAUUGCUGGAUUUUUUUAAAGAUAAAUGGGAUGGGAUAGUCUCAACAUCAUCAACUUCAAAUCAAUAUUUGUUGAUUCAUUUUCCUUUUUCAGCCUCUUGAAUCCCCAUGCACGUAACGGAUGUUGCUCUCACGAUUUCUCACUAUAUAUACAAACCACAGCAUACAUGCUUCCGCACUCGAUCGACAUGGCUCUGAUGCUGAAGCUCUUUCUUUUCACUCUUCUCUCUGCAUGGAGCCUGGGAUCCAUGGCUUCCGCACGGUACCUGGACAAGAGCUUCAGCCUUGCUGCUCGAUUACAUGCGGACGACGACUCAUCAUCCAAGUGCUGGGAGUCUUUGCUUGAGCUUCAGGCAUGCACUGGAGAGGUUGUCCUGUUCUUCCUCAAUGGUGAGACUCACCUUGGGGCCGGCUGUUGCCAAGCCAUUCAGACCAUUGAGCACCAAUGCUGGCCUGCCAUGCUUACUUCCAUUGGUUUCACUGCCGAGGAGGGCGACAUCCUCCAAGGUUACUGUGAUGCAACCACAUCCUCUUCGGCUCCCCCACCACCACCACCACCACCAUCCAUGGAGCCUAAUGACGUGGUUACCUUGGGUGGCUUUUUCCUCGAUCCUUAGUAGAACGCGUUCUUACUAGCAGUUAUGUCUUUUACAUAUAUCUGAUCCGCUAGUCUAAAUAUAUACAGAAAAGGGUGUUUGGAAUUAAUGAAUGAUUUCCUAUAUAUUGCCCCAUAUUUGUUGCAAUUAAAUUCCAUUUCUUGCUUGAAAAAAAGGUAUAAUAAUUUCCCAUCAUUGAUAGCACUAGUAGUUGUCUUUUAUGGGCUGGACGAGACACACAGAUCGACCCACAAUUCUGCUUACCCAGCCCAUGCUCAGUGGUUUGGACUAACAUAAUUGGAGGCCCAAAAGGGAUAUCAAUAAUAAGAUAAUGUUUGGAAGAUGAGUCUAUUUUUGUAUCUAGAUAAGACCAACUCAUCCCCCUCUAAUUAAUGGAGAGGUAACGGCGUGAAGGGCAAGAUUCUCAAGGACUCAAAAGCCUUUUUGCUUUGAUUUUCCAUCAAGGCAUCAGUGCCAUACACAUAAGUCCAUAAGGUAAUGAAUAAGGAGCGUCAAAUCAGGGUGGGAUGCGAAUAUGCGGAUUGAAAGCCAAGUAUUGAUUUUAGUGGUAUGAGGUGGGUCGUGUAUGGAUGGUGACAUCUAACUAUAAGUCUCUCAAAAGACUUCAAACUUCCCCCCAUCUCCGCCUUCUUUCAUGCUCUUUCCACUCUUCUUUUAACGUAGUAAUUUUUUUUCCCUUUGGGUAAUUAGGAUCUAAGCAUGGAAGAAGAGAAUAUUCGGAUGAGUGUUUCAAGAGUUCUUGGCUUUCUACACAUUGUUACUUCAUUUUCAAGCUGAGGAAUCAAUUGGUCAUUUGUUAUGUGCUUGUUUGUGAUCAUUGGGAAGCAGAUUUAGGGUUUUGAAAGGUCAAAUGCUAAUCAACAGAAGAAGAAAUUUACACCCCAUGCCAACAUAAAGAGAUAAUUGUGGUUAGGAUAGAUUUCAUAUAAUUAACUUCAACUAACUUCUCAUGACCUGCCAUUCCUAGUCAUCAUUCAGUUAGUUAUUUCCUUGCUAUGCCCAUGAUCGAUGCAUCGACCGUUUGCCACUUGUUUUCAUCCAAAAACCUGUCAUUUUCUCUCCGAUCUCGAUCCACUAGAAUGGAUCAAACUGGAUUCUUUCUUCCUCUGGAAUAAUGUAAAGCUAGACUAAAAUUUUAUACAUUCCUCUAUUGGUUGAUGGUUUAUUAAUGGUGAGAUAUCUUGUACAAAUUGAAUCAUCAAGGUCAUUGGAGUGGUGUCCUUGUUGACUAAUUAAUGGGUCCAUGUUUCAUGAUCAUAAGGCCAUCUUGCAUGAUUCAAAUAUACCCUAUUGAAAUGGUAUACAUACACAUGCACAUUGUUCAAAAACGCCCUAGAAAAAGGAAAGGAGGAUAAAAAGAAAUACAAGUCGUCCACUAGUGCCAUAUGUGGAAAAGUAGUGAGCAUACAGAUCUCAACUCCCCUAGAGAAAAUUGUCCUCGUAUGGAACCUCAACAAUGAAUUCUAGAGAAAGCUGUCAAGUGAUCACAGUCCAGAUGAAUCUUGAUUUAGAAGUUAGAAAAAUGAAGGGUUGUUAGGUUAGGGUAGUUAGUCAAUGGCACAAAGAUGUUAUCUUAAAAGUUGUGGAGGAGAGGAGAGGAGAGGAGAGAGUCAGAAAAAAGAAUGAACCUAUCAGAAGAAAGUAAGAAACAUCAAACUAUAAUCUUAUUAACAUGGAACGAUAAUCAUGAUAAAGCCACACAACAAGGGUUUCACAAGGACACACAGAGAGACCCAGGAAACAAGACACAAACUCAUCCAACAUAGCUCAGACAUAGAAAUUAUUUAGCAUAGUUGCUCACUGGCAAUUGUAAAUCUAAUUACACAACAAGCACACAUGCAUGCGUCUAGAAAAGAUGGUGAUGCUUCUUUCCAUGAGCCUCUUCAUCUUCUUCCUUGGCUUCUUUCUUCUCGUGAUGCUCGUGGAACGCGAACCCGCCAGCUCCCACUGCAGCAGCCGCGGCAAUCUCUUCUUCUAUCUUGUGCUUGUGGGCAUGCUCAGGGUCUUUCUCCGACUUGUGCUUCUCAUGCUAUAAUUCAAGCAUCAUCAAGACGAUAAGAAAUAGUUCCUUUGUAUAAAAUUAAUUAAAACAAAAAUAUUUUCAAACUUCAUGACACACGGGGCAUUACCAAGGCGUAAGCGCCAGCAGCAGCGACGCCGAGCUCGCCGAGGUGCUCGAGAUGCUUGUGGUGCUUCUCCUCCUUCCUGUAGUCAGGGCCUGGGUCAUCUGCUAACACUUCGGUGGUUUCGGCAGCGUAGCCGCUGACACCAUCGGUAGCAUAGCUGGUGUCGGAGUAGGUGGUGUCGGAGUAGGGAACGGCGUCGUCAACAGGCUUGUCCUUGUGGUGGAAGAGGUGGUGGUGAUGCUUCUCCUCCGACAUGGUGGUGGUGAUCAAAUUAGCUGCAGAAACGAGAGAGGAAGAUGGUUUGUGAACUGUGAAGGUGUGAUGUGGGAGAGUGCAGUGGUGGGUGGUGGGGUAUUUAUAAAUGCUGGUUGCGAAGGUGUCCAAAGAUCGUGGGAGAGAUGAAUGGGUAUUGGGAAUGGCCCGAAUGGGUGGGGCCUCACCAUUCACCAUUCUUAUCUACAUUUUUCAAAUCUCGAUGGCUCCUACUCUGUCGAUACUUUGUUUUUGUGUCGGCAAUUUCAUUGGAUCUUUAACCACGACAUUUUUUAACCACAUUUUUAGAUUUCCGUGAUAUUAUCAUAAUUGUUUUUGUUAGUCAUUCGUUGGAUUUAUUUCAAAAGUAGGAAAAUGUUUGAAAAAUAUACAUCAUCAUUUGCGUCUUUGAUCCACUCUCAAUAGGAAAUAAAUAAAUAAGAAAAGAAAACCACAAAGUCUCAGGUAGCAAAGAGUCCAUAUCAAAGUAUCAAACCUUUUUAUCGAUGAAUAUUUUUAGGAAGAACAAUCUAUUAUUUGUAAAAUAAUUUUUAUAUAUUGAGUGAUAACCCUUCAAUUCGAUAUCGUUAGAUCAUUAAGGUCGGCUUUUGUCCCUAUUCGACGGGUGGAUCUUGUAGUCAAACUCCCUUUUACCUUUGCACUCAAGGUCCAUCUUUGUUUUGCUUGAGAAAACCUUUGUUAAUUUCCAUUACCUUUUGAGAGACUUACGCUCUAUAAAAAUUAUUUAUCUAUUCCUUGACGAGGAAAUUCAAAUUCUUUUACUUAAAUUUAUUUUAUAAAACAUUAAAAAAGGUUAAAUAUAAUAAAAUUAUUAAAAAUUUGAAUUUAAGAAAUCAUUUAUUUUUUAAAUUUUGACAUGAACAUAUAUGGGUAAAAAACAAAAAGAGACAAAAACAAAAUAUGUUUUUUUGUGCAGUAAUCAAUUAAAAAAUCACUUUCAAUUUAAUAAAAGAUGUAAUUUUUAAUAUUAAAGCUUAGAGAAAAAAGAAUUGACUUGAUUGGAAUGAAUUACAAAAAUCACACCCCAAUGAAGAGGAACCCCAUACAGCACCUCCUUUCCUUUUCAUAAAGCAAAGACCUUUCAUCAGUAGGCAUGUGAAGGAGGGAAAUGAACUUGGCAGAUUCCACCUUAAAGUGCUAAAACAUGGCACUUGCCCCUCUUUCUAAUCAAACUUAACCCCACCUACAUUAUCUACAUUAUUUAUUGUACAUUAUCUUUCUCCAACUAAUACUAGUAUUUCACAUCUCACAAUUUUUUUAUUCUAUUGGAUGUGAGUCUAUUAUUGCAGUUAGGUCAGCUAAUCAGGAUCCCAUGGAUAAGGUGCCACAUAUUAAUAUUUUAGCCUUUUAGGUGUUGCUAUUCAUCCUCCUUUAUGACUUGGGCUCCAUUUCUUUGCUUGAACCUCACUUUUAGGGUAAUUUCUUUUCUUGGACUAUUAGUUUAUUUGUUGCACAUAAAAAGGCCACUUUAAUGGCCGUCAAACUUUGAUAAAAUAUGUCUUAUUUUGUACUUUAAGGUGGUGUUUAUUUUUUAAUUGAAUAAAAAAAAAAUAAAAAUAUUUGAUUUUUUCUAUUUAAUUAAAAGUAAUUUGUUGAGAUCGUUCAAUGUAACUAAAAUGAACUUGUUAUCAAUAAAUUUACUUUAGUUAUGUUAGACAAUAUUAAUAGGUUACUUUUAAUUGAAUAGAAAUAAAAGUCAUUUUAAUUAUAUUGGACAAUAUUAACAAGUUAUUUUUAGUUGAAUAGAAAAAACUAAAUAUUUUAAUUUUUUUUAUUCAGUCAAAAAACAAACAUCACCUAUAAAAAUUGAUAACUUUUAUAUAUUUGUACUAUGGUAGAUGGGCUUGGCCCACUUGGGCGUAGGGUAGAUAUUUGAAUUUUGAACAGAAAAAAAAAAAAGGGAAAAAAGGAAAAAAGGAAAGGGGAAAGAGAAGGAGAAGAUAAAUCAAUAAAUCAUAAAAGCAGGAAGGAGAGGUGGAAAAUGGUCCUCUGGUCUGGACCAGGAGAAAGUGGCCGGUGAUGGGGCCCAUUGGGUCUGUGUCGGCAAGGCCCCAUUUAUUUCGGCAUCAAUAUACCUGCCUGAUUGGUUCCAUGCCUGCCAUAUGUUUACGCUUUUGUCAAUUAUUAUAAAAAACAACUUCUUUGUCAAUAAACUCUUUAAUUUUUACUUCUCUAUCGUCUUUAAUGGGUGUGAAAAAAGUCAUACAUGCCUAUUGUAUUCUUCUCCUUUUUAGUAGGUAAAAACCUACAGGCUAUCCCUAAACUGAAUUUUAUAAUAUUUCAGAAAAUAUGAAAUUUAUUUUUAAUUAAUAAAAAUUUGGAUUAAAUAUCAAUCAUAAUUUCAUAACUGAUAUGGCCGGUGAUAAAGAACGAGUGAGUCACGCUAGGGCCACGGAUGUAUCACAUUCAUGGUGUGCCUGGGCUUAGUGGUUGAUGUGAAAUAGAUAUAGGUGUAGCGCAUAGUGUAAACGGGCCCAGGGAAAUUCAAAAUCGCGUUGCCACGUUCCAUAGAAAGGACAAGAAAUUAGAAGCUGGGAGUGGUCCACGUCUUCCAGGUAACCCCCACGCUGCUAACGAUUAUUCAAUGCCUUCCUACUCCAAAUCAAACCUAAUGUUCAACAUCGACAUGUCUCAUAUGACACAUCCUUAUAGAUGAAGUUGGUGAACUGUGGAGAAGAGAGAGUAAGGGCGUGUGAGCGGAGAUAAUUCACAAUUGAUUGGCAGGUUUCGGAUAUUUUCUUCGGCUUUGUCCUGGGUUUUUGGAAAGGUUUGAUUGGCCCGACCCAAUCCUACAACCCAUACUAAACCACACAAUCGAAUCCUACGAGAGACCAAACCCAACCUUAAAUCAAGUUCCUCAUUAUGGGCUUCAUAGCCCAACUUAGCACUCCAGCCCAUCCUAACAUUGGGAAAAAUAAAUUAAUGAAAAUUAAGACUAGAUAUGAAUAAUUUCUUUUAUUAUCUUAAACUGCUGAAAGGGAUUAGUUAUCCUACACAGCUUGAACAGAAAAAGAGCCCUCUAAAACUCACCUACUUGAGAUUUAAGGCAUAAAAAAGUCCUUACCUUAAUAAUUGUAAGAGAUCGUUGGAUCAAAUGAUUCAAAUCUGGGACUUGCUCACACAAUCAAUCCAUUUCAUGAGACGAAUUACCAGUGAGGCUCUCUUCACCAUCUACAAGAUUUCGGAUGUAGCGAGUCAAGUAAGAACUUGGACCAUAGCAAAUGCUUGAUAAAAACCCUCCAUACAGUAAGCAAUGGAUGCCAAGCUUAAACAGAUUUUUCCUCUCUUGGUUGGUGUCUCUCUGUGCUUCAUACCCACCAGUACUUUCUUCAUCCCAACUCGAAGAAUCCAUGGCAGUGCAGCCUGAAUGAGCCUGAAAACCCCAGAUCUUGGAAGUUUCCAUCUUUUGCAGCCAGUUGGAAUCAAUGGGAUCUUUAAAUUUUUUACAAAGAUGGUGUCCCUGGAUCAGAAAACUCCAAACUUUUGGUGUAAUACUUGAGACACAGUUAAGGAACUGCUUAGAUAUGUUCUCCAAUCCUCCAUUAUGAGCUUGACUCCCAAAAAAAUUGGCCUCGAAUUCAUCUGCUAGUGAGCACUCAUUGCAUUUAUGACUCUGAAGAGACGAAAGAUUUAGAACAGGCAACCUCCCUUUCACAAAGGAAUUCAAUAGUGAGCUUCUAGCAAGACUUAAAAGGGACUCCCCAGCAUUCAUCCAGAAGUUUGCAAUUGAUGCGAUCAAAGAAGAGUCAGAGAGGAAAAUACGGUGGGUUGCACCUGCAAGCAACAAGGAGUAUGCUGCACUGGUCUUGAUCAAGCUCAAGGCUUCCAGCUCAUCUCCGUCCAUUUCAGAAUGCAGAUCCAGUAAUUGACUAGCACGGACUCUGUAUGCAGAAGCCAGUGUUGUGUAGGCGGCCAAAGAGAGAUGGUGCAGGGGGUGCAACUUGAAAUUUGCUUGUGAUUUUCCCUCAAUUGGUUCUAACUGCUCAUCUGGAAGACCUUGAGCAAUAACAUUCUCAAGCUUCUCACAGCAAGCUUCAGGGUUGCCAACUGACAAAUAGUCAGCUAUAGCAUCAUCUACAUAAUCAGUCAACUUUCUGAUUUCCUCCUCUCUACACAUGUUAUCAUCUAUGUAAUUGAGACUAUGAGCCAAAGUUUCCUAUAGGGAAGAACAGAGAAAUGUCAAUCCUUGUUUUAUGACAGUACUAGAAUUCAGGCACUUCAAUUGCAGAUUAAAAAAUGCUUGUGAAGUUCAGACUUCAGAGUUGAUACAGAAAUAUUGUGAGUACUUCACCGUACAAAGUGGCCCCCGAAAAAUAACCAGAGUGGACAAGGGAAAGGAUAAAACAGGAUGAGAAAAGCUACUAUGAAUUACUCAAUAGCUUUUCCUAGUUCCAAUUGAUAUGGAGAAAAAGACUCCAACUGUCUGUCAGCCUUUUGAGAAGGAAAAAGCAGAUGUAACUAAGGGAGACAACUUGAAGAAACAAAAGAUAUGAAAGGCAAAGAAGAAAAUAAAUAGCACACAUACAGAUUCUGGAUGCAGCUCUAAUUGCAAAUGACGCAGCUGACUCAAGGGAGAGAAGCUCUAGGGCUGGUUUAGUUUGCAAGUUGGACAUAUGUACUUUGGUGUGCCCCUUUUGGCAUUUUAAUACAAUUUGCACUUACCUAUCAAAAAAAAAAAAAAGUUUGCAAUUUGGACAUAGAAAAGGCUUAUGACCAUGUUGAUUGGAAUUUUCUCCUCCCAGUAACGAAAAAGAUGGAGUUUGGUCUAAAAUCGAGAAAGUGGAUUCAUUUUUCCAUUGUAAGGAUGUCAAUCUUAGUCAAUGUUUCUCCUUCAGAUUUCUUUCAGACAUCUAGAGGAUUGUGGCAGGGUGAUCCUCUCUCACCCUAUCUCUUCAUGAUUGUCAUGGAAGCUCUACAUUGUAUACUCUCAAGGGCUGACUAGGGAGUGUUCAUUCAUGGCUUCAAGGUCAGGGGCAGAAGGGGUGAAGGUUUCCAAGUAUUCCAUCUCCUGUUUAAGGAUGAUAGAAAAAUUUGGAUCAACUAAGAUACUGGAGGUGGAUUGUAAUAGGCUUCAAGGUUGUGUUAGGUCUGAAAAUAAACCUGUAAAAAAGUAACUCAUUCUAAUGGGGAAAGUGGAGGAUGUGGUGAGAUCAUCAUCUUUGCUUGGGUGUAAGAUUGGAAGGCUUCCCACUUCUUAUCAUGGUUUGCCCUUUGGAGUGCUUCAUAAGUAUUGCGUUGUAUGGGAUGCUGUCAAGGAAAUGUUUGGUAAAAGAUUGGCUUCUUGGAAGGUGUGGUAUUUGUCAAAAAGAGGAAGAUUAGUUCUUUCAAAGAGCACUUUCUCAAGCUUAUCAAUCUAUUUUAUGGCCUUUUUUUCUAUUUCCAGGAAAGUGAGGAUCAAAUCAUAAAGGAUUCAGAGAGACUUUUUGUAAGGAAAUCUUUGGUAAACCAAUAAGAUGCAUUNNNNNNNNNNNNNNNNNNNNNNNNNNNNNNNNNNNNNNNNNNNNNNNNNNNNNNNNNNNNNNNNNNNNNNNNNNNNNNNNNNNNNNNNNNNNNNNNNNNNAGGAAGAACAUCCAAAGAAAGUGCAGGGAACUGGUCAAGGGGUGGAACAUUUGUGAGGUGAGGGAGACUUCUGGUAUAAGCCUAUGGAAAGACUUAAGAAAAGGUUGGGAGGAAUUCAACCACAGGAUAGCUAUCCAAAUUAAAAAUGGUAGCCAGACAAAAUUUUAGAGGGAUGGGUGGGUGGGUGGGGGGGAACUGUUUGAAAGAAGCAUUUCCUCUAUUGUUUAGUCUAGCUUCUCAAAAGAAUGCCAUUGUUGCAAACAUGUGGGAUGGGAGAGGUAGUGGAGGCCAGUGGGUGCAUUUCAAAAGGCCAUUCCAAGAUUGGGAAAUGGAGGGGGUGUCCUAAUUUUUAGAACUUAUUUAUUCAUACAGCAAAAGUGCAAGAAGAAGGGAAAGAUAUCUUAGUUUGGAAGGAGGAUAGGAAGAGAAUCUUCAGUACUAAGUUGUACUACAGUUCAUUGUGUGCCGAAUUUAGAGUGGACUUCCCAACCAAAGAAAUUUGGGGGCUCCCAAGCUCUUACGAGAUCAUGUUUUCUCACUUGGGAAACAGUAUGGGAGAAGAUCUCAACCAUAGAUUUGUUAAUGAAGAGGGAUGGACAAUGUUAAUAGAUAUAGUCUUUGCAAAGAGAGUGAUGAGUCUGCUGAUCAAAUUUUCAUUCACUGUGCAAUGACAAAGGUAUUAUAGAUGUUUGUUUUAUCAAUUUUUAGUUAGAAAUAAGUUUCUAGCUACAGUGAGGAAUAUGCUUCUCAAGUGGAAGUUUUUAAGGUAUUGGACAAGAAGAGUCACCAUCUUUGACAAAUGACACCCCUCUGCUUAUUCUGGUGUAUAUGGAAAGAGGGAAACCAUAAAAUCUUUAAUGGGGAAGAGCUUGCAUAUUAGAGAUUAAAAGAGAGCUUUAUUAAAUCCCUCUUUGAUUGGUCCAAAGUUCUGUUAGAAAUGGGCAAUUCUGAAUGAUGGCUUUCGUAAAUGGUCUUAGUUGUGGAUAGUUUGGUUUUGAGUUGAGGUUGUUUUUUUAUUCGUUGUUUUGUUUUUUUUGUGUUUACUCCCAGUAUAUGUAAGGUAUGCCCCCUUUCAUUGGCAUGCUCUUUUAAUAUAUUAUCCUUUUGCUUAUCAAAAGAAAAAAAGAAAAAAGAAAAAAGAAAAAUAAAGAGAACACAUAAAUCAGGGGAAGGAUGAAGGAAUUAAACCAAUAGGAAUGAGAAACAGUUGGGUAUAUUUUUUCGACAGAUACUUCAUGCAGCAGGGGCAAGAUGGGGGAAAACCUUACCACUCCUGGUGCCAUAAAUGUGGCAUAUAUGCAUCGUGUUCUAACUCCACACCUAGUACUAUAAUUUUCACAGAAGACGAUCACCCUUCCCCACCCAGCAAAUCUAAAAUCAAGUUGCAAAAUGAAUCUUCUAGACUGCUUUCGGAUUUCUCCUAAACAUCAAAAUAAACAAAUGAUAGGCAUACUGUUCCAUAGAAGUCUUACUUGCAAAACAAGAUCCACAUAAGUAGGGGGCGAUGCAUUACAACGGUUACAGCAACAGGAAAACCAAUACUUCACCCAUAACUCUGCAUGUCUAAUUUCCUGGAAAAUCAAAUCAGUGCAAAUAAAAGCGUAUAACGUGAACUCAAAAAACUAAAAAAAAAACAGAGUAUAGAAGGAUGAGUUGGAACACAUUUUAGCACAAUGCCACUGAGUUCACUUACACUAUGGUGAUUAUGCAAGUAAUAUAAAAUCAUGCAACUUCUCAUUAGGUCGACUCCUUGUCAUUUUUCGCAAUCACUUCAAACAUAAGGCACAAUGCAAUAAUCUAAAAGCUUAAAAGUAAUAGCAGAUAUGCCAAAUUUACAAGCACAUUUUGCACAUUCAAUCUCUUAACAGUGGAACUGUAGAUACUGAAAAUGAAGAUUACCUUAGGCUGCAACAGGUCUAUGUAUGCAACCCACACCUCCUCACCCUUUUUAAUUGCCUUGAUGCUCCGAACGAUGAUUCUUGGCCCGUGUAUGUUGCAUCCUUUACUAGAGAAAAUCAAUUACAAGUAGAUAAUCAAAAUAUCCAAUAAAUUCACAACUGAUUUUUUUGAGAAACCAAAUUGAAAAAAACAUAAAAUAAUUAAAAUAAAAAAGAUUCAAUCACCUUCUAUUGAUUCACUUUUGCUACGAACAGCAUUCUGUAUCUGAAAAACAUUUCGGUUUCAUAAUUUUCAAAUCCUUUGAAUAUGGUUAAAAUUAAAGAAACAAUUCAGAAUUUAGGAAUAGUGAUCUAUUUUUCUUUACUUCAAUUUCAUCAUUGCCUCCAGGGAUAAUCUGGAGCCUCGACUCGCCAGAAAACUGGGGCGUCUCAGGUGAACGGAGCAAGAAACGGUAACAAGCAUUGGGAGAACAGCUGUGAUUGAUCCAAGAGAAGCACCAAUCGUAGACGGCUAUCCCUAGGGCGGACCCUCCAUUAACCUGCACUUCAACUGCAUUGGUGAGGACCAGGCAGAGCAGGGCCUCCUCCAGUUUGGAGUCCCCGGAGAAUUCCGUACCAUCUCGCAUACAUCGGGCAACGGCCAUGGCCUUGCCGCCGUCUCGGAUUCUCGUCAGAGUCUCAUCACUUUCCGAGUUGUGGGAGGGUGAGAUGAGGUGGUGGAGGUUGGUGAGUAGGCCGCAGAUUCGAUGGAGCGGUUGGGUAUGGAGGGGAGGGAGGUGGAGGAUGUGGAGGAGGCGGAGGGCAGCACGGAGGUCGGAGGAGUGAGCGGUGGAGGGGUGGGAAUGGCGGAGGAGGAGGAAGAGGUGGUGCUCGGCGCUGGAGAAGUGGAGGGGGGAGUCGGAGGCGGAGCAUGGUGGAGAGCAGUAGCAGAGAAAGGAGGAACUAGGGUUGGUAUUGACGAGAACAGUGGGCGGUAGAGGUGAGAAACAGGCGGAGCAGUGAGAGCGAAGGUGAGAGUCGUGGAGAGAGGAGGCUAGGGGUGGGAGUGGAUGGGUCAGGUCUAACCCCAUUUCUGUGUCCUCUCUCAUUCUCAUCUCCAUUCUUUACCAUACGGAUUGCAGGCAUUCUCAAUUCUAGUUCUUAAUACUGCUGCUCCCUUCUCCCCCUUCCUAAACCAUCCAUUUAGGAAAGCAGAAAUAUAACCACAGUUUAUUUACUUAUUUAUGAUGUUUCUAAUACACAACACCUGCAAAAAUUAAUGACAAAAUCUGUCCCAAUGGAAGGUAGACAAGAGCACAGACAUCUGAGCACAUAUUUACCAGCCUUAUCAUAUCAACAAACAAUAGUUGAAAUGCCAUUCUUCCUGAGAGUUUGGCCCCUUGAUCAAGACUGCCAUGAAGCAAACCCAUAAUUCAUUAGAGGAGGAUACCAUGUUUACUCUCAUUGGCAGUGGGCGGACCUGGGAAUGAGUCAAGUGACAGAACUCUGAAAACUUGCCUUGAGGAAAUCCCUCAACAAAUCCAAACAUUACUGGGUUGCCUUCAUAAUAAUUAUAAAGAAAACAAAUUCUUCCCAUUGAAUUUCCAGGACAAGUGCAACAGCUGUGCCAAUUUCCAACAGCUUAAACAAUUGAGUAAUCAAAAUUGUUUGUCUCUACAUCAACUGAUGGAGUCCACCGGACCAUGAUCAAAUUUCAUCAUAUUUUACAGAUAAAAUACCAGUUAUUUAGAAAAGCAUGGAUUGUGAUCUUCCUGUGCAGUUUUCCUUCAUCACAUCCCGUAUGCGACUUCAGUUGCUUCAUUACAUCAGUUUCUGAUUUCUAACUUGAACAACUGUAUUAACACCCAAAAGGAAAAAAAGGAACUAAGGGACUAUUUAACAGUUAAGACUAGAAGGGUUUUAGAAUUGAACUGGAAAGGGUUCAAAUAGAGGAAGAAGGAAGAAACUCACCAAAAGAACUAUUGUUUCACUUUUAGUGUGGUCUCAAUGCGCUGGAUGAGCUGAUCUGCAGUCAAAGCACCUUCCUGGAAUUCAUCAGACAGGAAUAGUAACAAAGAAAUUAGAACAUAAAAAAUAAAUAAACUAGUGGCAAUAUAACAACCAAAAGAAAAAUACAAUCAAAAGUACAGUGAAAACCAAGAUAAACAAUUGACUAAGGUGCCACUGUACAACCAGAGGCCCAACCAUGCAUUGUAUAAAUGCGGAAGAAAAUUCUGUAGACAUCAUCUCCUAUGCCAAGGAGAAAACCUUCAUUGGCUAAUCCCAUGAAAAAGUAUAAUUCAAUAGAGUCAAAGUGUGUGAAAACCAAGCCAGUGCUACAAGCAGGAAGCCUAAGAACUGAGUCAUUGCCAGUGUAAGCUUUGCCUGUAAGUAAAGAAGGCAGUUAACAAUCAUGUUACAGGGGCUGCCCAUUCACAGGCACGUGCAAGAUGAAAAUCAUGUGGGCAAUUCAUGACAAUUUCCCAAAAAGGUUUUUUUGUACAAGUGCAUACUAGAUACGAAUUCCACUUACAAAGCGAUCAUAUGGCUUCCCAUCUUUAAAUAUGAUGAAAGUAGGCAAUGCCUCUAUUCUGUACUUAUCAGCAAUGCUCGGGUAUUUCUCAGUAUCAAUUUUCACCACCUGGAUCUUGUCUUUCAGAGAAGCACCGACUUCGUUGAGGAUAGGAACCAUGAACUGACAAGGGCCACACCUGGAAACCAGUACUUCGUUACUUCUAGUUUUAUUUAGUUCCCUCAAUAUCUCAUAGAAAUAGAGACUCCUUAGAACAGCACACCCUCAAGGAAACACUUUAAUGAGGGACUGCCCUACUGAGUAGCAUGUCUUAUUGAUGGAAUAUAAUUUGGCUUAAAAACUCACAUUUUGCUGCCAAGACAGCUAAUUCAGGUUAUCAUCUAGCUUACAACAAAAUAACAAACCAUCUCAUAUCAUUUUCCUUCUAUUUAAAGAGCAAAGAAACGGUGGCAAGUAUGGGAUUUAUUUUAUUUCAUUUUUUUUUUUUAAAAAAAAAAAACUCACCAAGUUGCAUAGAAGUCUACCAGAACAGGUUUUUCAGAAUUUGCUAGCAAUUCAUCCAAGGAAGAAAAUGUUUGCUUCUUUGCUUCAACCUAAAGAAAUCACAACAAUGUGGAAGUUACCCAUUAAUUUAUAGACACAUUCAGAAUUUGGUAGUCCAACCAUGCUUAUCUAAAUAUGCCAAUAUAACAGAGUCAAUUAGGAAAAUGUCCCAAACUCCUAAGAUAUAAUAUUAACAUAAAAUGUUUGUUCAGAAUGCAGAGAAACAAAAACCAAGAUACCUGUAAUCUGACAUUACAAAAAAAUGAGUCAAUUUACUCUGAGUCAAUUUAAAUUGGAAUUUAUGAACAUUCCAAUAUACUUUACUCUGGGUAACAGGCAGUUAGUAAGCAUGUCAAAUCAAAUAUUUAAGCACCAGUUAGAUAUCUAGAUUACAACUUUUCAUGACUCUUUAACUUUGAAAUCAUAGCUUCCAACUUGGAAGGUUAACAGGCAAAGCAGUGCACAAUUAUAUGGUCACUAUGACACCUUGUUUCUAGAUUAACUACUAGUCUAUCAGAUGACAAUUGAGUGCUCGUAUGCAGCGAACAAUGGUAUAGAGCUAAAUAGCAGAUGAAGUACAUUAGCUGGUUUACAUUGUCAAAUUGGAAACUAUGGGUAUGUUUGGAAUUUGCUUUCAAAAACAGUUUUAUGUUUUUAAGAACAAAAAUAAAAUAAAAUAAAGGAAAACAUGUUUGACAAUCAGGAAACAAGAUGUUUUAUGAGAAUAUAUUUUAAUUGUUUUCAGUCGUUUUCACUUAAUUUUAAAUAUGUUUUAAAGGAUAAUCCUACAAAUAUGGAGAAUGAUUGAAAAUAAAGCACUACAACAAAAGUUAUUUUAAAAAACAUAGAAAUUAGGUUGACAACAUUUCAAGUUCCAAUGAAAUGUUUUCAAACAGACUUCCAUUCUAGAAAACAUUAAAAAACAAUUUUCAAAAACCAUUUUUCAAAACUGUUUUUGAAAACACUUCCAAAUAGAGUCUAUAUAACUCUAUUAUUUCCUUUUAUUUUUCUCUAUUAAGAAAACCAUGUGUUGUCUGUCUCUCAUUUACAUGACCUAACAUUUCUCCUCAACUCAAGCGUUCACACCCUCAAUUAAGCAACCCAAACGCACUUAAUCCCAAAGGUUGUGUUUGUGUUUGGCCCUCGCAACCAACAAAUGCAACGACAUGAAAAUGCUGAAAUUAACUUCAUUCUCACUAACCAAUCUUAAUUUUUCCAGGAAUGACUAUCCUCUAAACAAACAUAUGCGCAAUCAACAAGAAAAACGCACGAGAAAAUAAAAGGCGAAUCCUUGCAUCUAGCACAAAAUGUCUCCACCAACUGAUCCAACACACCACAACACAUUCCCAAAGCAGAAUAUACAAACACCGUUCACAAGAAUUCGGAAAAUUCCAAUAAAAAAAAUCCACAACAUUCUGAAUUUUAAUAAUAAUAAUAAUAAUCAUAAAAAAGGCACCGAAGCAAAACAAAUUACCACAGGAAGGGUUCGAGGCCUAGACGGGGAUGAAAUUCCGUUGUUGCCGAUUCGAAUAGGGCGGAGCUGCCUAGGAAACUGCAAGGGGGACGAUGAGAAGAGCUUGGAAGAAGGGGAGGAAGAAGAAAAGGCUAAAGGAGUGGGGCGUUGAGAAUUCAACGCACGAACUGUAGAGAAAGUGAGCGAGGUGGCCAUUGGAGAGAAACCCUAGAACCAGAUGUUUUGGAUAAAAAUGGAACUGGACCAGAAAAAUCUGCUGGGAAGGGAGGAGAAAAAGAAGUGCGGAGACGAAGAGAACAAGAAGAGAGAUGUUAAGGUGCGGAGGUAUAGUAGAAUAAUAAAUAGGAGGACCAGAUCCGCGGGUGUGGGAGUUUCACAGCUAUGAUCCGACGGCCAGCAUACAUUAUCACACUUGGAGAUCCCAGCAGCCAGAUGCGUGUACUCUCCAUUUUUUUAUUUUAUUUUCACGUGAACCCCAAGGGAAAAUGACUACUCCAAUAAUUUACAUUUUCUUUUACCAAAAAGAUUAAAAAUCGGAUUCAGUAUCCAGAAAGGAUAAAAGAUUUUAAAUAAUUCAAUAUAAAACAUAAUGAGAAAAUCUUUAUAGAAUCAAUCCAACCACGUUCUAGUAAGAAACACCAGUGGGGGCAAGAAGUGGAACUACCGGUAAGCCAACAAGAUCCUCUUCAAAUUCAUGCUACAUUUUAUUAGACCAAUGUCUAAGGCCAAAAAUGAAGACUACAUGUGAGGAAAACGGUUGAGUCUAAAUCCUACAAACUUAAGUUUUUUUAAAAAUCGAUUAUUCAAUGGAAUGAAGAUGUAAAUAAUAAAACAAUGAGACCGGACAUGGUAUAAAACAAUAGGAUCUAAAUGCAUGUAUGAUACGACCUGAUUGAUCAUGCUUUUUGAUAUCGAUUUGGUAAUGUAAGGGGACCUUUUUUAACAUUACGUGAGUUUGGUAAAGGAGGCUGACUUUAUGGGCUGGAUGAACACGUAUGACUGGAGAUGAGAGGAGCAGCAAUACAAUGUUGAUCAUCACUUUACGUAGGCUCCUGCAUGCCACAAUGUUGAUCGUCACUUUCCAGAACACUAAAACCAUUUCAGGGUUCAGAGAAAAUUCGUAAGAGUCCGCACUCAAAACAGCUCUCUUAACAAUAAACUUGAAACAUCAAAUAAUGUUAAAUUACAACGUGGAAGGUUGAUGUCGUGGCAGUAAGUUAUGGCCAAACCUCAUCCAUCACUAGUCAAUGUGAGUGCCAGAAAAACUACUGUAAGUGCAGAGAAUAUGGUUGCACAGGCAAAUACCCACAUCGCCCUGCUCCUCACCCUGCCACUACUAUGGCUUGCCGGGCUGCCCAUCUCGACCUCUUUUAGAAGCUCCCUCACCUCAUCCAUAUUUGAGUCUUUUGCAGCUUGGGUUAGUCUACCAUGAAUUUUAUCAAGCCUACUCAGCCUUUUACUUCGGGAUGCAUCCUUGGCUGACCAGAUAAAACCCGUCAUCUUCCACAGAAGAAUGCCCACAUAGAUGGCCACAACACAGUCCACAGUGUAAUGGUGGCGUUCCCGUAUUUCCCUUUGGGCACUGUGCAAUACAAACAGCCAUAUGACAGCCGAGCUGAAACCUCCAUAAGCUUCCUGCAAACAUUUUUUUUGACACAGAGAAAGACACAAAAUUUAGUAUUAUGCAUUUUAAGCCUCAGUGCUACUGAUCAAUAAAUGUCAAGAGGAGGGAUUGCAAGUGUUUAAUAAAUAUACCGUCCAAGCCAUAGCAGUCAGUACUGCUACAAGAAUGUGGCCACUGUAUAUGAGGUCAUUGCAUCCUCCUCCAGCUUUCUUUAGCAGAUUGUACCAUGACCCGUCAGUAGUAGUUGGUCGCAGGAAGUCUAUAAGGAAGCUCAUUGAACCCCAAUCAGGACGAAAGUCACCAAGGUAAUUUCCAACAUCAGCUGAGAAAGAGGAAGAGAAUUAUUAAACCCACCUCCCUGUAAAACAGGAACCCAUCUGUAGUAGUUCUUAGGGUAGAUCUAAUAAUGGAGAACAUAGAACUCAUGAAGGUUACAGAAUUUAACCCUUUUUCCAACAUUGAAAACUAAAGAAAACUCUCUCAGGGCUUCUGUACAUGUCAACAAUGAAUUUAGAUUUCCAGGAGAUUGGAUGUUGAUUGAAUUGAAGAUUCACUAAAAUCUUGUAAGCACCUUAGUUAUUCCAAACCCAAUAGGCAAGUAGAAGAUGCGAACCUAAGAAUUAAUAGGACUUAUAAAGAAAUUUCAUAGAGAAAAUUGAGAUGAAACAGUGAAUCUGGACAAUAUGAUUUUUGCCAUGGGUACUCUAGCAGUAAUCAAGCGAAUAUAGAGCUUAAAAUCCCUUUUUCUCGCCUCAAGGCUCCACUACAAAACCCCUUCAAAUGCAUUAAACCCAUAAAAUGAGAGGAAAUUAGUUGGGUACAAAACACAUACCAUAGGCUAUAUCACGUUCUAUUACUUGACGAAUAGCAGCUGGAUCCGAAGCAUAAGGGACAUAAUAUUUUUGAGCCCAAUGAUGUGGGUGUGCAGGAACUCUGAAGCGGGCAAAAGCACACCAAGGCCGGGCCGAUGGCAGAAUUGUAGAUACAAAAGUUAUGGCCCGAAGAAAUCGCCCUAUUGCCAUGGUGAACAUGUACCUAGCACCUAGCCCAAGGCCAGGAGCUUUUACAGAGUCGAAUAAUACUGAGAAAGCCAGCAUCAUGAACAGCAUCAAAAAAUGGUGCAAUCCAAUAAUAUGCGCUCUAAGUAUCUCAACCACCGUAGGAGGAAGUUUC